This 89253-nucleotide long non-coding RNA is filed under the name Gossypium barbadense (sea-island cotton). RNAcentral describes it as "long non-coding RNA (GBAR_LNC016635)". Lineage: Eukaryota; Viridiplantae; Streptophyta; Magnoliopsida; Malvales; Malvaceae. The record is from RNAcentral.
AAAAAAAGAAUUCACCUGGUGCCAUAUACCCAAUAGUUGCAAGAGUCAUGGUUUGCUUCAUUACUUCACCUUCUCCCAACAAUUUGGCAACGCCAAAAUCUCCAACAUGUGCAACCAUGUCUUCAUCUAGUAAAAUAUUGCUUGGUUUUAUGUCACAAUGAAUUAUAGGUGUUGGAUGUCCAUUGUGGAGGUGUUCUAUAGCUACCGCAACAUCUAUCAUUAUGUCGACCCUUUGUAUGAUACCAAGGAAACAAUUUUCAGAAUGUAACCAUUUCUCAAGGUUUCCAUUAGACAUGUAAUCAAGCACCAAGGCUUUGAAGUCAACACUUGAGCAGUAAGUAAUGACCUUCACAAUAUUACGAUGAACUAUAUUAAGCAUAGCAUCACAUUCAAUGUCAAAACUCCUAAAUGCUCCCUCUGUUUGCAAAUUGAAAACUUUUAUUGCAACUUCCAUUCCAUCUGAAAGCCUCCCUUUAUAUACAUAUCCAAAACUCCCUGAACCAAGCGUAUUGCUUUCCUCAAAUCCAUUAGUUGCUCGUGAAAGUUCAGCAUGUGAAAUUCUUCUCAGUGUCUUCAAAGACAACAAAUCAUCUUUAACUGGUAGAGCUGUACUCCUUUGGCAUCUUCUAUACAUAAUAGUUAAGACUAUUAGUACUAGGACAAUACCAAUUGUUGGUAAACCAUACCUAAAAGCAUGCAAUAUAAUCAUUUGGGAGUUUUUGUGGAUGUCAUUUUUGCAAGGUGGGACUAGCAAUCUAGGUGGACCACAAAGUGCACAAUUAUUCAUGAAUGAUGUGCUAGAAAAGUUUGAAAAACAUCCUUUGCUGGGAAUUUCCCCUUCAAGUCUAUUGAAAGACACAUUAAAAUACUUUAGAUAUAAAAGCUUUUCCAAAGAUUUGGGAAUGACUCCAGAGAGAUUGUUAUUGCAUAAAUCCAAGAAUUCCAAACUAAUCAACCCUUCAAAUGAUUCAGGGAUAUGACCAUAUAGUAUGUUAUUUGAUAAAUCUAAUGAAACCAAAGUUAUAAGACCCCCAAAUGUGGAUAAGAUAUCGCUCGUGAGAAGAUUCCUUGAUAAAUUUAGUCUCAGUAGACUCCUAAAAUUUCCAACAUCAAUAGCAUGUGAAUUGUGAAGACGGUUUGAUGAUAAAUCUAUUUCUAAGAUAUCUUUAAGACUCCACAAAGUUGAGGGUAUUGUAGAACUCAAUUUGUUGGAACCUAACCAAAGAUAUCUCAAAGCAGAAAUAUUACCUAAACAAGAGGGUAUGGAUCCAUGCAGCUUAUUCAACCCUAAAUACAUCUCGUAUAGUCUCUCCAAACCACAAAGGCUUUCUGGGAUAGGCCCUCCUAAUUUAUUAGAGGAAAGACCUAGAAUUUGGAGAUUUCUCAUUCCUCCUAUUGAUGCUGGAAUCAAUCCACUUAAUUUAUUAUACCCAAGAUCUAAAAGCAAUAGGUUGGUUAAGUUACCUAUUUCCAUAGGAAUAAUGCCUUGAAGCUCACACUCUGUGGCAUGAAAGUAUUGAAGGGAUUUUGAAAGGUUCCCGAAAUAAGUAGGAAGAACGCCACUCAAUGGAUUUCCUGAAACAUCUAUUAUGCUCAAAUUCCUACAAUUCGUCAAAGAAGAAAGAAAGCUCCACUCAUGAUCAGUAGCAGAUCCUGUGAUCAAAUUAUUGUCAUAGAUUUGGAGCCAUACAAGUUGUCUUAAGCUGCCAAGCGUUUUAGGGAUUGGGCCAGAGAAUGAGUUAUCUCCCAAGUCUAGUUCCUUAAGCAUGGAAGCAUUGGAGAUAGAGUUGGGAAUGUUUCCGCUAAGUUUAUUUCCCCACAGUAAAAGAAUCUGAAGCUUUGGAGCAUUGGUAAUGGGUGGUAAAUUACCUGUAAAAUAGCAUCUUUUAGAAAACAUUCACAAAAUAUAUAAUACAUUAAAAUAAAAACUUUAAAUCAAUUAAGAAUAAAAUUUUGGCAUGGAAAAAUGUGAUGAAAUCAAUUAGAAAGUUGAGACAUAAUAAGAAGUUUUGAGUAGUAAUUAGUCCUUGUGAUUUGUAUAGACAAAACAUAUAAUACACUGAUAAUUUUUUUAAAAUAUUGUAAAACCUGAAAUAAAAUAAAAAAUAAAAGUUUGGCACGAGAAUGUGGCAUCUAAUCAUUCUUAAAAAUAAGACUAACAUUAAAUAAUAAUUAGUUAUGAUUUGAGAAACAAAAAUGUUAAAGAUGUAAACUGGUAUGAUUUUUAUCUAUUGGGUUAAUUAUUUAUUUUUAUUAAAUUAUAUAUAGUGUAAAAUUUAAAGAUUAUUAUUUGCUCAAAAUUUUUGUAUUUUAGGAUUUUAGGAUCGCAUUUAAUUCAAUUGUAUUUAAGACCUCAUGAAUUUAUUCUAUAAUUUGAGUCUUUUCAACCUUUUGGGAAAUAAUAAAACAUCGACAUUAAACUUGUUGUUGAUGCAUUCAAUUUGAUUUUUUGAGGGGUCAUUGGAGUUAUAUGUGAAUUUAGCAUUGAUUGACUUUUUUAGAAUUAAUCUUUUAUACCAAUUUAAUAACAUCGACAUGUUUUUGGGUAGGGUCGAGCAAAACCCAAUUAAAACCGAUGAAAUUGGUUUAGUUAACUCGGUCAAGUCCAUUAGAUGGAUAAAAUCAAUUUUAAAAUCAGUUAUUAUGGAUUAAGGUAAUUAAUUAUCGAGUAAUGAAAUACAUAAUCAAAUCAAUUGAUUUUGUUAGAAACUAAAAGAAAGUGGGAUAAGCUGAAAACUGAUUGCCCUUUUUUAGAAUUAAGGAAUCAGCCUUUUACAUGUUAGAUAAUAUGAACACCCCAUAUAUAAUAAGAAAAAUUAUGUACGAUUAUUUAUUAUCAUAAAUGGUUAGUUUAAAUUUAAAGUAAUCUAAUAUGUGUGUUGAACUUCAACUAUUACAUAAAGUAUAAGCUAAAUAUGUAUAAAUAUUCUAGAAACCAUUUCUAACUGAUGAUAGGCUAAUUUGAAAUUAAGAUUAAUAUAUAAAAACUAGAUAGUAGGGUUAUAGUCCUCAAACUACACCUAAUUUAAUAAAAUCUAUAGUUUUUAUAGCCUUAAACAUUUAUAGAUUUUGUUAAUUUGGUCCUUACUCUUUAAAAUUACAUAAAAAUUGCAAAAAUAUUUUAGAAAUACAAUUUUUUCGUAUUUUUAAUAACAUUUAUAGUUUUUUUUUUGGUUUGGUAACUUAUCAACUCGACUCUUAAUUGUAACCAACUUUUCUGAUUUUUUCGUACCCUUAACCUAAGUCCCGUUACAACUUUCUAAAGACCUCUUGAUUGGUGUAUCAUCUCGAUUUGUUCUUAUAGUGGUGGGGAUUUGGUUUUCAAGCAAGCCUAUGCUAAUCACAUUUUUCGUUCAACUAUUGAGCACACAGUACUUGAACCUUAAACACUUUGAGUGCUUUGAGUGAAUCUUAGUUAGGGUAUUGAUUAUUGUUGAGUUUGAAUUUUAGGUAAUUAUUGAGAUGGAGGAGAUGCCUAUUUUUUUGUGCUUUACAAAUUUCUGCUUAGAUUGCUUUUAUUCUUUAGUUUCAUGCUAGUUUCAAUUUCCAGUGCAUGAUUAUCUAUAGAUUAUUCAUAAGGCAUUGUCGGUGAAAACAAUAAAUUGAGGGAGAUUAACUUGAAAUAAAUUGAGGGAUAUUAACUUGAAUAAAGGUUGAGAAUUUUGCUUAAGGACAAACAAAUGCUUAAGUGUGGGGAUAUUUGAUAAGUGCUAAAAUUGAUAUGUUUUAACAUCAUUCUUAAUGUGUUUUUGGUUGAUUAUUCGAUGUUAAUGAUGCUCCUAAUCCUUACAAUUCGUGUUUUUAUGCUUAAUAGAACAUUUGGGAGGAAAAUGAGCUAAAAAUGAACGAAAACCUGAAAAUGGGGGCAAACUAUAGGACAUGGGCUGACCUAUUCCUCAUGACCGUAUGACUCACACGAUCAUGUGGUAGGUUGUGUCGAUUUCGUAGAUUUGCACUCUGAACUGUAAAAAAAGAAAAUUUUAGAUUUUUUGAGCAUUUUAAUACGUAUAUAUGAAAAAAAUAAGAAGAUAGGAGAGAACCUUCCUAGAAUAUUUAAGAAAACAACUCCAAAGACACUAUUGAAGUCGACUCUGAAGCAAAUUUUCCUCAAGAUUGAAGAUUCCCAGUUGGUUUCUUAAGAGAUUAUCAUGAGUUUCUUUAUUUCUUCUGGUUAUACUGCCCUUUGGAUGUUUUUAUUUUUAAGCAUGAACUAAUUUUCUAAAUACCGAAUUAGAGAGAUGAACCCUAUGAUAGAUUGUGACACCCCAAACCCAACCGGAUAGACCCGCCCGAAUUCAAAGCAUUUCAUUAGCCACCUAAGUGACUCUCCAGCUAACGACCACCCAAGACACACCUCGACCUUAUAACACCUCAAUCUUAUCUAAUUACUAGUUAUUUAUUAAUGUAGAAGUAAAUUAAUAUGAGCCAAUUUUAAACUUUUUCUAGGUAAUUUAACCUAAAGGCAAUUUUGUCAUUUUACCACCUAAUGUAAAACUAACCCGAUUUUAGAUCUAAGUGUUUACUAACCUUCUUUUAGUCAAAUUAUACAAGCCUAAAAUUUUCAGCUUAAUUUGAGUCCGUUUACUAUGUCUAAUUCAAGUUUUAUUAAUAAGGACUCAAUUGUAACUUAAACAAAUUAAAAUACCAAUUUAAAGAGACAAAAAUUCAAAACUCCAAAACCCACACGGGCAUGUGGGUAAGUGACAAGGGCUUGUGGGAUUGAAAAAUAUGAAAUAAAUUAAUCCACUCAAUUUUCCAACAACCAUGCUAUACUACCAAACCAAAAAAACACUUGAAGUUUUGAAUAGGGGCGAAUCUAAAAAAAAUUAGAAGAAUUAGAAUUAAAUUAUAAAAUUUUGAGAAGUUAAAAUAUAAUUUUAUCAUGUAUUAAUUUAUUGUUUUUUAAAGGGUCCUAAUAUAAUUUUUUUCCCAUUUUGGUUGGGCCAAUACCCCUGCCUGCCUCUUUAAAUUUGCUCCAACACUAAACCCAAUAUUCGAUUUGGAUUAACAACAACAUAUAGGUUAGUAUUUGUGGGAGUUUGACGAAUAAAAAUUCCUUUUUUAGAUGUUUAAAUUAUAAAUUUUUGAAAGAUUAAAAUAAAUUUGUAUUUUUUUAUUAACAAAAUAUAAAAGAAAAAAAAAUAUGUUUAGACAAGCCAAGAGAACUUUGGGAUCAUACAGGUGAUUUUGAGAUGUUAAUGGUUAUUUUGGUGGACAGCGUAAAAAAGAAACAAAUGAUUCAUUAUAUAUAAUAUAAUUAUGAAUUUCAAGCCAUAUAUUGUAUGUUUCAUCCAUAAAAAUUUCAUGGGAGGUCCAAAGGUAAUUAAAUGACUUGUAGGCUUGCUGAAUUUCUUUGAAAGGCCCAAAGGCAAUUUAACAUUCACAAAAUAAUCUCUAAAUACUGUAAAGACAAAUCAAAUCCACAGUAGCAUUAGAGUUGAUUAAGCUAAGCAUUGGCAAAUAUUACUUUGAUUUUGCAUGCAAAAUUGGCAAAACCCCCUCUUACAUUAGAAAAACAACAUAAUCCAUGAAACAUUGAUGGCUCAAUACAAAUUUCAUCGAGAAAAAAGUCUCUUUGUUUUGGAGAACAUGAUAGUAAAGAUGUGGAGUUUCGUUCUUCUAAUUGGCCUCCUUUAGUUUUCCUUGAUCAACAACAAUUAGCCAAAAACACAGUUAGAUUAGAUUAUGAAUGAUACUUUCAACUAUGACAAUAUUAAAUACAAAACACUCUAAAUAAAUGGAAAGUAGCAAAUUAAGACCAUUGUGUUAUACUUGUCUCUGAAUUGAAAGAUUUAGAAGAAAAUAAAGAGAAAGAGUUAGAAAAUACUUGAAAACAGAUAAAACUUAUAUGUCAUUUAAAAUAAAAAAAAUUUCUAUUUAAGCCAUUUAAAAUUUUUAAGAUUUUUUAAAUUUUAAAAUGAUAAAGGUAAAACUAUAUUUUGGUACCCAAAAAUGAUAAAACUUUGAUUUAAUUCUUUAGAAAUUAUAAAAAUAUAGGCUAUUAAAAUGGUGAAAUUAUAUUUUUACUAUAUUAAAAAUUACAAUUUAAUUUCACUUGCUAAAAGGAUUUACUGGCUUCGCCCCUAAUAAAAUCUUUGGCAAAAGAUUAAAAUAAAAUUAUACCGUGAAUGGAAAAAGAAACUUAAGAAAACCCAAUCUCACAAAGAAAAUAACUUGUCCAAAAGCUACCAUAAACCGUAAUUCAUGCGAAGGCUUGUUGCUCAUUUUAUUGGUUUCCAUUUUGAUUUUGCAAAAGAAGUUUGAAUUUUGAAGAGAGCAAAAGAAAAAAAUAGUUUAUUAAUUUUUUACGAAUACCGACAUAUUAUAUACAUGAUUAAAAUUCCAGAAUAGAUUAAAAAUGUUGAAUUAAAGAUAAAAUUAAGUAUGAAUUAAGAACCACAAGUGUACUCAUUACUCACCAUCUCUGUUAAAAAUGUUGUUUAGCAACCUGUGUUUGAUUUUCUUCAGCUCAACCACAACAUCUUUCAUAUCUUUUCUUUCUUCUGGUAACUCAGCUGAACAAUUCAAAGCCAAUUCCAUGAUAGAUGAAAUACAAUUUGCUUUAACAACAAUGUACUCAUCCUCUCUUCUUAGUAAAUCAACAUCUGCAAUUUCUAUUGCUCCUUUAGGCAAUGAACUUUCCAUCCAAUGCCUUACAGUCUCUUCUUCAACAAAAACAUUAUCAGUUGGCUUUUUCUUUGUGAAAGUUUCUAUAAGGACGAUCCCAUAACUAUAGACGUCAGAUUUUAUAGAAACAAUUCCUGCUGAUCCAAAUUCUGCAUUUCAAGUAUCAUUAGAACAUCAUUCACCCUCAAUUAUUUCUAAAAUGCUUAUUCAAAUAUAUAUCCGCAUACACAAGAAACAAAAAUAUAAAAUGCAAAUUAGGAAAAUAAUCGUACAAAAACAAAAAAGAAUUCACCUGGUGCCAUAUACCCGAUAGUUGCAAGAGUCAUGGUUUGCUUCAUUACUUCACCUUCUCCCAACAAUUUGGCAACGCCAAAAUCUCCAACAUGUGCAACCAUGUCUUCAUCUAGUAAAAUAUUGCUUGGUUUUAUGUCACAAUGAAUUAUAGGUGUUGGAUGUCCAUUGUGGAGGUGUUCUAUAGCUACCGCAACAUCUAUCAUUAUGUCGACCCUUUGUAUGAUAUCAAGGAAACAAUUUUCAGAAUGUAACCAUUUCUCAAGGUUUCCAUUAGACAUGUAAUCAAGCACCAAGGCUUUGAAGUCAACACUUGAGCAGCAAGUAAUGACCUUCACAAUAUUACGAUGAACUAUAUUAAGCAUAACAUCACAUUCAAUGUCAAAACUCCUAAAUGCUCCCUCUGUUUGCAAAUUGAAAACUUUUAUUGCAACUUCCAUUCCAUCUGAAAGCCUCCCUUUAUAUACAUAUCCAAAACUCCCUGAACCAAGCAUAUUGCUUUCCUCAAAUCCAUUAGUUGCUCGUGAAAGUUCAGCAUGUGAAAUUCUUCUCGGUGUCUUCAAAGACAACAAAUCAUCUUUAACUGGUAGAGCUGUACUCCUUUGGCAUCUUCUAUACAUAAUAGUUAAGACUAUUAGUACUAGGACAAUACCAAUUGUUGGUAAACCAUACCUAAAAGCAUGUAAUAUAAUCAUUUGGGAGUUUUUGUGGAUGUCAUUUUUGCAAGGUGGGACUAGCAAUCUAGGUGGACCACAAAAUGCACAAUUAUUCAUGAAUGAUGUGCUAGAAAAGUUUGAAAAACAUCUUUUGCUGGGAAUUUCCCCUUCAAGUCUAUUGAAAGACACAUUAAAAUACUUUAGAUAUAAAAGCUUUUCCAAAGAUUUGGGAAUGACUCCAGAGAGAUUGUUAUUGCAUAAAUCCAAGAAUUCCAAACUAAUCAACCCAUCAAAUGAUUCAGGGAUAUGACCAUGUAGUAUAUUAUUUGAUAAAUCUAAUGAAACCAAAGUUUGAAGACCCCCAAAUGUGGAUAAGAUAUCGCCCAUGAGAAGAUUCCUUGAUAAAUUUAGUCUCAGUAGACUCCUAAAGUUUCCAACAUCAAUAGCAUGUGAAUUGUGAAGAUGGUUUGAUGAUAAAUCUAUUUCUAAGAUAUCUUUAAGAUUCCACAAAGUUGAGGGUAUUGUAGAACUCAAUUUGUUGGAAUCUAACCAAAGAUAUCUCAAAGCAGAAAUAUUACCCAAACAAGAGGGUAUGGGUCCAUGCAGCUUAUUCAACCCUAAAUACAUCUUGUAUAGUCUCUCCAAACCACAGAGGCUUUCUGGGAUAGGCCCUUCUAAUUUAUUAGAGGAAAGAUCUAGACCUUGCAGAUUCCGCAGUCCUCCUAUUGAUGCUGGAAUGAAUCCACUUAAUUUAUUAUGGUCAAGUUCUAAAACCAAUAAGUUGGUUAAGUUACCUAUUUCCAUAGGAAUAAUGCCUUGAAGCUCACAAUUAUAGGCAUGAAAGGAUUGAAGGGAUUUUGAAAGGUUCCCAAUAUAAGUAGGAAGAACGCCACUCAAUGGAUUUCCUGAAACACCUAUUUUUCUCAAAUUCCUACAAUUCGUCAAAGAAGAAAGAAAGCUCCACUCAUGAUCAGUAGCAGAUCCUGUGAUCAAAUUAUUGUCAGUGAUUUUGAGCACUUCAAGGUGUUUUAAGCUGCCAAGCAUUUUAGGGAUUGGGCCAGAGAAUGAGUUAUCUUCCAAGUCUAGUUUCUUAAGCAUGGAAGCAUUGGAGAUAGAGUAAGGAAUGUUUCCGCUAAGUUUAUUUCCCCACAGUAAAAGAAUCUGAAGCUUUGGAGCAUUGGUAAUGGGUGGUAAAUUACCUGUAAAAUAGCAUCUUUUAGAAAACAUAUUCAUUGAAUACCAAAUUCACAAAAUAUAUAAUACAUUAAAAUUAAAACUUUAAAACUUUAAAUCAAUUAAGAAUAAAAUUUUGGCAUGGAAAAUUGUGAUGAAAUCAAUUAGAAAGUUGAGACAUAAUAAGAAGUUUUGAGUAGUAAUUACUCAUGAUUUCCAUAGACAAAACAUAUAAUACACUGAUAAUUUUUUUAAAAAUAUUGUAAAACCUGAAAUAAAAUAAAAAAUAAAAGUUUGGCAUGAGAAUGUGGCAUCUAAUCAUUCUUAAAAAUAAGACUAACAUUGAAUAAUAAUUAGUUAUGAUUUGAGAAACAAAAAUGUUAAAGAUGUAAACUGGUAUGAUUUUUAUCUAUUGGGUUAAUUAUUUAUUUUUAUUAAAUUAUAUAUAGUGUAAAAUUUAAAGAUUAUUAUUUGCUCAAAAUUUUUGUAUUUUUCGUAUAUUUGAAAUUUAAUCUUUAUAUUUUUUAUUUUCUGUGAUUUAGUCUCUCUACUUUUUGAAUUGAAAAUUUUAAGUUUAUUUAUUAACACUGUUAAAAAGUUUUUGUGUUAGUAUGGCAUUUUGAAAAAUAAAAUAAACUUGAUAUCUAUGUUUUUAAUUAUUCCAAAUACUGUUUUACUAUUCCAAGAUAAAUUAUUUGUGUCUAGACCAAUAUCUUAAGAACUAUUGUUGCAUGUUUAAUUAUUCUAAAGAAUUGUUGAUUGAGUCUUAGUUGAAGUGCACUAUUCUCCUAUUUAUGAAUUGGGGAGUUGAUAAAGUACUAAAUUUUGAUAUAUUUUAAAAAAUUAAAAAUUUAUUAAAAUAUUUUUAUAAAAAUUAAUUGUACCAAAAUAUACAAUUUUAAUAUCAAAUUUUUAAUUUUUUUAAAAAUAUUAGCGAAUAUAUACUUUAUUUCAAGUUACACAAUUUUUACUAGUUUUUAACUUUUUUUUUAAAUUUUUAUCGUCUUUUAUAAUUUCAUAUAUUUUUUUAUAAUUUUUUACAAUAUUUACAAUUUCUAACAAUUUUUAAUAAUUUUAUUAUUUAUUAUAAAUUUAAAAAUUAACAAAUUUUUAUUUUUUUAAAACAAUUAUAUAUUUAUAAUGUAGUUAUUUUUUUAUAAUUUUUUUUGAAAUUUAAAGAUUUUUUUGGUUUUUUCUAGAUGAUGAUGCCAUCAUGAUGUCAUCAUAUGCCACAUGGCAAUUUAUAAUUAGUUGACUAUCUCAAUCUAUUUUUUUAACGUCCAAUGGACUAAAACAAGAACACCUGAUAAUGUUAGAGACUACACUAGGAAUGUUUGAUAAUAUUAGGUACUAAAGUGGGCAAAAAAAAUUAAGGACUAUAUUAAAAAUAUAUCUAUAAUAUAUAUAAAUGCAUGGAUUUUGAGAAACUUUUGAAAUGACAAAUAUAUAGUCUUUGUUUUUUUUUACUAUAUUAUUGAAUUUUUUAUUUUAAAUAUUUUUUUAUUACUUUUAAGAUUUAUCAUAUGUAUGGAUAAAAAUUUUGGUUUUACUAAAAUAUUUGGUUAAAUAAAUUCACUUUAUAAAAAAAUUUAGCAUCCUUAUAAAUAACAAUUUUGAUUCCAUUAAAAAAAUUAUUUAAAAAUAUAUAAUAAAAAUUUAAAAUUUAUAUUGAAUCACUUUAUACUUAAAUUAUUAUUAGAAACUUUAUCAUACACAUAUGUGUAUGAGAACCACGUUUUCAGAACUUAAAUUUGUGUUCUAAAAUAACUUAUGAUAAAUAAUUAAAUGUAUAAUUUGAAAUUAUAUUGAAAUAAAAAUAGAUUAAAUUGUAAGUAAAACAUAUAUAAUUUAAACAUAUGAAUACAUCAAAUUAAAAAUACUAAAUGAAUACAUUUAUUUAUGAUGAUGUUGUUGUCAAUUCAUAAGUUGGUGUCGAGUUAAUUUGUGACAUCAUAAUUUUAAGUGAUAAAUUUAAGGUUUUAUGUAUUGAUGUCGAUUCAAAUAUCACCAUAAUUUUUUUAAAUAAAAAACUAAAGCACCCUCAAAUAAUAUAACUUAUAUUAAAUAUGAAAGGGUAUUUUUGUAAUUUCUCUAACGAGUUGGUGCCCGGUUGACUCAUGACACCAACUCAAUCAAAAGCUUCAAUAAUAAUAUAGAUAUUCACGUUUAAAAAAAGUACUUUAGUUCGAAAUAAUUAUGUAACAAGUAAUUUUAUAAUUGAUGAAUAAUUUUAUAAAAAUAUAUUUAUAUGAUCUAAUAUAUUAUAUUUAUAUUAAUUAUAUAUCAUCUACAAACUUUGAAGAUCAAUUUAUUAAGUAUCAGGAAAAGAAAAAAUGAAAUUGAAUUAACACUAAAUCAAUUUUUAGAUUUUGUACAGAUGAUUUAAUGAUGAUAAAAACAUUAUUAGCACUAUUUUUGAAUUAACAAAAAAUUAGUGAUAUAUUUUAAUUAUAUUUUUUAUUUUUUAUUUUUAAUAAUAUUUUUUUAAUUAUAUGAAGUAAAAUUAUAUUGUAUACUAAAUAUGGUACAUAUACUUUAAUUAAAACUUGAAAAAGUAUUAUAUAAAUUAAUAUAUUUUAAUUAUAUUCAACCAUUUGAAUAACAAAAUUAAAAAAAAACUAAUUAGAAUUAUUUACUUUUUAAAGUUUAAUGGAAAAUAAAAAAUAAAAAAUAAAUCAAUUCAUAUAAAUCUUAUUGUUUAUUAUCAGAUUAAAAUGAUAAAAGUAUAUGACAUACAUAGAAGAAACAAAUUCAACACCAUGUUUUUGGAGUUUGGAAAAAAUUAAAGUGAAAAACCUACCUUCUAAACUGUUGUUAAAUAGAUCUAUUUCUUCGAGCGUAGUUGAAUUAAAAAUACUUGAUGGAAUCUGACCUGCACACAUAGUCGAAAAUUGAAGUGAAAUCAAACUCUUUUGUGAAAAAAAUAUUACCAGAUAAUUCAUUCCAACCCAGGUAAAGCCCUUCAAGCUUGGGAAGAUGUUGACACAUAUCAUUAGGCAAACUACCUGAUAGGCUAUUGUUGGAGAGAUUAAUGGUCUUCAAAGAAGAAAUGUUGAAGAUCGAAGUUGGAAUCUGACCUAUAAGGCCUUUAAUUGCUCUAAUACUAAGCCUUUCCAAACUAAGAAGAUUACCAAUUUCCUUAGGAAUUAGACCUGCAGACAGUCGAAAAUUCAAUGUUUUUCAGCAUAUGUUUUUCAUCAAAUGAAAUAAAAAGUUCUUCCUUUUGUUAUCUAUUACAAAUCAAACUCUUUUAUAAAAAAAAUACUUUAAAUUCAAGAAAUCAAGGAAAUUGAUUACCUUCUAGAUUAUUAAACCCCAAAUAUAAUUCUUGGAGUCGUGUUAGAUUUCCAAUACUUCUUGGAAUGAUCCCCAUAAAUUGAUUAUAGGACAACGACAAAAUAUUAAGGUUGUUGCAUUUGCCCAUGCCAAAUGGAAUGUUACUAGAAAACUCAUUGCUAUCCAAGUAAAGCCCUUCAAGCUUGGGAAGAUGUUGACACAUAUCAUUAGGCAAACUACCUGAUAGGUUAUUGUUGGAGAGAUCAAUGGUCUUCAAAGAAGAAAUGUUGAAGAUCGAAGUUGGAAUCUGACCUGUAAAGCCUUUAAUUGCUUUAAUAUUAAGCAUUUCCAAACUAAGAAGUUUAAAUCAAUUAAGAAUAAAAUUUUGGCAUGGAAAAAUGUGAUGAAAUCAAUUAAAAAGUUGAGACAUAAUAAGAAGUUUUGAGUCGUAAUUAGUCCUUCUGAUUUGUAUAGACAAAACAUAUAAUACACUAAUAAUAAUUAGUUUGGCAUGAGAAUGUGGCAUCUAAUCAAUCUUAAAAAUGAGAUGACACUGAAUAAUAAUUAGUUAUGAUUUGGGAAACAAAAAUGUUAAAGCCAUUGCUUUUAAUGUAAACUAGUAUGAUUUUUAUCUAUUGGGUUAAUUAUUUAUUUUUAUGAAAUUAUAGUGUAAAAUUUAAAGAUUAUUUUUAUCUAUUACAAAUCAAACUCUUUUAUGAAAAAAAUAUUUUAAAUUAAAGAAACAAAGAAAAUUCAAUAUCUUCUAAGUUAUUCCACUCCAAAUAUAAUCUUCAGUGAAGAAAUCUUGAAGAUGGAAGAUGGAACCUUACCAGAUAAUUGAUUGAAUCCCAAGCUCAAGGACUCUAGAUUAGACAUGUUAACAAGUGUUUCAGGGAUUGUGCCUAUAAAGUUAUUAUUUUUCAUUUUCAGCCUUCGAACUCCCUGUAAGUUCCCAAGCCAUGAUGGAAUUUCCCCAUUAAGACUGUUGUAUUUUAAUCGAAGGAUCCUCAAACGAUGCAAUUGGCCCAAUUCUUUAGGGAGAUGGCCAUAGAAAUGGUUUCUACUCAAGUCGAGAGAGAGUAGAAAUGAAAGAUUUCCAAGGUGUGGAGGGAUACUACCCCUAAGAUUCAUGCUUUUAAGUUUGGAAACAAAUUCAACACAAUGUUUUUGGAGUUUGGAAAAAAUUAAAGUGAAAAACAUACCUUCUAAUUUGUUGUCAGAUAGUCCUAUUAUUUCGAGCAUAGUUGAAUUAAAAAUACUUGAUGGAAUCUGACCUGCACAUAUAGUUGAAAAUUGAAGUGAAAAACAUACCUUCUAAACUGUUCAACUAAAAAAACUUUAAGCAUAUUUGUUUUUCCAUCAAAUUAACUAUUUUGCCUUGAAUGAAAUAAAAUGCUCUUACUUUUGUUAUUUAUUACUAAUCAAACUCUUUUCUAAAAAAAAACUUUAAAUUAAGAAACUAAGAAAAUUCGGUACCUUCUAGGUUAUUAAACCCUAAAUAUAACUUCUGGAGUCGUGUUAGAUUUCCAAUACUUCUUGGAAUGAUACCCAUAAAUUGAUUAUAGGACAACGACAAAUUUUUAAGGUUGUUGCAUUUGCCCAUGCCAAAUGGAAUGUUACCAGAUAAUUCAUUCCAACUCAGGUAAAGCCCUUCAAGCUUGGGAAGAUGUUGACACAUAUCAUUAGGCAAACUACCUAGGUUAUUGUUGGAGAGAUCAAUGGUCUUCAAAGAAGAAAUGUUGAAGAUCGAAGUUGGAAUCUGACCUGUAAGGCCUUUAAUUGCUUUAAUAUUAAGCAAUACCAAAUCAAGAAUAUUACCGAUUUCCAAACCAAGAAUUUAUAGAAGAAACAAAUUUAACACAAUGUUUUUUGAGUUUGGAAAAUGUUAAAGUGAAAAACAUACCUUCUAAUUUGUUGUCAGAUAGUCCUAUUAUUUCGAGCAUAGUUGAAUUAAAAAUACUUGAUGGAAUCUGACCUGCACAUAUAGUUGAAAAUUGAAGUGAAAAACAUACCUUCUAAACUGUUCAACUAAAAAAACUUUAAGCAUAUUUGUUUUUCCAUCAAAUUAACUAUUUUGCCUUGAAUGAAAUAAAAUGCUCUUACUUUUGUUAUUUAUUACUAAUCAAACUCUUUUCUAAAAAAAAACUUUAAAUUAAGAAACUAAGAAAAUUCGGUACCUUCUAGGUUAUUCAACCCCAAAUAUAAUUCUUUGAGUUGUGUCAGAUUUCCAAUACUUUUUGGAAUGAUCCCCAUCAAUUGAUUAUAGGACAAUGACAAAAUUUUAAGGUUGCUGCAUUUGCCCAUGCCAAAUGGAAUGUUACCAGAUAAUUCAUUCCGACUCAAGUAAAGCCCUUCAAGCUUGGGAAGAUGUUGACACAUAUCAUUAGGCAAACUACCUGGUAGGCUAUUGCUGGAGAGUUUAAUAAUCUUCAGAGAAGAAAUAUUGAAGAUGGAAGAUGGAACCUGACCAAAUAAUUGAUUGAAUCCCAAGUUCAAGAUCUCUAGAUUAGACAUGUUAACAAGUGUUUCAGGGAUUGUGCCUGUAAAGUUAUUAUUCUUCAUUUCCAGCCUUCGAACUCUCUGUAAGUUCCCAAGCCAUGAUGGAAUUUCCCCAUUCAGACGGUUGUAGCUUAAUUGAAGGAUCCUCAAACGAUGCAAUUGGCCAAAUUCUUUAGGGAGAUGGCCAUAGAAAUGGUUGCUACUCAAGUCGAGAGAGAGUAGAAAUGAAAGAUUUCCAAGGUGUGGAGGGAUAGUACCCCUAAGAUUCAUGCUUGUAAGAUUCAAAGCUAUAACUCUUUUAUGGAGGAUGCCACAAGAAACACCAAUCCAAUUGCAAACAGAGGUUGAGGCCGUCCAAUUGUUUGCCAAGACAUUUUGAGGACCGGCAAUGCGAUCCUUAAACUCGAGAAGUGCAAACUGAUCGGAGUUGAGAUUCCUGACUGUCAUACCCCAGCAAAGUCCGGAACAUGGUAUGAAUAAAGCUAAAAGAAGAUGAAAGCAAGUGUUGUAGUUCAUGAUAGCAAGACGGAAUAAGCCAAGAAAAUAAAAAAAAGUAGGACAAGGGAAGUUGAGUUGAUAAAAUAGUUUGGAUGAUGAAGAAAAGCCCAGAGAGCAUGCUUUAAUAUGUUUUGAAGAAAUUUCAAAAUAAAUUUCAAAAUAAAUUUCAAAAUAAAAAUUUAAAAAGGAAAGCAAAGUUUUGAAGAAAUUUCAAAAUAAAUUUCAAGUCUUCUUCUUUAAAAAAUACGUACAAAGAGCGAAUUUUCAAAAUUUUUCCUAAAUUUUCUUCACAUUACUCCACAUAAUCCAUUAAAAAAACUUAAAAAAUAUAUUUUAUUAAUUACUAUACAUUCUUUUAUUUUCAGAAUAAUAAAUUGUUUAAAAUUUGCUAUUAGUCCCUAUAAUUUAAAAGUUAAAAAAAAUUCAAUCCUCCUACUUUUCUAAUUUAAAAAUUUUAGUUCAAUCAAUUUUAAUUUUAAAAUCUCUGUAUAAAAGGUGUUUUUUUUGUGACCGAUCACACUUAACCAAUAUUUAAAAAUUAAUAAAAAAUAUUUUUUUUUGAAAUUUAAAGUGAUCUAAAAACAUAUUUUUAAGUGCUUUGGACCGUCUAUUGUUGAUUUCCUUAUUAUAUUAAGUGUUUGCAAUCACUCCUAAUAUAUUGUGCUUGAGUUGUGACAAAGCCGAUCAUCAAAUUGCCAUAAUGAUCUAUUGAUGCUGAAAUUGAAGUUUUUGUUAUAUUGAUAGAGCUUGUCCUUCAACGCGUACAACGUGUUUGUUAUUUUUCUCCCUUCAAAUUGUAUGAUCUUAUUCAUUAAAUGAAUUAAUGAAUUUCCCUUUUAAAAAGAUAUAUUUUUAAAAAUUAAAUACUUUAUAAAAUAUUUAAAAAUUUGUAAGCCUUAAAACAAUCAACAAAAUAUUUUUGAAAUUUUAUAAAUAUAUUUUAAAACUAUAGUAACGCUACAAAAUAUAUAUAUUUACUAAUUAUAUGCACCUUUUUUAUUUUUAUUUCCUAACAUAUCAUUAUUUUCAACACUAUCGUAAUCCUGUUUUGAUAAUUCCCUUUCCAUACAUCCUUUUUCUACAUAGAAUUUCAAAAGAAAAUGUGAAUUAAUGUAAACGUGAGAAGACUUAAUUACAUUUAUUAGUUUAUCAAUCAAAACUUAAUUAGAAUCCAUCAAUAUUUCACACAUCAAAAACCCAAACAUAAAAUUCACUUUUAAAUUAUUUGAAGAUACAUUUGUAUUAUAGGAAAUCGAUUAAAUUAGUCUUUUAUUAUUAAAUGUAUUAUUUUAAUCUUUGUAUUAGGUAUGAAUGAUAUCUCCUAAAUUGAAGCCAGAGCUAUUCUUGAAAGACUGAAAUUAGGAUUCAGAUGUGUUGAGAUGGAAAGUGACAACACAAUGUUGAUUGAAACUAUUUGUAACAGGUUGACUACAAUAAGUAGUGCUGCCGAAGUAAGACAGAUUCACGAUUGGUGUUCCAAAAAUUGGGAAGUCAAAUUUAGACAUAUUCAGCGGAAUGCCAAUAAAGUUGUUGAUUGCAUAGCUAAGGCAAAUGGAGGCGUAAUUGAGCAGCUGGUUAUCUUGGAAGAUCCUCUGCAUUAUGUGAGAUGGUAGCUUGAAGAAGAUAUUAGACAGUCACUAGUGACUGAUGAUAAUUUUCAUUUGGACUGAUGAGCGCUUAAUUUUCUAAGCUUAUGUUCAACAAAAAAAAUUUUAACUACGUUUAAAUUGUAAUAGAGUUAACAUUUAGUGUUUAAAAAAUAUCUUAAAAAUUAUUAUUUUUUCCAAUUGCAGUUCAAUUCCACAAAUAUCGACGAUGAAUCCGGACAUAAAAAUUAUAGAAAAAAAACACAUCUAUUAUCAAACCAACAAUCCAUGUCUAAACUUAAAUUAACAAAAUUUGCCACGCAACGCCCAGUACACUAUUAUAUAUAUACUAGAUUUAUUCUAGAUGCACAUGUUUUAUUAUAUUUAAAAUUUAAAAUAUAUGGUUGACUAAGUGUUAGUUGAGUUAGUAUUGCUAUUAUUGUCAGUGUAAGGAAAUGUGAGUUUAAUUGCGCUCAAAUGUGUUUUAUCCUCCAAUUCAAGGGUUAGGAAAAGGUUAUUGAUAAUUAAGUUAUACCAACUUUUAUGAUAUUAAAAAAAGGAUUUAUAAAUAAUAUAAGGAAAAGAAAGAAAGAGAAACAUAUUCAUAUUGAUGGGCUCUUUCAAUAUUAGACUUUUUUUUCUAUCACAAGUAAAAAUAUCAAAGGUGAUAAUAAUUAAAUUAUAAAAUUUAAAUUGAGAAAAUAGGGGAUUGAGUUUAUAAGUUUUAAAGUAUAAAGAAUGAAUAUAUAACUAACAACAUAUUUUAACCACAUAAUAAAAGUAGUUAUGGUAAAAUAAUGACCUGAAUAAUUUUAAACGUCUCAUCCUUGCAAAAAUGAAAUAAUAGAAAAGAAAUAAGUGUUGGGUGUAGUGGCAAUGUACAUCAUACUUCUAAGGGGAGAUUAGGGUUUUAGACAAGGGAAGAAUUUUAAACUUGCUCUUUUCUCUAGAACUCAACGCAAACCUCAAAUUUAUCUUUUUAAAAGAAUUUAAAAAUAUGUAUAUAAAAGGUGAUUUUUUUACCGAUCACACUUAACAAAAUUUUAAAAAAAAAUGAAAUUUAAAGUGAUCUAAAAACAUAUUUUUAAGUGCUUUAGACCAUCCUGUGCUGAUUUCUUUAGUAAUUUGAUUUGUUCAAUAUAGAUUUUGGUAACUUAAAACAAAAUUAAUAAAAAAUUAUUUUUUUAGAUAUCUUUUUAAUGUUUAAUAAUAAGUUAAUUUAUAAAAUAUACUUUCAUUGGACACAGGGCCUCCAAGGCGGUGAACCACUAAUCAAAUUAAUUUUGAGAUACUUAAAUUUGUUUUCAUCAAUUAAGAAAUUAAAAAAAUUGUUGAGACCUCAUGAUUAUGUUUUAUAAUUUCAGGCUUAUCAACUAUUUUGAAAAACAACAAAACGUCUUACACCAAAAACUAAAAAAUAAAAACGUCGACAUUAAAUUUGUUGGCAUGCAAUCAAUUUUAAGAUGGUUUUUGGAGUUAUAUAUCACCUUAGCAUUGACUUACUUUUCUACAGUUUGUCUUCUCCAACAAGUUAAAUAUUUCAAUUUUAACAACAUUGACAGGUCUUUGGGGUAGGGUCGAGCAAAAUUCAAUAAAAACAGAUGAUAUAAGUUGAGUUGGCUCGGCCAAGUCGAGUCGAUUUGUUCAAAUUAUUUAAAUUAGUAAAUUUUAGGGUGCAAUUAGAAUUUUUUGUUUUGAGAUGCUAAUUAGAUUAAAAAAUUUCAGUUGCUAAAACAAAAAAAUUGUAUUUAAAAAGGCAUAAAUUAAAUAAUUAAGUUUUUCGAGUUUCCAUUUAAUCAAAGGUUAAAAGGACUAAAUUGAAGCUUUUUAUUUUUAAGAAAGGCUGAAUGACAAAUUGCCCAAAGCCCAUGGCCCUAGCUAUACAACUAACUUUUCUAUGAUUAGUCCUUGGUUUGCUUUGGGUGAAAUCUUCCAACUAGCCUCAUCCUUGGUUUUACUUUCCAACAAUUAGUGUAUCGCGGGUUUUGUUUUCUUUAAAAAAUAUUUGUGGAUAUUAGGAGAUAAUGAAAAUUAUUUUACUAUGAAAUUUUAAUAAAACUGGAAAAUAAGUAAUUUAUUUUAAGAGAUCACAAUUAAACGUUAGAUUUCCCCUUUUUAAAUUAUAAAUUUUUUUUUGACAAUUGCAUAAUAUUUUGAGCGUUGUAGGAAUGCCAUAAUAUAACCUUCCCUACGCAUAAUCGACUCUUGAGCAUGAUGGAUCCUAGACCUUCUCCUCUAUUCUCGUACCACAAAUUGCUUCAAGUGUGGGUUCGAACAAUCACAAAUUAAACGCAAAACCAAAAAUGAUUUAUUACUUUCAAUAGCAAAGUAAUUCUCUCUCAAUAGAAACCAAUAGAAUUGUAAUUCCUAGAAAAUAAAAUUUAUUUUUUGAAAAUAUAUUCUCACUACUUUCUAGCAGAAUAACAAUAUGUGAAACUUAUGUCUUGUGUUAAUAGCUCUACCAGUACUAUCUAUUUAUAGGGAGAGACACGAGAAUCCUGGUUGAAUUAGUAAAACACGAAUAAUAUUUAUUUCAUAGAAAACAAUAUUCCACCCUAAGUAGAUCAAGUUUGUAUGACGCAUGGAUCAAAGCUCAAUCUAGGAGAAAAAAAACAAAGGAAUUUUCUUUGUAAAGAAAAUUUGAGAUUGUACUAUUUUCAAAGUUAUAAAUAAAAUUAUACGCCAAAUUUUCAAGUCAAUUUUCAACUCCAAUUUUGUAUGCACAAAUUUCUAAUACACUUGGUGGGACAUUCUUUGACUUUUAUCUAUUCUCUCAAAAAGUUAAAGUUCAAAGUUACAUUAAACUCAAAGAAGAUAUUCAUUAGUAAACCACCUCACAAGCCUGCUCAAGCUAAUCCUACAACUCGUUCCACUUCAUCAUCAAACACCAAUAUUCUUGCUUAUCCUUAUGGAAUUAAACAGUCUCAUUUUCUGCAUUUUGGGUACACACUUAGUUUUGUUUGAUGCUAAAACAGUCCCCGAGCACUCCAAAACCUAUAAUUGAACAAAUAAUACUAAUUUAAUCUUACAUAACAUGAUCCCAAAUUGAAAUUGUAUCGAGGUUUUAACCCAUAAGUGACUAAACCUUACCUUCAACCGAUGAACAGUAAUUCCCACACAAACUAAGACUCCAAUUGGAGAUUACGAGCCAUUGAAUCCUCCCCUAAUUGGCAUAAACAAAACACUUCAAAAGAAAGUUAACAAAUGGAGACAAAUCACUUAUCUAAAACUUACCGAACGAUCACAGAAAAACGUGGAGUGACACGAGGCAGAGUGGGAAAAGAAAAAUCAAGAGGAUGAAGGGUGAAAGAGAGCAAAAAUUCGGUAGCAAUGAAGAGAAAAACAGCAAGAAAGUGGAGGGAUUUUAGGGAAAGUAAAAAAAAAGAUGAAUAGAAUAUUUGAUAACUACCCAAUCCCUUAUUUCUCUCUAUCAAACUCCCCACUAAAUCCACUACUCGAAUUUUUAGUCCAUCUCAAACUCUCCUGGACGCACGAGCAAAAAAUAAUGACCAUGCCAAAAUUUAAACAAAAGACCUCCUUCACACCAACACUCCACUUAUCCACCAGACCAAUAGGCUCAUUCUUUUAAUUAUUUUCCAACUUUUACUUAAAAGCCUACUGACCAAAGAUAGGGCUUAUUCAUAAAAAUACCAAAUUUUGCCCAAGACCUGGCUUGAACUUGGGACCUCUCAAACACACCCAGAACACAUAACCACUAAAGCAGACAGAAAUUUUGUGUCACACAUUCACAAUACCCAAAAUUAAAAUUUUAGGGCGUUACAAAAACACAUUAAACAAUAUCGCAUAAAACAAUCACAGUCAGAUAACAAUUCAGAAUGUCGAUUUUACAAUUUAACCACCAAUAGUAUCAUAGUAUUCACAGUUGUAAUUUCAGAAUAUCAAAUUUCCACAUCAUUCACAAUAUUCACACAUAUAUAAAUAUAUCAUAAUAGAAUUCUAGAUUUGUAUGCACAUGAUUUAGAAGAUGCCAUACAAUUUUGGGUUUUAACAGAAUAAAUCCUACCCCACAUUACAUACCAUAAUGGGAGUUCCCCUAAACUCCCUUCUCCAACACACUAGGUUGUGGAUAAACCACUAUUGGUUCACAAAUAAUAACUGUCAUUUGGCUGUGGACACAUAGCAAGUCCCCGCAAUUGGAUUCUAGAUUUGGUUGUGGAUUCACAGCAAAAAAAUCCUACAAAUGAAGCCUGCUUUUGCCUGUAGAUUAUACAACAUAUACCCGCAGUUGGAAUCUGUCUUUGGCUGUGGAUGCAGUGUAACACCUCAAACUCGACCUAGACGUUAUGGCUAAAUCUUAAUGAUUUACUUUAACUCGCUAGAAAGCCCACGAAUUUACUUUAAAAUCAUGUGGUUAAACUAGUGUUCACUUUGAUAAAUCGUUUUCCAGUUUUAGAGAAAAUUCUUGUUAAAACUGUUACUUUAUUACAAUAAAACAUUGAAGUAAUUGUAUCAUUUUGUAGUGGAAUCUACUAAGCUAUAAGGUUUUGAAAAUCGUGAUUUAGUUUGAAACAAAUCAUUUUGCAAAUAGAAAUUUAAUACUACUUAAUUUGGAAAAGCACGCUAAAACGAAAGCAAAGUCCAAAAUAAUUUACGGUUUGAAAUUCUAAAAAGCCCAAAUUAGUCAUAAAGUCUAUUUAAACCAAUUUAUCGAAAGUGUAACACCCUAAACCCGGCCUGUAUGUUAUGGCCAAAUCUAGAUGUGUUACGAAAAAAAGUUUAUAAAACGACUUCCUUGUUAUUGGCAAAUCAUCGUAGCCAUUAUUACUUAGUAUAUCUGAUUUGUUUGGAAAACUUAUUGAUAUACUUAUUUGAUUUAAAAUCGUUGCUCACUUACGCCUUUUUAUUAAACCAAAUAUUUUGCAGCGGAGUUUCUUUAAAACAUCAUAUUUUGGAAAAUCAAAUUGUUUCUUGAAAAUCGUUAUUUUAGAAAAGUUGUCAUUUUCAGAAAAAUUAUUUUAUCAGUUGUUAUGCUGAGAAAACAAAAUAAAAUCCAAAACCAAAAAUAGUCCCAAAAAGUCUAGAGAGUCCCAAAAUGACAAUACUCUUAAAACUAGACAAGUUUAAACUAAUUUUAAAAGAAUGAAAUUUUACAGAAAUGUGGACACCACUGAGCUUCCGUCGCACCGACCCACCUAAAUCUGAGGGUUACUUGAACAGAAUAAACAAACAGAGAGUGAGUUUUGAAACUUAGUGUCUAACGCGUAUAUAAACAAAAAUUCAGAAUCAAUCUCAUGCAGAACAGAUACAAGUGUAAACCUUUUAUAAAAUUAGAAUUAUACAGAUACAAAUAUGCAACAUCCUACCCUCAUCCUCUACACACCAACUCCGACCAUUCUAUCACACCACGUGGGGUAUAAAAUACCCACCCAGCCCUACACACCGUAUAGUAUUUAUAUGACACUUUUUGGAAUAAUCGCAGCAGAGUUGCCAGUAUAUAGGCGAGAUAUCACCUCACACAGAACACUUCCUCCUCAUAAUACAAAUCCCGCCCCAUAGCCAGAUACAGACAAAAUAUCAUGUAAAAUAAAUUAACAGAUACUAGAGUUAACAUAUCACGCAUGAGCGUAUAAUAGAUAUUACACAUGCUUAUGCAUAACAAAAUAGAUCAUACAUAUUGUAUUCCAUAAUACUCAUAUAAAUGUUAUUUACGUCAAUCUCAAUCUAAUAGAGUAGCUGAUUUCAUGCUUUAACUCUUAUACCACACAUACAGACCCUAUAGAAGGCCCACAGUUGAUCGAGACAACAUGUAUGUCCCUAGGGAAAAAAUUUGUAAUUUGGGCCCAUAUGCAUGUAUGAGCCCACACACCCAAAAUGGCCUUGCCCAUGUGGCUCACCUACCUAGCACUCAGCCCAUACGGUCCAAAAUGGCCUAGGUCGUGUGUCACACACAGCCGCAUGUUGCACACAGCCUACCACAUAGCGAGUCACAAAACCGUUUGGAGUUGACAAGCCUAAUUUUUGGCUUUCGUCAAUCGUCAUUUUCUUACGUUUUCAUUACACACUUGGUUUGAUUCUGACCCAAAAGCAACCCUAAGUCCACCGAAACCUAAAAAUAGCAUUCCAAUGCCCAAUUUCAGUGAACAUUUACAAAACUUAAACAAAAACUAUCCAAAAACAUAGCCUCACAAUAGCAUCCAAUGCACUCGCACACUUACCGUCAACGAAUAGGAAACACCCAACACUCAAUUCGUUGGCGGAGCACCAAUUAUGAUAAUGCAAAAAUUUUAUGGAUUCUCAACACUAUCGAUCCAAAUGUAAGAUUGAUGCUUUCCAAUUAUGAUAAUGCAAAAAUUUUAUGGGAUGGUUUACAUGAAUUUUUGUUGUUGUCAACGAUCAAUGUAUUCAAUAAUUAAAAGAAAAUAUUAGUCGUUGUUAGAAAACCAAUACUAUGAGUGUUGUAGUUUAUUUCAGUAAAUUAAAGGUUUUGUGGGAUGAACUAGACAAUCAUGAACAAUUGAUUUAUUGCAAGUGUGGACAAUGUUUAUGUAACUUAGGGAAGACGGAUGAACAAUGUCGUGAGCAUGAUCGACUUCAUCAAUUACUUCUUGCUCUCUAUUCUAAUUGUUAUGCUCAAACUAGGUUUACAUUGUUUUACCAAGAUCCUUUGCCUUCCUUAAAUCAGGCAUUCCAACAAAUUACUUAGGAGGAACAUGUACGUGGAAUUACACUGAUUAAGGAAGAGAAGUCUGAUAUUUUAGGCUUUGCUUUGCAUACAGAAGGUCAUAACAAAGGCCGAGCUAAUUGUAUUGAUAAGUCAACCUUGUUGUGCACUCAUUGCUAUCGCAAAAGGCAUGAGAUGGCUACCUAUUUUGAAUUACAUAGCCACUUGGAUUGGCGGCUUAAGAAGUAUGGGAAGCCAGAGAAGAAAAGUGAUGAUCGUGGUGGUAAGACAAGUGCACAUCUUCCACGUAAGUAUUUUAUUUCAAAGGAUCACAAUUAAACAUUAGAUUUCUCAUUUUUAAAUUUUUUUUAUUUUUUUAACAACUACGUAAUUAACGAGUACCAAUUUUGGGUGUUGUAGGGGUUCUAUAACUUUCCCUAUAUGUAAUCGACUCUUGCACCCUCUUUUUUUCUCUAGAAUUCAAUGCAAACCUUAAAUUUAUCUUUUUAAAAGAAUUUUAAAAUCUCUUUAUAAAAGACGAUUUUUUUAGGUGACCAAUCACAGUUAAGAAAAACAAAUCGGUGGCAACUCCUUUCUAAUAAAUGUAAAAAACUUUUUAAACAAAAUAAGGUUGAAAUAAUCUAGUUGUCGUUAUACUUUGAUAAAAUUUUAGAUUUAGUCCUUAUACUUAAAAGGUUAAAAAUUAAGUCUUGUUUUUAUUUAAAAAUCUUAGUCCUAUCGUUAAUAUUGUUUUUUUUUUGUCAAAAUUUGUCAAGUUGACAUAUUAAUUAGGUUUCUCUUAUAUAUCGUGGUAUAUGACUAACACAAAAUAAACAAGUUGACAAAUUCUACAAAAAAUAUCAAAGAUGAUAAUAGUUUAAUUAAAAUUUUUAAAUUAAAAAAGUAAGGGAUUAAAUUUAUAACUUUUAAAGUAUAAUGAAUGAAAUUAUUGAAAUACAAGAACUAACAACAUAUUUUAAAAAUAUUACUAGUAAAUUAUAUAUCUACAACAAGAAUUGUAACCUCUUAUAUUAUAUUCUUGUAUUUAUUUUUGCAUCUUUCAUAAUAUGAUUUAUUAAUUUUAAUAUUUUUAUAGAAUAAUAUGCUUUAAAUAGUUUUUUGUAUCAUUUAUAAAAAUUAUAAUAAACUUACAAAAUAAUUUAAUGAUAUUUAAUUAUUAAUCGAAAAAAAUGAUAUCAUAUAUAUUAUGUAUAUAUUAAGAUUCCAAAUCAUUAAUUAUAUAUCUACGCAUUAUAAUAAAUUCAUCUUUCAAAAUUUUCCUUAUAAUUAAAGCAUAAAUUAUAUUUAUAAUAAUAUAAAUAUAUUCUAUCAUAAAUAUUCUUUCAAAUAUUUUUUAAUGUUUAAUAAUAAGUUAAUUUAUAAAAUAUUCUUUCAGUAAAUUAACGUGAUGAGAUCGUUAGGUGCUUGGAUUUGGUGAAGGGGGAUGAAGAGAAAAGGGAUGGAAGUGAAUAAAAAUGUUGAGAAAUGGAAAGGGUUAGCGAGGGAAGCCGCCAUGAAAGGUGGUUCAAUGGAUAUGAACCUUCAAGCUUUUGUGGAUGAUGUUACUCAAGGUUGUUGCAAGUAAAUUUAAAAAUGUUUUUAAAUUAUUUUUUUGUUAAAAAAACAUUUUUUACUUUUUUAUGUGGCAUGCCACAUUAUCAUACUAUCAUGUGACAAUUUCUGGUGAUUUCUGUCCGCAACAUUAGUCAAAUCAACUGUUAAAUCGUUCAACUCACAGUUUUUGUUAAAUGAAGAGGUUAAUUGAUUUUUUUUUGGAAUCAUUGAGUACUCAAUUGGUGCACUUUUUUCAUAAAGGCUAAAUUAAUUUUUUAAUUUGUUAUUGUUGAAGGCUAUAGCAAUAAAAAAAAUUGAGGUAAAAAAAUAUUAGAGCUAAAUUUGUCAUUAUGCCUAAAAUGUAAAACCAAAUUUUUUUGAAAAUGAAAAAAAAUGGAAAAUCGCAAAUUCCGUCGCAUAUUUUUGCUUAAAAUUAUAGUUUUGGUCACCAAUCUUUUGAAGUAAAUAUAGGUCACCAAUAUUAUCAAUUUGUUACUUUGUAAUAACUCACCUUAAGUUAUACCCCGACGCACGAAAGGAUUAAAUGACAUUGGGAUACCAUCAAACUUGUAUCUUAAAUACACAUUUACCCCUAAUUUUAUCACAUUCUUCUUAAUUGGUAUUUAUGGUUUAGAAAAUUUUACAAAUAUAUUAUUUUUUAAGAAAUUAUAAGAAGAUUACAAAAAUUCCAAAAUAAUAUAAAAAAGCUAAGGAAAACCUAGAAAUUCAAAAAAAAAAACGUGGACAUUGAAUUUGCUGUUUCACAUUAAAUUUUUGGAGAAGUAGAAUUUUCUAACUUAUUUUCCAUCAACUUCACUUCAAUUUUCAAUCACAAUCUAUUGCAUUCAAGAGCACCACAUCUUUUGGGAUGAAACAAACCUCUCAAUUUUAAGAUAAACGGAAUCUAUUGCAUUCAAGAGCACCACGUCUUUUUGGAUGAAACAAAGCUCUCAAUUUUAGGAUAAACGGGUCUUUAGGGUUAUAAAUUGAGGUCCUUUUCCACAAUUGCGGGUGAUUCGUUGAUAAUAACCUCAACAUUUCUGUAUCACAUUUAAUUCAAUUCCACAUUCAAUUUUUAGUUUUUAGAGAGAUGAUUGGGUUACAACAAUGGUUUGAAGUGAAGAUAUUUCAAAACAAGAUGAAUACUCUACCAAUAGUCAUAAUUUAAAAUGCAGGUUAUGUUUCAUUUCAGCUAAGUUAAAUGUUAAGAUUGAGGUUAAACCUUUUAGAGGUUGCUCGCAAAAGGAUCAAACCUUUAUAAAAUUGUUUAAAUGAAGGUCAAACCUCUUAAAAUAGACAAAUAAGGGCCUAACCUUUUAAAAGGUGUUCAAAUAAGGGUUUCUCAAAUUUUGUAUAUCAGGUUAUGUAUUUUACUCUAAACACAUCGACAUUUACCUAUUUUUUCUAUAAAUUGGGUUGAAGUGCAUGAAAAAACCUUAUUUAAGCACUUCUGUAAAGGUUAAACUCUUAUUUGACUAUUUUGAAAGGUUUGAUCCUUAUAUAAGCAACCUCUAAAAGAUUGAGUACUAAUUUGACAAGAUUGAGAAAUACCUAAAUUUGUUUUCAUGAAUCAAGAAAAUAAAAAAGAAAUGUUGAGAAAUAUUUUAGAGAUUCUUAGCUUUGACAAGUUCCCUCCAUCAUCUUCCUGCCUCCAGUCCCACCUCUUCUCUUAUGCUCCUCCCAGCUUCUUGCUUUUUGUGUGUUGAAAUUUCAAAGGAACAAAAUAUCAACCUACAUCAUAAGGCACGAUUGCCAGAACUUUACUUUCUAGCCUGUCGAUCCGAUCCAAUGAAAGAAGAACAAAGAGUCUCAAGAUCUGUCAACUUUAUUUCAUUUUCAUUUUCUUUGUCAUUUUCUAUGUUUCAUGUCGAAUACAAUGAAAGAACAUAGAAAAAUGUUGCCUAUUUAUUUCCCAAUCAUCAUGAAAUUACUUGCCAUAGACUUAGAAUUUUCUCACCAAUUUUCAAGCAAUCUGACAUGAUUUCUCAAUCACAAUUAAUUGAAUUCAAGAUCUUUUUAGAUGACACAAACAUUUCAAUUUUAACACAAACCAAUAUUUAGGUUGUACUUCAGUGCUUGACAAGCACUUUCACAUUUGUGGGAUAAGAACUCUUAACAUUUUAGGAUCACAUUUAAUUCAAUUGCAUUUAAGACCUCACGAUUUUAUUCUAUAAUUUCAGUCUUAUCAGCCUUUUCGGAAACAAUAAAACGUCGACAUUAAAUUUGUUGUUGAUGCAUUCAAUUUUUUGAGGGGUCUUUGGAGUUAUAUGUGACUUUAGCAUUGACUGACUUUUUUAUAAUUAAUCUUUUAUAAUAUAUCAAUUUUAAUAACAUCGACAUGUUUUUUAGUAGGGUCUAGCAAAACCCAAUUAAAACCGAUGAUAUUGGCUUAGUUGACUCGGUCAAGUCCAUUAGAUUGAUAAAAUCAAUUUUAAAAUCAGUUAUAAUGGAUUAAGGUAAUUAAUUAUCGAGUAAUGAAAUACAUAAUCAAAUCAAUUGAUUUUGUUAGAAACUAAAAGAAAAUGAGAUAAGCUGAAAACUGAUUGCCCUUUAUUAAAAUUAACGAAUCCGCCCUUUACGUAUUAGAUAAUACGAACAUCACAUAUAUAAUAAGAAAAAUUACGUAUGAUUAUUUAUUAUCAUAAAAGGUUAGUUUAAAUUUAAAGUAAUCUAAUAUGUUUAUUGAACUUCAACUAUUAAAUAAAGUAUAAGCUAAAUAAGUAUAAAUAUUCUAGAAACCAUUUCUAACUGAUGAUAGGCUAAUUCGAUUAAUUUAUAAAAACUACAUAGUAGGGUUAUAGUCCUCAAACUACACCUAAUUUAAUAAUAUUUAUAGUUUUUUUUUUAGCCUUAAACAUUUAUAGUUUUUUGUUAAUUUGGUCCUUACUCUUUAAAAUUACAUAAAAAUUGCAAAAAAAAUUAAAAUUAAUUUUUUUUCAUAAUUUUAAUAACAUUUAUAGUUUUUUUUUUGUGUGUGGUUUGGUAACUUAUCAACUCGACUCUCACUUGUAACCAACUUUUCUAACCUUUUUCGUACCCUUAACCUAAGUCCCGUUACAACUUUCUAAAGACCUCUUUAUCAGUGUAUCAUGUCGGUUUGUUUUAUAAUGGUGGAGAUUUGUUUUUUGUAGUGGCACGAUUGCCAGAACUUUACUUUCUAGCCUAUCGAUCCGAUCCAAUGAAAGAAGAACAAAGAGUCUUAAGAUCUGUCAACUUUAUUUCAUUUUCAUUUUCUUUGUCAUUUUCUAUGUUUCUUGUCAAAUACAAUGAAAAAAGAACAUAGAAAAAUGUUGCAUAUUUAUUUCCCAUUCAUCACUCUAACAGGCCCAAUUAGCCCAGGCCCAAACAUUAAUAAAAUGUCUAGAUUACAAAAUAAUCAACUAAAAAUUAAAAGCUCAAAAAAUAAAAUAAAACCCAUUAUAUUAACCCAAAACCCCAGCCCAAUUACAUUGAAACCCAAAAAAAAAAUAGUUUUCAGAAACCCCUAGGGUUUCAGAAGCCCCUCAAUGUUAUUUUGUAUAUCUAUUUAUCUUUUUAAAUUUUCGAUAUUGUCUUGUUUUGUUUUUGUAUUAUUGUUGUUACCAUCAUUAUUCAUUAUUAUUAUUGUUGAUUUUAUUGUUCUUUGAUUAAUGUUAAUGUUAGAGUAAUAGAUGUUAUGUGAUCAUUGUUAUUAUAUGUUAUAAUUUGUUUACACUCGUAUUGUAGUCAUUUGUCAGCUUAAUAUUUUGAGUAAUAUUUUAAAUAUUACAUUAAUUUCGACCCAAAUGCAUAAUUUUUUAAUAAGUAAUAUUUUAUAUUUUGAAAUUUGAGAGAUCAUUCCCUAACUUACGGGGUCUCAAUUUUUUCGAUAAAUCUGAAUAUACUAACUAUUUUCAAAAAAUAUGUUUUAAAAUUAUCUCGGGAAUUUAAAAAGGAGCGUGUUCUAACUUACUGAAUAUGAUCUUUUUUUUAAAAUCGAGAUAAUCAAAUAACUUUCAAAUAAAUAAAUUUUCAAUGUUUAUUCUCAUAUCAGGAUUUAAAAUAUUAUAUCCUAACUCACGGGAUACAAUUCUUUUUCUCGAUUAACAUGAAAUAUGCCCGUUUUAAUUUUAUUUUUUAAGUGAUUUUAACAAAAGGAUUGUAUUUUAAAUCUCUUCAAAAUUUUCAAUUUUUCGACAUUGAGACAUUAACUAAUCAAUUAGGUACCAAUUUUGGGCGUUACGAGGGUGCUAACCCUUCCUCAUACGUAACCGACUCCCGAACCUAUUUUUCUGAAUAUUGAAGGCCAAAAUUGUUUUAAUAAAUUAAACCCUUAAGACGUGACCCCAUCACACCUCAUAAAAAUUAUCGGUGGCGACUCUCGUUUGCGUUUUUGUUUUCGUUUUCAAAAUAAAAGUCGACCCCUUGUUUUAAAAAAGGUGGUUCGAUAGCUUGGCGACUCCGUUGGGGAAAAAAAUAAGAGAGUCAAGCCACGAGUUGAUUAUUUCUUAUUUUUUGUCAGAAAUUGUGAAUUCGAUUUAAAUUUACGAUCUUUUCAUUGCAUUUUAUGGUCUGCAUCAUUUUGAUAUGCUUGCUUUACUGGUUCGAGUCUUUUAAUCUCCGCAUAUUGCAUUGCAUAACCGUUCGGUUAUACCCUUUUAAGUGGGAGUGAGAAACUAUUCAUUUGUGAGAUUUUUACCUCCGUAUAGGAUAGUGGAUUACUUUCGGGAUACAUCCGUACCUAUGUCUUCGUGAGAUUUUCAUCUCCGUAUAGUUAUAGGGAAAUGUAUUCCCCUGAACUGAACUCAGUCCGUAUGAGCCUAUAAUAGGUAAGGAUUGAGGAAUCUGCUGGUUCAGGUACCCUUUCUUUAGAACUAAACUGCAUGUAGUGAGCCCUAAGAGCAUACCGUAGGUAGAACCACUCCAAACCCCUAGUGGUCACCCAAAUAGGUGCUCUAUUUAUUUUUGCUUGCUUAUUUUUGCAUUGUACUAACCUAUUUUUUUGUUAUGAUUGCAUUGCAUUUUCAUCAUAAAAAAGAUGUGUUGAUUCACGUUCAAUUGCUAAAUAGAGAGCUUGUCAUGGAAAACGGAUUUCUUGAUAAAGUGGAAGACAAUGUGGUUAUCCGGAUAUGGUCCAAGAAAAUUUGACGAAAGAAGGGUGAUAGUCUAAUGGAGGACUACACGACCUUGCUUUAUUGCCCGAGGAUUCAAGUUGACAAAGAUUAUUUGAGAGUCCUCAAUGUCCCGACCUUUUUCAAGAAGCUAACGAGUGUCACGAGGAUGAGUGAGUAAUGAGUUGCGGCCCGGAUCAAGCAAAAAAGAGAUAGAGGAGACACCCUUUUUGAAGAGUUCGCGAGAUUUAUAUUAAUAUCAAAAUGAAGAAAAAGAUCAAUGUCUUCGCCUGGAGUAUGAAAGCAAAGCUGUAUAUAUAUCCGCUUUAUGUAAAUAAAUUUGUUUUCUAGUAAAGUUUUUCUAAUAGAAUUGAAUCAGAAUCAAUGUCUUUUUUUGCAUUCAUUCCAUUCAUCUGCAUUGCAUUUCAUUGCAUCCAAAAUUUCACAAAAGGACCCUAAUUAAUUGAAAUUGUUAUAGUUACUCUGAAAACUAAUAAAAAUCUACCAAUUAAAUAUUCCUACGGUACCCGUCGCAAAACCAAAGUAAUGGAUCAAAUAUUAGAAAGAUUAGAACAAAUUCUGAAAGACAAGCAUAAUCGUUUUUGCUUAGGGUACAAGCCAGAUACAAGACAAAGAAGGAAGGAGUUAGAGAAGAAAUAGGAAAGAAUGACAGCAUAUUUGAGCGAGGAUGAGGUCAAAUGGGAGCCUAUGAACUUUCCCUACAUAUCCAAAACUUUUGUAUCGGGAGGGAUUAUUCAUCCCGAGCGAAGAAUGCCAAGAGAAGAAAAUAUUGAAGAAAUGUUGGGAAACGUUCACAUCAAUGCCAUAUACGAAGAAGUAGUUGAAGGAUGGACCUUGUUAGAUAUCCGACCUUAUGAACCUGGGAGUGUGCUAAACAAUUGGACUACAGAAGAAAUUCCUGUAGUGUUUAGACCUUACUCAGAGUAAUAUUCAAAACACACUUGUUGCUUUUAGCCUAGAAGUGAUAAGAAUCCCUCUGUGAAAUAGGCUCAUGUAUAAACAUCAUUAUUUUAAUAAAGUAAAUCUUUGCAUUCAUUUUGAGCAAAUAUUCUUUUAUUCUUUCCAUACGAGUAAUUAUUUUAGAUUUUUCAUUAUUUUAGGAUUUUCUUCCAAAAAUCAUUCUUUUAUUACAUUCAUAAUCAUACUGUACAAAUAAUUAUUCUUAAAUUCAUUCAUUCUUUGUAUAUUCUUUUGUACCUAUAAUAGGUCCCUAGAUAUCAACGACAUGAGUGACGCUGCUACAGACUUAGAAUUUCCUUUUAAACAAGACAUGUGUUUAGAGGGAUCCCAUGACUUUGAAGAUGACGUAGACUGUGGCUUAUCUCCGGACUUGUUAAGGAUGGUAAAACAAGAGGAGAAGCAAAUCCUACUUCACAAUGAAUCAAUGGAAAUUGUGAGCUUAGAAGGGGAAAAUAGGUGAAGAUUGGGACUGACAUUGCCACAAAUACGAAGUAAGACCUCAUUGAGUUACUCUAAGAAUUCAAAGAUAUUUUUGCAUGGUCAUACUAGGAUACGCUCGGGUUAAGUACUGACAUUGUAGUACACUGCCUUCCUAUAAAAGAAGAUUGCUAGCCAGUUCAGCAGAAACUCCAGAGGAUGAGGCCUGAUAUUGUGCUAAAAAUAAAAGAAGUCAAAAAGUAAUUUGAUGUUGGGUUCUUACAAGUGGUCAAAUAUUCAGAAUGGGUAGCCAACAUCGUCUCAGUUCCUAAAAAAAAUGGGAAAGUACGAAUGUGCAUGGAUUACAGAGACUUGAACAAGGCCAGUCGAAAAGACAAUUCCCUAUUGCCUCACGUUGACACUUUGGUGGAUAAUACAGUAGGCUACUCACUUUUUUCCUUCAUGGAUGGCUUCUCUGGAUACAAUCAGAUAAAGAUGCAUCCAAAAACAUGGGAAAGAUUACAUUCGUGACCCUGUAGGAAACGUUUUACUAUAAAGUGAUGACAUUCAGAUUAAAGAAUAUGGGAGCGACGUAUCAAAGGGUGAUGGUAACCUUGUUUCAUGACAUGAUUUACAAGGAAAUCGAGGUUUAUAUUGACGAUAUGAUUGCAAAAUCUAGAACAGAAGAGGAACAUGUGCAGGUCCUGAGAAAAUUAUUCUUAAGACUGAGAAAGUUCUAGCUCAAGCUUUCCAACGAAAUGCACUUUCGGAGCUAGGUCAGGAAAGCUAUUAGGCUUCAUAGUCAGUGAAAAAGGAAUCGAGAUCAACCCAGACAAAGUCAAGGUAAUAAGAGAUUUACCUCCACUAUGCACUCAGAAGAAAGUUCGAGGUUUCCUAGGAAGACUAAAUUACAUUGCUCGGUUUAUUUCACAACUAACCGAAAAAUGUGACCCCAUAUUUCAUCUUUUAAAGAAACAUAAUCCAGAUGUAUAGGAUGAAGAAUGUCAGGAAGUUUUUGAUAGGAUAAAGCAGUACCUAUCAAAUACUCUAGUGCUGUUACCACCUAGCCCAGAUAGGCCACUGAUAUUGUAUUUAACAGUGUUUGAUAAUUUUAUGGGAUGCAUGCUAGGCCAACAUGAUGAGACAGGAAGGAAAGAAAGGGUUAUAUACUAUCUCAGUAAGAAAUUCACUGAUUAUGAAAUAAGAUACUCGUCUAUUGAGAAAUUAUGUUGUGCCUUGAUCUGGAUAACUCGGAGGCUAAGGCGGUACAUGUUGUACCAUACGACUUGACUAAUUUCAAAGUUAGACCCUUUAAAGUAUAUGAUGGAGUCAACUACUUUGAAUGGGAGGAUGGCCAGAUGGCAGAUUUUACUUUUUGAAUUUGACAUACUUUAUGUGAGCCAGAAGGCUAUAAAAUGGAGUGCAAUAGCGGAUUUUCUAGCUAGCAGAGCCUUGGAGGAUUAUGAGCCUUUAAAUUUUGAUUUUUUGAACGAGGACUUAAUGUAUGUGGCAACCACUAAAGAAAAUGCUCAAGUGGAUCGCAUUUGGAAGCUAAAAUUUGACGGAGCCUCAAAUGCUAUGGGUAAUAAAAUUGAGGCAGUCUUAGUAUCCCCGAGCAGAGAUCAUUAUCCUAUUGCUGGCAAAUUGGAUUUUGAUUGUACAAACAAUAUAGCAGAAAAUGAAGCGUGUAUUAUGGGCAUCCGUAUAGCCAAAGAAUGUAAAAUCAAAGUGCUAAAGGUAUAUGGGGAUUCUGCAUUGGUGAUAUAUCAGCUCAAAGGAGGAUGAGAGAUAAGAGACCUCAAAUUGAUUAAUUAUCGAAAGUUUAUUCUCGAAUUGAUUGAUGAGUUUGAUGAUAUUACUUUCUCCUAUCUCCCACUAGAUGAAAACCAGAUGGCUGACACGUUGGCUACUCUAGCUUUCAUGAUCAAAGUAAACAAACUAGAAGACAUGAAGCCUAUCCAGAUGAGCAUUUAUGAGACUUUGGCUCAUUGCUACAGUAUCGAGGAAGAGGAAAAGGAUGAUCAUCCUUGGUACCAAGAUAUACUGCAAUAUGUAAAGAAUCACGAGUACCCUGAUCAGGCAACGAAGAAUGAUAAGAGGACAUUGAGAAGACUAGCCACUAACUAUGUCUUACAUGGAGAGAUUUUAUACAAAAAGGGAAAGGAUCGGGUACUACUAAGAUGCUGGAUGCUAUAAAAGCUUAGAAAAUCUUGGAGGAAGUCCAUGAAGGUAUCUGCAAAAUGCAUGCCAACGGUUUCACAAUAGUAAGACAGAUUAUGAGAUUCGGGUACUACUGGUCGACCAUGGAAGGAGAUUGCAUCAAUUAUGCCAAGAAGUGCCAUAAAUGUCAAAUUUAUAGAGACAAAAUACACGCACGUUCUUCACCUCUCAACGUUAUGACUUCUCUAUGGCCUUUCUCUAUGUGGGAUAUGGAUGUCAUCGGGCCAAUAUUGCCAAAGGCUUCUAAUAGGUAUCGUUUCAUCUUCAUGGUCAUUGGUUACUUCACUAAAUAGAUGGAAGCUGAUUCAUAUGCUAAUGUCACGAAGUCAGGAGUCAGCAAGUUCUUGAAAAGGGAGAUCAUAUGUUGAUAUAUAAUGCCUGAAAGAAUCAUAUCUGACAAUACAUUGAAUUCGAAAAAUAGCAAAAUAGCGGAGGUCUGCAAUCAAUUCAAGAUCAAACACCAUAAUUCGUCACCAUAUCGCCCAAAAAUGAACGGAGCAGUGGAGGCGGCCAACUAAAAUACCAAGAAAAUUGUGGGGAAAAUGUCUGAGACUUACAAAGAUUGGCAUGAAAAAUUACCAUUUGCCCUCUUUGUUUAUCGAACAUCAAUCAGGACUUUCGUCGGGGCAACGCCUUUCUCUCUAGUUUAUAAGAUGGAGGCAGUUUUACCCAUUAAAGUUGAAAUCCCUUCUCUCUGGGUAUUGGCUGAGCUAAAGUUGGAUGAAGCUGAAUAGAUCCAACCUCGAUAUGAUCAGUUGAACCUAAUAGAAAGAAAAAGGCUAAAAGUUAUUCACCACGGUCAGAUGUACCAAAAACGAAUGAUGCGAGCCUACAACAAAAAAGUUCAUCCCAAAGAAUUCUAUGAGGGGGACCUAGUGUUGAAAAAGAUUUUUCCUCUACAAAAGAAUUUUAGAGGAAAAUGGAUGCCAAAUUAGGAAAGACCUUAUGUUGUAAUAAAGGCCUUUUCUGGAGGAGCAUUGAUUUUGAGUGAGAUGGAUGGUAAAAAUUUUCCUAAUCUUGUAAACUCAGAUUCAUUCAAGAAAUACUUCACCUAAAGAAGGAGAAGGGACCAAUGUGAAAACCUGCAAAGGGCACUUUGAGUCUUAAAAAAAAGAGACCAAGGUGAAAACCGCAAAUGGUGUCUUAAGUCCUAAAAAAAAGAGGCCAAGGUGAAAACUAGCAAAGGGCGCCUUGAGACCAAAGGGGAUUUGAGUUGAAAACCCGAAAAGAGCGACUCAAAUAUUGAUUAAAAUGGGGCAUGCAGUGAUCUUGCUAUACUUGAAUUAAUAGGAAAGGGGUAUACGACAUCUUGGGGCAUCGACAAAGUACUAUAGAUCUCCUAAACACAUUUCAAACUCAAAAUGGUCUUUAGGAAGUUUGUACAGAGAAAUUCAAGCUGCGAUGUCUAGGGCACCUAGUCUUCAUACUAUUUAUAUUAAAUUUGCUAUUCUUGGAAUACUUUAUUCUUUUCAAGAUACGUGUUCCCAAUCAAUUCCCUUUUUAUUCUUCUUUAUCCUUGAUAAUUUAUUCAUUUCGAGCUAUGCUCCAAAUCAAUUCUAUUCUUAUCCAUUGUUAUUAUCUUUUGCAAGCAUGUUGUAUUGGAAUAAUGAUUAAUAGACUAAUAAUACUUUUACAAAUAAAGUGCUGUAUAUUACUCUAAAAGUUUCUAAAUAAUACAAGAACCUAAAACAGGACUAUUGUUUAGAACGCACCGGGUUUAAAGGUUAGAAAUAUCUGAGAAGGAAGAGUCCAAAUUAAGACUAUCCCUUCGAAUUUUGUUGUCAAAAUAUUGAUUGAACAAAACGACAAGAUAUCGUAUUGGUGAACAAACGAGCAAUGAUCACCAGGUAAUAAAAAGAGGUUAUUUUGGAAAAAAAAUUACAUUGGUACGACACCUUAGGAAUGGUGUAAGAGACCAAAGAGGUUCACAUCUUGUAUUCUUGAAUUGCAAUAGGAGAGGAUUGAGAAAGAGCUAGAUAUUAUACUCCUGAAUUAUAAUGGAAGGGAAAUGGUACAAAUUUUAUGUACCAAAAGUACAGUGGAUUGAACCUUGAAGAUUACAGUAGGGGAAAUCUGAUUAAGUAAAAUAUGAAGUGUUUCUUUGGAGAUACCAGUCGAACAAGAUGGCAUUAUGACGUGUCGGUGAUAGAGCCUUAAUGAAUAAUGAGCAAUAACAACUCAAGCAUUAAGGGAUCAUUUUCAUAACAUUCUGUAUUCAUUCAUACACAUCUAGUUAGGAGAUUUUGAUUCAUUCCGAUCAUAACAUCCAAAUCACUAGACAUAAAUAGGCCCAUGAAAUGGAUUCUACAGGUCAUGUUCCCCAUAGAACAGAUGGGUGAAACCACAAAUCCUAUACCGCUGAAGUUGCAGUGGGAUGGAUUGAAGUCAUUAUGGCGAGUCUUAUCUCCCUGAAGUUGCAAUGGAGCAUAUUAAAGCUAGUAAUCUUAUCUCCCUGAAGUUGCAGUAGAGCGGAUUGAAGUUACAAGUCUUAUCCCCCUAAAGUUACAGUGGAGCAGACUGAAGAUAGUGAAUCUUAUUUCCCUGAAGCUGCAGUGGAACAAAUUGAAGCUAUAAAUUGUAGAUUUUAUCUCUCUAAAGUUGCAAUAGAGAAGAUCAUAUCAAACUUUAUCUCCCUGAAGUUGUAGUGGAACAGGUUGAAAAUACCAAUCUUAUCUCCCUGAAGUUACAGUGGAGUAGACUGAAGAUAGCGAAUCUUAUUUCUCUGAAGUUGCAGUGGAACGGAUUGAAGCUAUAAAUUACAGAUCUUAUCUCUCAGAAGUUGCAGUAAAGCAGAUCAUAGAAAACCUUAUCUCCCUGAACUUGCAGUGGAGUAGGUUGAAGUUAUAAGUCUUAUCUCCCUAAAGUUGCAGUGGAGCAGACUGAAGAUAGCGAAUCUUAUUNNNNNNNNNNNNNNNNNNNNNNNNNNNNNNNNNNNNNNNNNNNNNNNNNNNNNNNNNNNNNNNNNNNNNNNNNNNNNNNNNNNNNNNNNNNNNNNNNNNNNNNNNNNNNNNNNNNNNNNNNNNNNNNNNNNNNNNNNNNNNNNNNNNNNNNNNNNNNNNNNNNNNNNNNNNNNNNNNNNNNNNNNNNNNNNNNNNNNNNNNNNNNNNNNNNNNNNNNNNNNNNNNNNNNNNNNNNNNNNNNNNNNNNNNNNNNNNNNNNNNNNNNNNNNNNNNNNNNNNNNNNNNNNNNNNNNNNNNNNNNNNNNNNNNNNNNNNNNNNNNNNNNNNNNNNNNNNNNNNNNNNNNNNNNNNNNNNNNNNNNNNNNNNNNNNNNNNNNNNNNNNNNNNNNNNNNNNNNNNNNNNNNNNNNNNNNNNNNNNNNNNNNNNNNNNNNNNNNNNNNNNNNNNNNNNNNNNNNNNNNNNNNNNNNNNNNNNNNNNNNNNNNNNNNNNNNNNNNNNNUCAAAGGAACAAAAUAUCACCUACAUCAUAAGGCACGAUCGCCAGAACUUUACUUUCUAGCCUGUCGAUCCGAUCCAAUCCAAUGAAAGAACACAAGGAGUCUUAAGAUCUGUCAACUUUAUUUCAUUUUCAUUUCUUUGUCAUUUUCUAUGUUUCAUGUCGAAUACAAUAAAGAGAACAUAGAAAAAUGUGGCCUAUUUAUUUCCCAAUCAUCAUGAAAUUACUUGCCAUUGACUUAGAUUUUCUCACCAAUUUCAAGCAAUCUGACAUGAUUUCUCAUCACAAUUAAUUGAAUUCAAGAUCUUUUUAGAUGACACAAACAUUUCAUUUUAACACAAACCAAUAUUUCGGUUAUACUUCAGUGCUUGACAAGCACUUUCACAUUUGUGGAUAAGAACUCUUAACAUUUUAGGAUCACAUUUAAUUCAAUUGCAUUUAAGACCUCAUGGUUUUAUUCUAUAAUUUCAGUCUUAUCAGCCUUUUCGGAAACAAUAAAACGUCGACAUUAAAUUUGUUGUUGAUGCAUUCAAUUUUUUGGGUCUUUGGAGUUAUGUGACUUUAGCAUUGACUGACUUUUUUAUAAUUUAAUAAUAAGGUAAAUAUAUUAAUUUUAAUAACAUCGACAUGUUUUUUAGUAGGGUCGAGCAAAACCCAAUUAAAAUCGAUGAUAUUGGCUUAGUUGACUCGGUCAAGUCCAUUAGAUUGAUAAAAUCAUUUUUAAAAUCAGUUAUAAUGGAUAAAGGUAAUUAAUUAUCGAGUAAUGAAAUACAUAAUCAAAUCAAUUGAUUUUGUUAGAAACUAAAAGAAAAAGGGCUAAGCUGAAAAUUGAUUGCCCUUUAUUAAAAUUAACGAAUCUGUCUUUUACGUAUUAGAUAAUAUGAACAUCGCAUAUAUAAUAAGAAAAUUACGUAUGAUUAUUUAUUAUCAUAAAAGGUUAGUUUAAAUUUAAAGUAAUCUAAUAUGUUUAUUGAACUUCAACUAUUAAAUAAAGUAUAAGCUAAAUAAGUAUAAAUAUUCUAGAAACCAUUUCUAACUGAUGAUAGGCUAAUUCGAUUAAUUUAUAAAAACUAGAUAGUAGGGUUAUAGUCCUCAAACUACACCUAAUUUAAUAACAUUUAUAUUUUUUUUAGCCUUAAACAUUUAUAGUUUUGUUAAUUUGGUCCUUACUCUUUAAAAUUACAUAAAAAAUUGCAAAAAAAUUAAAAAUUAAUUUUUAUCAUGAUUUAAUAACAUUUAUAUUUUUUUUUGUGGUUUGGUAACUUAUCAACUUGACUCUUACUUGUAACCAACUUUUCUAACCUUUUUCGUACCCUUAACCUAAGUCCCGUUACAAUUUCUAAAGACCUCUUGAUUGGUGUAUCAUCUCGAUUUGUUUUUAUAGUGGUGGAGAUUUGUUUUUUGUAGUGGGCAUGAUUGCCAGAACUUUACUUUCUAUCCUGUCGAUCCGAUCCAAUGAAAGAAUAACAAAGAGGUCUUAAGAUCUGUCAACUUUAUUUCAUUUUCAUUUUCUUUGUCAUUUUCUAUGUUUCUUGUCACAUACAAUGAAAGAAGAACAUAGAAAAAUGUUGCCUAUUUAUUUCCCAAUCAUCAUUCUAACAGGCCGAAUUAGCCCAGGCCCAAACAUUAAUAAAUGUCCAGAUUACAAAAUAACCAACCAAAAAUUAAAAGCCCAAAUAAUAAAAUAAAACCCAUUACAUUAACCCAAAACUCCAGCCCAAUUACAUUGAAGCCAAAAAAAUAGUUUUUAGAAACCCCUAGGGUUUCUGGAACAAUCCGCGCCGCUCCUCCAUCCGCUUCUCCACGCACGCUGCACCUUUCCACGUGCGCCUCCAGCUGGCAGUGUACCUCCAAUGCAACAAACAAAGCAACAAGCAGCAAAAGAAAUGGAAAAACAACAAAAAAAAAAGAAGGAGCAACAAUGUAUAACAGAUUGAUAACAAAUAAUAGAAAAAAUAGCAGUAAAUAGGAAAAAAAAUUAAAAAAUAAUGAGGGUAAUUUCAUUUUUUUCUCUGUUUUGGCUAUAAAGAGAGCCGGUCAAAAUCUCUAAAGGGGGAUUUAGAAUCAAUCAGAAAACAAGUAUUUUGUACCAACAAUUAGAGAAAAAAAAUACAAAAAUAGGGAUUGAAGGUUUUUUUUUUCUUUCGUUUCGAUUUAUUUAAAAUAGCAUAGAAAAUAAAAAGAAGGCUUACCUUGCGACGCCUUCAGAUCCUCUCGAAAAGGGGCUAAAAGGCCCUAUGUGGCACAGAUUUGACCACUGUUCACGGUGGAACCGCAGCGGAGGCGCAGAGGAUUGGCAUCAAUUUAGGCAGGGUUUGAAACCCUAGCAGAGAAAAAAUUAGGGUUGAUAGAUUUUUUUUAAAAAAAUGGCAAAAUGUUGUUUUUAAAAAAUUUUGUUUUAAAAAAAUUGUUGCUUUUAUAAAGGGUGUAAAACGGCGUCGUUUAGGGCAUGUUUCGAUGGCCCCAAAACGGCGCCUUAUAAGGCAACCCCCGACGACCCGACCUGCUCCAUGGGGGAUCCGCGUGGUUUUUGUUAAAUGGGUUAUGUCUAACCCUGGCCCUUCUACUUUUUAUACUUGUUUUAAUUUGAUCCUCUUUUUAUUUAUUUUUAUUUCUUUAAAUUAAGCCUGAUAAUUUUUUUCCAUUACAUUUUAAUCCUUAAUGAAACGGCGCGUUUUAGAGGAGAAGGGAAAAUUACCCUUCUAGUCCCUUCUUGUUAUUCGAGUGUUCAGAAGGGUCCUUUUUUGUUUAUUUUUUAUUUGCCCCAAAAUUUUGUUUUAAAGCUUAAUUUAGUCCUAUUUUGUUAUUUUAGCUAUUUUAUUAUUAGAUUAAUUAAUUUAAUAUUAUUAUUACUGCUAUUAUUUUACCCCUAUUAGUUAUAUAUUUAUUAUUAUAACUAUAUCAUUAAAUCAAUUAGUUUUUACAUUAUUAUUUCCAUUCUGUUUUUUAUUUACUUACUUAAAUACUUUAAAUGCAUUUAUUUUAUUUCUUAUUUUUUUAUGAAAUUUCAAAACUUUAGACUAUUUUUUUGUUACUAUAACCCUAAUUUCAUUCAUUUUAUAAUAGUUUUUUUUUAAAAUAUUUCUUAGAUUAAUUCCCUCGAUGUUAUUUUGUAUAUUUAUUUAUCUUUUUAAAUUUUCGAUAUUGUCUUAUUGUAUUAUUGUUGUUACUAUCAUUAUUCAUUAUUAUUGUUGAUUUUAUUCUUCUUUGAUUAAUGUUUAUGUUAGAGUAAUAGGUGUUAUGUGAUCAUUGUUAUUAUAUGUUAUAAUUUGUUGACACUCGUAUUGUAGUCAUUCGUCAGCUUAAUAUUUGAGUAACAUUUUAAAUAUUACAUUAAUUUUGACCCAAAUGCAUAAUUUUUUAAUAAGUAAUAUUUCGUAUUGUGGAAUUUGAGAGAUCAUUCCCUAACUUACGGGGUCUCGAUUUUUUUGAUAAAUCUGAAUAUAAGAACUAUUUUAAAAAAAUACGUUUUAAAAUUAUCUCGGGAAUUUAAAAAGAAGCGUGUUCUAACUUACGGAAUAUGAUCUUUUUUAAAAAUCGAGAUAAUCAAAUAUCUUUCAAAUAAAUAAACUUUUCGUGUUUAUUCUCGUUUUAGGAUUUAAGAUAUUGUGUCCUAACUCACGGGACACAAUUCUUUUUCUCGAUUAACGUGAAAUACGCCCUUUUUAAUUUUAUCUUUUUAAGUGAUUUUAACAAAAGGAUUGUAUUUUAAAUCUCUUCAAAAUUUUCAAUUUUUCGACAUUGAGACAUUAACUAAUCAAUUAGGUACCAAUUUUGGGCGUUACAAGGGUGUUAACCCUUCCUUGUACAUAACCGACUCCCGAACCUAUUUUUCUGAAUAUUAUAGGCCAAAAUUGUUUUAAUAAAUUAAACCCUUAAGAGGUGACUCGAUCACAGCUCAUAAAAAUUAUCGGUGGCGACCCUUGUUUUAAAAAAGGUGGUUUCAACAGCUUGGCGACUCCGCUGGGGACAAAAAUAAGAGUCAAGCCGCGAGUUGAUUAUUUCUUAUCUUUUUGUCAGAAAUUGUGAAUUCGAUUUAAAUUUAUGAUCUUUUCAUUGCAUUUUAUGGUCUGCAUCAUUUUUAUAUGCUUGCUUUACUACUUCGAGUCUUUUAAUCUUCGCAUAUUGUAUUGCAUAACCGUUCGGUUAUACCCUUUUAAGCGGGAGUGAGAAAUUAUUCUUUCGUGAGGUUUUCACCUUCGUAUAGGAUAGUGGAUUACUUUCAGGAUACAUCCAUACCUAUGUCUUCGUGAGAUUCUCAUCUCCGUAUAGUCAUAGGGAAAUGUAUUCCCCUGAACUGAACUCAGUCCGUAUGAGCCUAUAAUGGGUGAGGAUUGAGGAAUCUGCUGGUUCAGGUACCCUUUCUUUAGAACUAAACCGCAUGUAGUGAGCCCUAAGAGCAUACCCUAGGUAGAACCACUCCAAACCCCUAGUGGUCACCCAAAUAGGUGCUCUAUUUAUUUUUGCUUGCUUGUUUUUGCCUUGUACUAACCUAUUUGUUAUGGUUAUGAGUGCAUUGCAUUUUUAUCAUAAAAAAGAUGUGUUGAUUCACGUUCAGUUGCUAAAUAGAGAGCUUGUCAUGGAAAACGAAUUUCUUGAUAAAGUGGAAGACAAUGCGGUUGUCCGGAUAUGGUCCAAGAAAAUGUGAAGAAAGAAGGGUGAUAGUCUAAUGGAGGACUACACGACCUUGCUUCGUUGCCUGAUGAUUCAAGUUGACAAAGAUUAUUCGAGAGUCUUCAAUGUCCCGACCUUUUUAAAGAAGCUAACGAGCGUCACGAGGAUGAGCGAGUAAUGAGUUGCGGCCCGGAUCAAGCAAAAAAAAGAUAGAGGAGACACCCUUUUUGAAGAGUUCACGAGAUUUAUCUUAACAUCUAGACGAAGAAAAAGAUCAAUCUCUUUGCCUAGAGUAUGAGGGCAAAGCCGUAUAUAUAUCCGCUUUAUGUAAAUAAAUUUGUUUUCUAGUAAAGUUUUUCUAAUAGAAUUGAAUCAGAAUCAACGUCUCUUUUUGCAUUCAUUCCAUUCAUCUGCAUUGCAUUUCAUUGCAUCUAGAAUUUCACAAAAGGACCCUAAUUAAUCGAAAUUGUUAUAGCUACCUUGAAAAACUAACGAAAAUUUACCAAUUAAAUAUUCCUAUGGUACCCAUUGCAAAACUAAAGUAAUGGAUCAAAUAUUAGAAAGAUUAGAACAAAUGCUGAAGGAUAAACAUAACUGCUUUGGCUUAGGGUACAAGCCAGAUACAAGACAAAGAAGAAAUAGGAAAGGAGAACACGUUUGAGCGGGGAUGAGGUCAAAUGGGAGGGAUUAUUCAUCCCAGGCGAAGAAUGCCAAGAGAAGAAAAUAUUGAAAACAUGUUGGGAAACGUUCACAUCAAUGCCAUAUACGAAGAAGCAAUUGAAGGAGUGACCUUGUUAGAUAUCCGCCCUUAUGAACCUAAGAGUGUGCUAAACAAUUGGACUGCAGAAGAAAUUCUUGUAGUGUUUAGAGCUUACUCAUAGUAAUGUUCAGAACACACUUGUUGCUUUUAGCCUAGAAGUGAUAAGAAUCCCUCUGUGAAAUAGGCUCAUGUAUAAAAAUCAUUAUUUUAAUGAAGUACAUCUUUGCAUUCAUUUUGAGCAAAUAUUCUUUUAUUCUUUUCAUACGAGUAAUUAUUUUGGAUUCUUUAAUUCUUUUGGGAUUUUCUUCCAAAAUCAUUCUUUUAUUACAUCCAUAAUCAUACUGUACAAAUAAUGUAAUAGCCUGAAUUUUCAGUGGUGUCGGAAUGGUGAUUCAAGAUCACUAAGUCUGACAAAUGAGUAGAAAAUAUUAUUAAUUUAGUAAGAAUAAGUAAAUGUGAAGUUAGGAAAAUUUUUGAAAUAGUGAAUAGUGUACUAGGAAUAAAUAUUAAAAUAAUUAAAAUAAAAAAUGAGGUAUCGAGACCUCGAAGAUUUUAAACCAAGCCAUAAGUACUUUUAGAAGUAUUUUUAGAGUGUCAUUGAGUUGGUAUUAAAGUUUCGUUAGAAAAUUUUAACGCUCGGAUAGUUAAUUAACCAAAAAGGACUAAAUUGAAAAUAGUGUAAAAUUUGUUAAAUUGUGAUUAAAUAGCUUAAGUGAUUAAAAAGGAGGGAUUUAAAAGGCAAUUAGGCCCAAAUUAUAUGGGCUGGACGGUUGGGUAAGAAAAAUCAGCAGAAUGUAAGGAGAAAACAGGGGCAAAAUUGGAAACUUAACAAAUUAAACAUAUAAAACAAAGACAAAAGUGAAAAAUCUAGAGAUCUGUUCACAAUUUAUCAGCAAAAAUGCCAUAGGAGGUCUGAAAGAAGCUGGUUUUUCAUAUAUUUGAAUCAUGUAAGUUUAAUUCUUGAUUAUUUCUUCUAAUUUUUGUGAUUUUGAUACUUUUACAAUUAGGUCCAACUAAUUAUUUCAUUAGUUUUUGAUUUCAUGGCUGAUUUUGAAAGUUACCAUUGAUGAGUGUUGGAUUUUUAUGAUGAAUAAACAUGGAAUUAAAGCUUUAAUUUUGUUAUAUGAUGAUUUUAUUAAGUAAUUUUGAUAGAAAUUGAUUUUUGGGACCUAAUUGUGAAAAAGUUUGGAAUUAGGGUUUGGUGUUGCGGUUUUGAAUAUGAAAGGCUAUGUAGUAGUCUAAAAUAGUUGGAAAAGGUGUUAAUUGAGAAAAAUUAGAUCAAUUGAGGGGUUAAUUGAGUAGGACCAAAUUGUAAAAACUGUAAAGUUUGAGGUAAAAGUGUAAUUUCGAAAAUUUAAGGGCAUAAAUUGUGAAGUGAAUUAGAAUAGAAUUAUAUGCUGAUGAAUGAAUAAAUUUGUAUUUUAGAUCGAGAACCCGAAGCAAGCCGAGGAAAAGAAAAAGUAGUUGAUUAGUCCCUGAACUUUUACAAAUUCUGCAAAUCGACCCAGGUAAGUUCAUAUGGCUGAAAUUUAAUGAUUAAAUGUUAAUUUCAUGAAUUAUGUAAUGUAUGAUGAAAUGUAUUUAGUGUUGAAAUGAGAGUAAAAUAAAAAUGCGAAAAUCGAAUAAAUGAUCAAAUUAAGCGGAACGCCGGAUUUGAGUACUUCUGAUCAAGAGACAAAGUGAUAAGUGGUAGCUUUAGCUACACUUAUCUGAUCAAGUGAAAAAGUGAUAAGUGCUACACUUAUCUGAUCAAGAGACAAAGUGAUAAGUGGUAGCUUUAGCUCACUUAUCUGAUCAAGUGAAAAAGUGAUAAGUGCUAUACUUAUCUGAUCAAGUGACAAAGUGAUAAGUGGUAGCUUAGCUACACUUAUCUGAUCAGGGCCAAAUGAUAAGUGAUCAUACGUAAGACCAUAGUUAUACUAUGGCCAAGUGAAAGUGAAGUACUCAAUUUUCCGUAACCGUUCCUUAAUUUUGAUCAAGGAUGGUAAGUGACAAAUAGGCCCAAAGAAAUUAUGGUAAAAGAAUAAGUAGUAGUGAGUUUAUACCAAGGAACUCUCCAAAGAUUGUGGUUGACAAGUAAACUUAGUAAUGGUGUAUAUUGUAUAAGUGUACAAAUGUUUGGUAAGAUUUAUGUUUGUGCCUAUGAACUUACUAAGCUUUUCUAUAAGCUUACAUGUGUGUGUUUAUUGUUUUUCUAGAUUAACGUAUUUAUACAUUCGGAGGAUCGGAUCUACUUCGAGAAUCACACUAUCCAGAUAUACUCCGGUAGAUUUUGUUAAACAACUUUUUGGAUUUAUAUGGCAUGUACAGAGAAUUGAAGUAAAAAGUAAUAGAAUGAAUGACUGAGUAUGCAAAGUAAAUUUGAAUGUGAUGGUUGUGUUAGAUAUUGAAAAAUACAUGUUUUUAGUUUGAAAUGGUUGAUUGGCUGAACUUCGUUAGUAUUCAAGUGAAGUAGUUGAAAUACUGGAAUUGGUUGUGAUUUGAAAUUUGCAGGGAAGGUUAGAUAAAUAUAAAGGGGUUAUAUUGAUUUUUUUUUUAAAUUUCAAUGGAAUAAUUUUUGGACAGCAGCAUUGAUGUAACUUUUAAAAAUCACCAAAAAUAGUGGAAAUAGAAUUAGAAGUUGAAUGAGAUAUGAAAUUAAAUCUGAAUGAGUCUAAUUUCACAUGAAAGAAGUAGAAUAAGAAAAAGAGUUAUAUAUUUUUAGAUAUUUGAAUUUUAGUGAAACAGGGCAAGAAUGUUUUUGAAGUCCCCUGUUCUGACUUUAGAAAUUUAGUAAAAAUUGUACAAAAGGAAUUAUGAAUUAUAAUUUAUAUGUUUAAAUUCCGUAAUGAGUAUAUUUUAAGUAGAAAUAAUUGGAACCACCAUAUGAAGUCUUUGCAAUGAGAUAAUUGAAUUUUAGUGACAAGAGGUCAGGAUAGUCAAUUAGUGAAAUAGGGGAGACUUCAACUAAUAAACUGUAUUAAUUUGCUAAACCAAAAAUUCUGAAAAAUUUAUGGUGAAUAUACAUAUGAGUCUAGUUUGAGGGAAAAUUUACGGAUCUAAAUUUUUAGUUUCGUAUCUUGAGUUAUAAUUAUUUUAGUGACUACUGCGCAUGUGGACAGCUUUGUUGUGAAUGGUGAAAUUAAUUUUUAAAGUAAAUUUUUAUGCCCCGAACUUUUAAGUUCAGUCAAGUAACGCCUUAUGCUCGACUCCGGCAACCGUCUUGGGUAAGGGGUGUUAUAAAUAAUUAUUCUUAAAUUCAUACAUUCUUUGUAUAUUAUUUUGUACCUACAAUAGGUCCCUAGAUAUUAACAACAUGAGUGACGUUGCUACAGACUCAGAAUUUCCUUUUAAACAAGACAUGUGUUUAGAGGGAUCCCAUGGCUUUGAAGAUGACGUAGACUGUGGCUUAUCUCUGAAUUUGUUAAGGAUGGUAAAACAAGAGGAGAAGCAAAUCCUACCUCACAAGGAAUCAAUGGAAAUUGUGAGCUUAGAAGGGGGAAAAGAGGUGAAGAUUGAGACUAACAUUGCCACAAAGACAAAGCAUGACCUCGUUGAGUUACUCCAAGAAUUUAAAGAUGUCUUCGCAUGGUCAUACCAGGAUACUCCCGGGUUAAGUACUGGCAUUGUAGUACACUACCUUCUUAUAAAAGAAGAUUGCAAGCCAGUUUAGCAGAAACUCUGAAGGAUGAGGCCUGAUAUUGUGCUAAAAAUAAAAGAAGAAGUUAAAAAGCAAUUUGAUGUUGGGUUCUUACAAGUGGUUAAAUAUUCAGAAUGAGUAGCCAACAUCGUCUCAGUCUCUAAAAAAGAUGGGAAAGUACGAAUGUGCAUAGAUUACAGAGACAUGAACAAGGCCAGCCAAAAAGAAAAUUUCCCAUUGCCUCACAUUGACACUUUGGUGGAUAAUACAGUAGGCUACUCACUGUUUUCCUUCAUGGACGACUUCUCUGGAUACAACCAGAUAAAGAUGCAUCCCAAAAACAUGGGAAAGACUACAUUCGUGACCCUAUGGGGAAUGUUUUGCUAUAAAAUGAUGUCAUUCGGAUUAAAGAAUGUGGGAGCGACGUAUCAAAGGGAAUGGUAACCUUGUUUCAUGACAUGAUGUACAAGUAAAUCGAGGUUUAUGUUGACGAUAUGAUUGCAAAAUCCAGAACAGAAGAGGAACAUGUGUAGGCCCUAAGAAAAUUAUUCUUAAGACUGAGAAAGUUCCAGCUCAAGCUUUCCAACGAAAUGCACAUUCAGAGCUAGGUUAGGAAAGCUGUUAGGCUUCACAGUUAGUGAAAAAGGAAUCGAGAUCAACCCAGAUAAAGUCAAUGCGAUACGAGAUUUACCUCUACCAUGCACUCAGAAGGAAGCUCGAGGUUUCCUAGGAAGACUGAAUUACAUUGCUCGAUACAUUUCACAACUAACCGAAAAAUGUGACACCAUAUUAAAAUAAAAAUAGAUUAAAUUGUAAGUAAAACAUAAUUUAAACAUAUGAAUACAUCAAAUUAAUAAUACUAAAUGAAUACAGUUAUUUAUGAUGAUGUUGUUGCCAAUUCCUAAUUUGGUGUCUAGUUAAUUUGUGACAUCAUAAAUUUAAGUGAUAAAUUUAAGGUUUUAUGUAUUGAUGUGGAUUCAAAUAUCACCAUAAUUUUUGUAAAUAAAAAACUAAUAAGAUAACUUAUAUUAAGUACGAAAGGGUAUUUUUAUAAUUUCUCUAAUCGAGUUGGUGCCCGGUUGACUCAUGACACUAACUCAAUCAGAAGCUUUAAUAAUAAUAUAGAUAUUCAUGUUAAAAAAACAAAAAAAAAGUACUUUAGUUCCAAAUAAUUAUAUAACAAGUAAAUUUAUAAUUGAUGAAUAAAUUUAUAAAUAAUAUAUUUAUAUGAUCUAAUAUAUUAUAUUUAUAUUAAUUAUAUAUCAUCUACAAACUUUGAAGAUCAAUUUAUUAAGUAAAAAUGAAAUUGUUAACACUAAAUCAAUUUUUAGAUUUUGUAUAGAUGAUUUAGUGAUGAUAAAAACAUUAUUAACACUAUUUUUUAAUUAACAAAAAAUUAGUGAUAUAUUUAAAUUAUAUUUAUCAUUUAUUAUUUUUAAUAAUAUUUUUUAAUUAUAUGAAGUAAAAUUAUAUUGUAUACUAAAUAUGGUACAUAUACUCUAAUUAUAACUUGAAAUUUUAUUAUAUAAAUUAAUAUAAAUUUGAAUAACAAAAUAAAAAAAAACUAAUUAGAAUAAUUUUAAAAAACAUUAUUUAAAAGUAGUUAAAAAUCACGUGCAACAGGUGAGAUCAAUGGUCUUUAGAGAAGAAAUGUUGAAGAUCAAAGUUGGAAUCUGGCCUAUAAGGCCUUUAAUUGCUUUAAUAUUAAGCAGUUCCAAACCAAGAAGAUUACCGAUUUCCUCAGGAAUUUGACCUGCACACAUGGUCGAAAAAUCAAUGUGUCAAACUACCUAUUUUGUUAGCAUAAGUCAAAGAGGUUUUCUUUUCUAUUCUACAUAAUUUGCAGAUGUUAGAUUUUAAUAUUUUUAAGCAUAUUUGUUUUCAUCAAAUUAACUAUUUUGAACUAUUUUGCCUUGAAUGAAAUAAAAUGCUCUUACUUUUGUUAUCUAUUACUAAUCAAACUCUUUUAUAAAAAAAAUACUUUAAACUAAAGAAACCAAGAAAAUUCAAUACCUUCUAGGUUAUUCAACCCCAAAUAUAAUUCUUUGAGUCGUGUCGGAUUUCCAAUACUUCUUGGAAUGAUCCCCAUCAAUUGAUUAUAGGAAAAUGACAAAAUUUUAAGGUUGUUGCAUUUGCUUAUACUUGACGGAAUGUUACCAUAUAAUUCAUUCCGACUCAAGUAAAGCCCUUCAAGCUUGGAAAGAUGUGACACAUAUCAUUAGGCAAGCUACCUGAUAGGCUAUUGUUGGAGAGAUCAAUGGCCUUCAGAGAAGAAAUGUUGAAGAUCGAAGUUGGAAUCUGACCUGUAAGGCCUUUAAUUGCUUUAAUAUUAAGCAGUUCCAAACCAAGAAGAUUACCGAUUUCCUCAAGAAUUUGACCUGCACACAUGGUCGAAAAAUCAAUGUGUCAAACUACCUAUUUUGUUAGCAUAAGUCAAAGAGGUUUUCUUUUCUGUUCUAUAGUAAUUUGGUGAUGUUAGAUUUUAAUAUAAUUCAGCACAUGUUUUUCAUCAAAUGAAAUAAAAAGUUUUUCCUUUUGUUAUCUAUUACAAAUCAAGCUCUUUUAUUAAAAAAAUACUUUAAAUUCAAGAAAUCAAGGAAAUUAAUUACCUUCUAAAUUAUUAAACCCCAAAUAUAAUUCCUGGAGUCGUGUUAGAUUUCCAAUACUUCUUGGAAUGAUCCCCAUAAAUUGAUUAUGGGGCAACAACAAAUUUUUAAGGAUGUUUCAUUUGCCUAUGCUUGACGGAAUGUUACCAGAUAACUCAUUGCUAUGCAAGUGAAGCCCUUCAAGCUCGGGAAGAUGUUGACACAUAUCAUUAGGCAAACUACCUAAUAGGCUAUUCCUGGAGAGAGCAAUAGUCUUGAGAGAAAAAUGUUGAAGAUCGAAGUCGGAAUCUGAUCUGUAAGGCCUUUAAUUGCUUGAAUAUUAAGCAUUUCCAAACUAAAAAGAUUACCGAUUUCUUCAGGAAUUUGACCUGCAGACAUAGUCGAAACAUCAAGGUGUUAAAUUUCCUAUUUUGUUAGUGUAAAUCAAAGAGGCUUUUUAUUUUUUUUCGUUAUGAAAUAAUAUGGAUAUGUUCGAUUCUAAUCAUAUUUAAGUAUAUAUUAGUUCUUGAAAGAAUGAGUUCUUAUUUUUGGUAUUUAUAUUGCAAAUAUAUAUUUUUUUAAAUUUAAAAGAAGGGAGGGGGCAAAUGUGUUUAAACUAAAGACAUCAAGGAAAAGGCAUACCAAGUAUAAUUGUUUAAGUUGUGUCAAAUUCCCAAUGCUUUUUGGAAUGAUCCCACUAAAUUGAUUAAUAGACAAUUCCAAAAUUUGAAGGUUGCAGCAUUUGUCUAUACUUGAUGGAAUAGAACUUGAUAAUUCAUUUCUACUCAAGUAAAGCUCUUUCAGCUUGGGAAGAUGGACACACAAAUCAUCGGGCAAGCCACCAGAAAGACUAUUAUCACAAAAAUGAAUCCUUUUCAAAGAAGAAAUGUUAAAGAUGGAAGAUGGAACCUGGCCAGAUAAUUGAUUGAAUCCCAAGUUCAAGAUCUCUAGAUUGGACAAGUUGACAAGUGUUUGAGGGAUCGUGCCUGUGAAGUUAUUAUUUCUCAUUUCCAACCUUUGAACUCUGUGCAAGUUCCCAAGCCAUGGUGGAAUUUCCCCAUUAAGACGGUUGUAGCUUAAUCGAAUGAUCCUCAAACGAUGCAAUUGGCCUAAUUCUUUAGCCAGAUGGCCGUAGAAAUUGUUGUUGCUCAAGUCGAUAGAAAAUAGAAAUGAAAGAUUUCCAAGGUGUGGAGGGAUAGUACCCCUAAGAUUCAUGUUUGUAAGAUUAAUCAAAGCUACAACUCUUUCAUGGAUGAUGCCACAAGAAACACCAACCCACUUACAGACAGAGGUAGAGUUCGUCCAAUUGUUUGCCAACACAUUUUGAGGAUCGACAAUGCGAUCUUUAAACUCAAAGAGUGCAAACUGAUCGGAGUUGAGAUUCCGGACUGUCAUAGCCAAGGAAACAAUAGAACAUUGUAUGAAUAAAAGUGAAAGAAGAUGAAAGCAAGUGUUGUAGUUCAUGAUGGCAAGACGAAAUAAGCCAGGAAAAGGGAAGUUGAAUUGAUGAAGAAAUAGCCAGCCAACAUGCUUAAAUAGGCUUCAACCCUUGCACACUUCUCAUACAUAAAGUUCGCUGCCAUUACAACAAGAAAACUCAUAUCUCCAUUCGUACCUAUCCAUACUUUAUUUGACUAACUUUUCCCUAACAAGUGUUCAGUAAGGAGAUAAAUCAGUUUGGAGCUAUUCACCGGCUUCUCCAAUCUUGGUUUCAAACUCCUAACCCAUCAAUUCACUUUAAUUGAAACGAUAUACACGAGUCUUUCGGCUUAUAUUUUUAAUUUAAUUUUUGUUACUUUUCAUAAUAUUUUUUGAGAAAUCCAAAUAUUCCAGUCUGAAAUUUCUUCAUUGCCACGUCUAUCUCCUGGGUAAGUCCGUGGUUAGGCAGCCCACUUUGGGAGCAGGAUUGUAAUUGUAAUUCUAUCCGACUCAUUUUACUAUUUAGAAAUAUAAAAGUAAUAUUAUAUUAUUUUUUAUAUUUUUAUAAAUUUAAUUUUAAUUAUAAUUUUUAAACAAUAAAACGAGUCAUUUGUAUUUGCCUAGUCUAAAUUGAAUCAGGAGUCAAAAAAAUUUUAAUCAUAAUUUACUAUUAUUUUAAUUAAUUAAAAUUUAACCUACUACAACUAGUAGUUGCAGAAAAAAUGUCAUUCCUUUAGAAAAACGAAAAUCCUUUAGAAAAAUGAGAACUUAUGAAGCAUUCAAUAAGAGUCAUUGGAAUAAAUGGUAACGAAAUCAUAAUUCAAUAUAAAGCUAAAAAAUGUACCAAUCUAUAUAAAUAAUGUAAGAUUUGUGAUACCUAAAUUAUUAUAUUUUCCAUAAAUAUAUGAAGAUAUUUUAUUAGGAAAUAAUUUUAUAUAUAAAAUUUUUUAUUUUCUUUUGAUAGAAAUUUAAUUAUGUUAUCUGUAGAAAAAAAUAUUUAUAGAAAUAUUAUUAGUAGAAAAUCAUAAAUUUGUGUGUGGCAAAAAAAAUUCACCACCAAGAAAGGGGCAAAUUAAACAACUUGAAACAAGUCAUUGGUUGUUUAAAAUAUUAGAUAAUAAUUUCAGUGAAGAAUCAUUAAAAUUAUGACAAAAUAACCCUAGAUAUUGUAGUAUUAAAUUGGAAAAUCUCAAUAAUAUUAUUAGAGUAAAACCUAUGAUCUAUCUAAACAAGAUAUAGAAGAUUUUGAUAUACAAAUUAAGGUUAGAAAUCAUGCGGAAAUAAAAAAGAAAAAAAAGCUAGUAUGGUCAUUAAUUAUAAAAGAUUAAAUCAAAAUAUUAUUUUUUUAUAGUUACUUGAAUUAAUCAGGCUAAACAAACAAAAUAUUUUAGUAAAUUUGACUGCAAAUCAGGAUUCUAGCAAAUCAUGAUAACAGAAAAGUCCAAACCUUUAACGGCUUUUAGUGCACCCAAUGGACAUUACCAAUGGAAAGUGAUGUCAUUUCAAUUAUGUGAUGCACCACAAAUCUUCCAAAGACGAAUGGAUUUUAUAUUUAAUAAAUAUAAAAAAAUUCUAUGUAGUCUACAUAGAUGAUAUUUUUUAUAUUUUUAGAUACACUAGAAUUACAUAAGAAACAUUUAAAUAUUAUUUCUUAAGAAUUCAUAAAAUAUAGAAUCAUAUUAAACCCUAAAAAUAUAGAGUUAGAAAAAAGAGAGAGAAUUUUUAUAAUAGUGGAAAUAAAAAAUUGUCCUCAAAAGAUUGAAGAAAAAAAGAACUUCCAACAAUUUCUAAUAUAUUCCUCCCAAAUUUUCAGUUUCAAUUUUAUUACAGAAUUUCUUUGCCGACAAUAAGAAAUUAAGAGCGCUCUUUAAGUUGAAUAUAGUCCGUCAGAUAUGGCUAUCUAUAACAUGGAACCUUUGGUUUUCAAGCUGAAUAGGAGAAUUGAUUCACUUGAUAAGUAUGAAAAAUUGAAACUGCUAAAUUUAAGUGCACUAACUCUGGAUAUCAUCAUUAUUUUUCUGUACAUUAAAGUACCUGUUUGAUAUGCGAUUUCUGCCUCAAACUAUCAACAUCUUUAACAUCCUUUUGCUAUAGUUAGCAUGGGUACUUCCUUUUAGAUUAACAGUUAGGUUUGAACUGUGAAUUAGAUUUCUGUGGCUGCUGGGAUUGAAGAAGUUAGUAUGCGAAUGACAUUGGACAAAUUUGGCAAAGUCUUCUCCAUCAGUGAAGAAAACCCCUUGGCGUAUGAAAAAUGUUCACCAUCUUAGACAUUUGUUUUCUUAUUGUAAGAAUAUUUUUAACAUUGUAACUUUUAACAUUAUUGUAAGAAUAUUUUGAAUUAUACUUCAGUUAUCAAUUUAUAUCAUAUAUCUUUUGUUGAAUUUGAAGUAUAAUUUAUAUUUGCUGUUUUUGGUUAGAUUUCAUGCUAUAGGAAGGGUUGUAUAUGGAUAGAAAUUGAAUGUUACAAAUCUGCCAAAGUUAGUGGCGUUUUUUCAUAAGAGCUGCUAAAGAAUGCUAUUUUUGGCGGUGUUUGUAAUAAAAGAGCCGCUAAAGGUCAUGUUCUUUAGCGAUGUUUGUGGGUAAAGCGCCGCUAAAGAUCAUGUUCUGUAGCUGUGUUUGUGGAUAAAGCGCCGCUAAAGAACAUGACCUUUAGCAGCGUAUUUUCACAUAAACGCCGCAAAAUUUAGCGGCUUUGUCUAUAGCGACUUUUUUUGCAGCGCUUUAAGUUUUAGCGGCGCUUUUAGGCCUAAAAAAGGGCCGCUAAAAGCCUGUUUUGCUGUAGUGAGCAUAUUUACAUUUUCGUCCCAAUUUCAACUAACACCCCAUCUAUUUCCCACUUCCCUUUUUCGGGCAAUUUCAACUAACACCUUCAUAUCAAACAUAACUAUUUUUCAAUUUUUCUUCUUUAUUUCAUUAAUAAAAUUAUCAAUCUAUUUGUUUUUAAAUAUAUAAUUUCAUUAAUAUUUUUUAAAUUAUAAUAUAAGAGUUGUUGUUUAUUUAUAGUUUUAUUACAUUAUUUACUCUCUCUUUUCUAUCAAGUUUUUUAAAUUAUAAUAUAAGAUUUAUUUUAUCAAUUUGUGGCUUAUCCAGUAUUCAUCUAUUUUAAUAAUAACUUGAGUUCCAGUCAUUAUCAUACCAGAAAGAGUUCCAUUUAUUCUUUAUCGUAAAUUUUAUAAAAAAAUAUACAUUUUAUUAUAAUACUAUAUGUGUUACGAAUAAUAUUUUAUUGUGGAUGCCCAUAAUUUUCAAAGUUGUAACCUCUAAUGUAGUAACCUUAAUGAAAUUAUGAGGCUUUUAUAUUGUAAUCAAGCCUCUAUUUAUUCUUUGUAACUUAAACAGAAGCAUAUUUUCUAUUAUAUUGAUAUUUUUUAUAGAUAUAUAUAUAUAUAUAAGGAAUCAAAUAAAAAGUUAUUUACCUUUCUAUUAUAUUGAUAUUUUCUAUUUGAUUUGUUCUUUUCUUUCACUAUUCCAUAAUAUAUUAUCAGUACGAUUUUAACCAAGAGUAACAUGUUAUUAGAUUGUGUCAAAAUUUUGUUGAGAAUCAUUAGAUUGUUUCCUUUUUCUUCUAUUUAGCCCCAAAUUGCACCCCUACACAAAAUUCAACAAAAACAUGGAAAAAUUAGUGGUGCACUCUCAUAAAUUAACCAAUUUAAUUACAUAAAAUAUGUAACUUUAGCAUUUUAUCAAUCAUGUUCUUUAGCGGCAUUUGUGGGUAAAGCGCCGCUAAAGGUCAUAUUCUUUAGCAGCGUUUGUGAUAAAAGUGCCACUAAAUAUCAUGUUCUUUAGCGGCGUUUGUGGAUAAAGCGCCGCUAAAGAACAUGACGUUUAGCAGCAUUUUUUUACAUAAACGUUGUAAAAUUUAGCGGCGUUGUCUAUAGCGACGUUUUUUGCGGUGCUUUCAAAUAGUUUUAGCGGCGCUUGUAGGCCUAAAAAAAUGCCGCUAAAAGUCUGUUUUGCUGUAUGAGCAUAUUUACAUUUUCGUCCCAAUUUCAACUAACACCCCAUCUAUUUCCCACUUCCCUUUUUCAGCCAAUUUCAACUAACACCUUCAUUUCAAACGUAAUUGUUUUUCGAUUUUUCCUCUUUAUUUCAUUAAUAAAAUUAUCAAUCUAUUUGUAUUUUAAAUAUAUAAUUUUAUUAAUAUUUUUUAAUUAUAAUAUAAGAGUUUUUGUUUAUUUAUAGUUUUAUUAUAUUAUUUACUCUCUUUUUUCUAUCAAGCUUUUUAAAUUAUAAUAUAAGAUUUAUUUUAUCAAAUGGUGGCUUAUCGAGUAUUCAUCUAUUUUAAUAAUAACUUGAGUUCCAAUCAUUAUCAUACCAGAAAGAGUUCCAUUUAUUCUUUAUCGUAAAUUUUAUAAAAAAAUAUAUAUUUUAUUAUAAUACUAUAUGUGUUAGGAAUAAUAUUUUAUUGUGGAUGCCCAUAAUUUUCAAAGUUGUAACCUCUAAUGUAGUAACCUCAAUGAAAUUAUGAGGCUUUUAUAUUGUAAUCAAGCCUCUAUUUAUUCUUUGUAACUUAAACAGAAGCAUAUUUUCUAUUAUAUUGAUAUUUUUUUAUAGAGAUAUAUACAUAAGGAAUCAAAUAAAAAGUUAUUUACCUUUCUAUUAUAUUGAUAUUUUCUAUUUGAUUUGUUCUUUUCUUUCACUAUUCCAUAAUAUAUUAUCAGUACGAUUUUAAUCAAGAGUAACAUUGUAUUAGAUUGUGUCAAAAUUUUGUUGGACUUCAAGUAUUGGAAUUUAAUUGUUUAAGUUAAGAAUCAUUAGAAUCAAUGGCUAUUUGAGAUAUGCUUGAGGAUGAUCUCAUUCUAUUCAUCACAAAGGUGGAGGUUAGAAAAUCUUUAUGUUUAAACAUUUAUAGCUUUAAAGUUAUUUUAACCUCUUAUUGUGACCUUAUAAUAUUUUGUAAUUUUUUGUAUUAUGGUAUAUAAAAAAAAUCUAACCAUAGUGAUUGAUUAGUAAUAUGAAUUUGUUAUUUGUUAUGUUUAAUAUAUAUUUUAUUUAUACUUAUUCAUUUUAUUUUUAUAUGAGUAAAUGAAGUGUUUGAAGAUUCGAAAUUUUUAUCAUCCAAGUUGAAAAUAAGUGCAAAAGUGUACAUUAUUUAAAAUAAAUUACGCAUUCAUUAAUGUUAUAUGAUAAAAUCAUUACAUGUUCUAAAGAACUAAUAUUGCAUCAAACUGUAAAAAGCUCUUGAAGAGUUAAUAUUUUACCUCCUUGUGAUACAAAAUCAUAUACAAUAUGAUAUUAUUUUUCAAAUCGAGUAGAUAUAUGUUGAGGGAAAUCUUUAUGUGGUUUACAUUAAAACCAUGGAUAGAAAUGACAUGAGAUACUCGUGUAUUUUUAUUAUAAAUAUUCCUUGAAGGAAGACACUUCACUUGUAUGAUUGACAUAUGAGAUAGUGGCAAGAAGUUCAUAGUGUUGGUAUGGUCGUCUAGAUCAUCUCAAAUCAAUAAUGAUGCAAAAUAAUUUGAAGAGAAUUUAUAUGAUUUUAUUGAAGAAUGAGAAGAUAUUUUCAUUUUGAUAAUUGUCAUCAAUACUAGUUCUUUGGAAAAAAAAUAUUGAACUAACAUAAAGUUAGAGGUUGGUUGCAUUUUUUGAUGAUAUCCAAAUAAUAUAUGAGCUCAUGUAUCACAUGUAUGCAACCCAAAGUUUACAGUAUUAUUUCUUGAAAUAAUUUGAUUCUACACAAUCUCUAUAGUAUGCAAUUUGUGCUAACAACGUUGGUGCAUUAUAUCCUAAGCUUGAUUUUCGUAGUUUUAGCUGAGAUAAUAUUAAGUUGUCUAUGCCUAUAUAUGUUAUACUUAAUGGUUAGCAAAAUUGUGCCUCCAUUUAAUUGCUUAACCAUUAAUAUAAGAAUAACUUUAAAAUAAGCAUGUAAUUUUAUUUGCAUAGAGUCAACAUGUAAGAAACAUUUGCCCCAUGAGAAUUGGCUUUCAUUUAUAAGCCAAUAGGUUUCAUAUGACUAUUUGGAUGUAAAAUAUCUAUUUUAUAUUCCACCAUAAUGCACUAAGAUGGUCCAUCAAGUAUGAAGUUGAGAAAAUUUAGAAUUUUUAUUUGAUGGUAAAAGUUGAAAAGAGAUAUAUACUUAUAAUUUUGAAAAAAAUAGUCAUGUUGCAAAUUUUUCUCAAUAUUAGGGGGAGACAAGUUGGACAAAUAAGGAUAAUUAUGUCAUCACUUUUUGUGAUCCCUCACUAAUAUUAUGUGCACAAAGUUUGAAGGAAAAAAGUAUUUGCUAGACAUGUUUAGUGAUGACACUUAGAGAUUGUAUAUACUAGAUGAUACAUAUACCAGCUAAAAUGUUCCAAAUAAUUAUGAGUCCUAGAAGGACAUAGUGAUAAAAAUAAUUUUUGGGCACGCUAGAAGGAUAAAAAACUAGUUCAUUCUAUAAAUCAAAAAAUUCUUGAAAGAAAAGAGUAAGAAAUGAAGCUGGCCACACAUUAAAGGAAACGAGUACUCAUGAAGAGACCUAAGGCAUAACUUUUAAUAAAACCCCAAAAGAGGUUCAAUACAUGGAAUUAUGAAUAUAAUAAGAUAUCUCGAUUAGUUAUAUCAUAACUAAAGAUGAUGGGGUUGAUAAAAGGAAAUUGUUGUUAACAACGAUAAUCUAAGUAGAACAUUUCAAUAUUAUGGUAAAAUGAGUAUUUUGAAUGAAAAUAUACUUGAAAGUAUUUAGAUGGGAACAACUCAUCAAAAUAAAUAGACGUUUCUAUUAUAACUUAUGAAAUGUGUCUCGGACAUGAAGUCCAAACAUUCGACAGGUGUAAAGCCAAGUGGAGUAUAUGUUAGCAUAAUAGUGAAAAAAUACAAAUCAUAAUAUAUAAAAUUGACUUGUAAGACAAACUUUCCCAAGACACUUGAUUUUGAUUAUGAAAAAUGAUUAAUUUGUGAUCUUAUCAAUUGAACAUACUUUGUAUAAUCAACAAAUUAUUAAUUAACCUCAUUUAACCAAUUUCCUUCAACACAUUUCAAAUCAAAUUAAUGUGUUGAGCACGCCCUUAACCCUUUUUCUUGAUUCAUUGCAUAGUCUAUUUCCAAGUACCAUAAUCAUCAACAUUUCAAUAUAUAAAGUCAUAACAUAAUGAAUCAUAGUUAGAAUUUUUUUUACCCUAUUAACCAAGUAUGGAACAAAAAUAAAAACCUAAUUUGUCAAGCUCAUUCAAUCAGCUUAUAUAUUAUAAGAAGAGCCUAAGUAUAAAUCCUAUACAUGAUUUCAAAUUCAACUAUUUAUAUUUGAGAUUCAAUUUAAAAUUCAUACUGAAAUUAUCAAAUUAACUCGUAAGCUACUCACGCUAAACAUUAAGGUACUCGAAUUCAAGUGGCUAGAUAUCAUAAACACUUUUAGCUUGUAAAACUAUUUCUAAGGGUCAGCCCAGAAUCAUGGUUGAACCCAAAAUCUGGUAACAAAAAUUUAAUUGAGCCAUCAGCCUAAAACAAAAAAGGCUUAAAAGGUUGGCACCCGAACAAUCAAAGAUAAACACCACCAUAUGCCACUCCCUGAAUCCGAUACAUACAAUAACACCCUUCACCACUUUUAUUCUUCUCCUUUUUUUUAACCUCAAUUUGGAUGGUCGCAUUUCUCUUUUUAGUGCUUUAUAGGGUUUGGGCUUUCAGAAUCCUCAGAGAUGCAAUUCAUGGAUCCCUCUAAGAAAUGCAAGCUUGAUGAAAAUGGUAUUAUUUCAACGGCAUCAGAACCUGACCCAAUCACCAAACUAACCCCACAAGAUGGCCGCAAGCUAAUCGAGCAAUUUAUCGUCGAUCAACUCCUUGACGUCCUCCAAGAUGCUGUUUGUUGUCACCUUGAUGUUCUUUCCGCCGUACACUCUAUUGCCGAUCAAGAUCCAUCUCAAAGGAAGCUUUUCAUCCGUGGUUGGGUUGGGAUACUACAACCCAACCCAACCCACAUUAGCAUACUACCAUGCGGUAACUUCUAGUGAUUUCUGUCUGUAACAUUAGACAGGUUAACAGUUAAAUCGUUCAACUGAAAGAUUUCUUUGAAGGAAGAGGUCAAUUGAUUUUUUUUGGAAUCAUUGUGUACUCAGUUGCAUUUAAGACGGGUAUCAUUCAUAAAGUAUAUAUCUACAUCAAGAAUGGUAGCCUCUUAUAUUAUAUUCAUGUAUUUAUUUUGCAUCUUUAAUUAUAAUAGGAUUUUUUUUGUUUAUUUAUAGUUUUAAUUAUAAUAUUUUUUAAAUAUGCCAAAGUAAAUUAUGUACCAAUUUUAAACUUCUCCUAGGUAAUUUAACGUAAGGGCAUUUAUGUUAUUUUACCACUUAUGAUAAAACUAACCUAAUUUUAGAUCUAAGUGUUUACCAACCUUCUUUUAGUCAAAUUAUGCAAGCCUAAAAUUUUUAGCUUAAUUUGAGUUUGUUUACUAUGUCUAAUUCAAGUUUUAUUAUUAAGAACUAAAUUGUAACUUAAACAAAUUAGAAUACCAAUUUAAAGAGACAAAAAUUCAAAGCCCCAAAACCCACACGGGCAUGUGGGUAAGUGACACAGGCGUGUGGAAACUGGAGCUAUCACACACGGGUGAGUGGGACUGAAAAAUAUGAAAUAAAUUAAUCCAUUUAAAUUUCCAACAACCAUGCUAUACUACCAAACCAAAUAAUGUUAGAAGCUUUGAAUAGGGGCGAAUCUUAAAAAAAAUAGAAGAAUUAGAAUUAAAUUAUAAAAUUUUGAGAAGUUGUCAUGUAUUAAUUUAUUAUUUUUUAAAGGGUCUUAAUAGAUUUUUUUUCCCCAUUUUGGUUUGGCCAAUACCCCUGUCUGCCUCUUUCAAUUUGCUUCAACCCUUAGCCCAAUAUUCGAUUUGUUGUGGAAGUUUGACGCAUAAAAAUUCCUUUUUUAGAGGUUUAAAUUAUAAAUUUUUAUUAACAAAAUAUAAAAGAAAAAAACAUGUGUAGACAAGCCAAGAAACCUUUGGGAUCAUACAGGUGAUUUUGAGAUGUUCAUGGUUAUUUUGGUGGAGAGGGUAAAAAAGAAACAAAUGAUUCAUUAUAUAUGAUAUAAUUAUGAAAUUCAAGCCAUAUAUUGUAUGUUUCAUCCAUACAAAUUUCUUGUAGCAUUAAAUGACUCGUAGGCUUGCUGAAUUUCUUUGAAAGGCCCAAAGGCAAUUUAACAUUCACAAAAUAAUCUCUAAAUAGUGUAAAGACAAAUCAAAUCCACAGUAGCAUUAGAGUUGAUUAAGCUAAGCAUUGGCAAAUAUUACUUUGAUUUUGCAUGCAAUAUUGGCAAAACCCCCUCUUACAUUAGAAAAACAACAUAAUCCAUGAAACAUUGAUAGCCCAAUACAAAUUUCAUCGAGAAAAAAGUCUCUUUGUUUUGUAGAACAUGAUAGUAAAGAUGUGGAGUUUCGUUCUUCUUAUUGGCCUCCUUUAGUUUUCCUUGAUCAACAACCACUAGCCAAAAACACAAUUAGAUUAGAUUAUGAAUGAUACUUUCAACUAUGACAAUAUUAAAUACAAACCACUCUAAAUAACUCUAAAUAAAUGGAAAGCAGCAAAUUACCAGACGAGGCAAGCUAGCUCAAUUAAGACCAUUGUGUUAUACUUGUCUCUGAAUUGAAAAAUUUAGAAGGAAAUAAAGAGAAAGACUUAGAAAAUACUUGAAAACAGAAAAAAAAAUUAUGUCAUUUAAAAUAAAAAAUUUCUAUUCAAGCCAUUUAAAAUUUGUAAGAUUUUUAAAAUUUUAAAAUGAUAAAGGUAAAAUUGUACUUUGGCACCCCAAAAAUGAUAAAACUUUGAUUUAAUUAUUUAAAAAUUAUAAAAAUAUAGGCUAUUAAAAUGGUGAAAUUAUAUUUUUACUAUAGUAAAAAUUACAAUUUAAUUUCACCCCUAAAAGGAUUUUCUGGCUUCGCACCUAAUAAAAUCUUUGGCAAAAGACUAAAAUAAAAUUAUACCAUGAAUGGAAAAAGAAACUAAUAAAAUCCAAUCUAACAAAGAAAAUAACUUGAUGUCCAAAAGCUACCAUAAACCGUAAUUCAUGGGAAGGCUUGUUGCUUAUUUUAUUGGUUUCCAUUUUGAAAGAAGUUUGAAUUUUGAAGAGAGCCUACUACGUGAAAGCAAAAGAAAAAAAAAUAGUUUAUAUGAUUAAAAUUCCAGAAUAGAUUAAAAAUGUUGAAUUAAAGAUAAAAUUAAGUGUGAAUUAAUAACCACAAGUGUACUCUUUACUCACCAUCUCUGUUAAAAAUGUUGGAUGUUGUUUAGCAACCUUUGUUUGAUUUUCUUCAGCUCAACCACAACAUCUUUCAUAUCUUUUCUUUCUUCUGGUAACUCAGCUGAACAAUUCAAAGCCAACUCCAUGAUAGAUGAAAUACAAUUUGCUUUAACAACAAUGUACUCAUCCUCUCUUCUUAAUAAAUCAACAUCUGCAAUUUCUAUCGCUCCUUUAGGCAAUGAUCUUUCCAUCCAAUGCCUUAUACUCUCUUCUUCAACAAAAACCUUAUCAGUUGGCUUUUUCUUUGUGAAAGUUUCUAUAAGGACGAUCCCAUAACUAUAGACGUCAGAUUUUAUAGAAACAAUUCCUGCUGAUCCAAAUUCUGCAUUUCAAGUAUAAUUAGAACAUCAUUCAUCCUCAAUUAUUUCUAAAACGCUUAUUCAAAUAUCUAUCCACAUACACGUGAAACAAGAAUAUAAAAUACAAAUUAGGAAAAUAAUCAUACAAAAAUAAAAAAAAGAAUUCACCUGGUGCCAUAUACCCAAUAGUUGCAAGAGUCAUGGUUUGCUUCAUUACUUCACCUUCUCCCAACAAUUUGGCAACGCCAAAAUCUCCAACAUGUGCAACCAUGUCUUCAUCUAGUAAAAUAUUGCUUGGUUUUAUGUCACAAUGAAUUAUAGGUGUUGGAUGUCCAUUGUGGAGGUGUUCUAUAGCUACCGCAACAUCUAUCAUUAUGUCGACCCUUUGUAUGAUACCAAGGAAACAAUUUUCAGAAUGUAACCAUUUCUCAAGGUUUCCAUUAGACAUGUAAUCAAGCACCAAGGCUUUGAAGUCAACACUUGAGCAGUAAGUAAUGACCUUCACAAUAUUACGAUGAACUAUAUUAAGCAUAGCAUCACAUUCAAUGUCAAAACUCCUAAAUGCUCCCUCUGUUUGCAAAUUGAAAACUUUUAUUGCAACUUCCAUUCCAUCUGAAAGCCUCCCUUUAUAUACAUAUCCAAAACUCCCUGAACCAAGCGUAUUGCUUUCCUCAAAUCCAUUAGUUGCUCGUGAAAGUUCAGCAUGUGAAAUUCUUCUCAGUGUCUUCAAAGACAACAAAUCAUCUUUAACUGGUAGAGCUGUACUCCUUUGGCAUCUUCUAUACAUAAUAGUUAAGACUAUUAGUACUAGGACAAUACCAAUUGUUGGUAAACCAUACCUAAAAGCAUGCAAUAUAAUCAUUUGGGAGUUUUUGUGGAUGUCAUUUUUGCAAGGUGGGACUAGCAAUCUAGGUGGACCACAAAGUGCACAAUUAUUCAUGAAUGAUGUGCUAGAAAAGUUUGAAAAACAUCCUUUGCUGGGAAUUUCCCCUUCAAGUCUAUUGAAAGACACAUUAAAAUACUUUAGAUAUAAAAGCUUUUCCAAAGAUUUGGGAAUGACUCCAGAGAGAUUGUUAUUGCAUAAAUCCAAGAAUUCCAAACUAAUCAACCCAUCAAAUGAUUCAGGGAUAUGACCAUGUAGUAUAUUAUUUGAUAAAUCUAAUGAAACCAAAGUUUGAAGACCCCCAAAUGUGGAUAAGAUAUCGCCCAUGAGAAGAUUCCUUGAUAAAUUUAGUCUCAGUAGACUCCUAAAGUUUCCAACAUCAAUAGCAUGCGAAUUGUGAAGAUGGUUUGAUGAUAAAUCUAUUUCUAAGAUAUCUUUAAGAUUCCAUAAAGUUGAGGGUAUUGCGGAACUCAAUUUGUUGGAAUCUAACCAAAGAUAUCUCAAAGCAGAAAUAUUACCUAAACAAGAGGGUAUGGAUCCAUGCAGCUUAUUCAACCCUAAAUACAUCUUGAAUAGUCUCUCCAAACCACAGAGGCUUUCUGGGAUAGGCCCUUCUAAUUUAUUAGAGGAAAGAAAUAGACCUUGGAGAUUUAUCAUUCCUCCUAUUGAUGCUGGAAUCAAUCCACUUAAUUUAUUAUAGCCAAGUUGUAAAACCAACAUGUUGCUUAAGUUACCUAUUUCCAUAGGAAUAAUGCCUUGAAGCUCACACUCUGUGGCACGAAAGUAUUGAAGGGAUUUUGAAAGGUUCCCGAAAUAAGUAGGAAGAACGCCACUCAAUGGAUUUCCUGAAACAAUUAUUCUUUUCAAAUGCUUGCAAUUCGUCAAAGAAGAAAGAAAGCUCCACUCAUGAUCAGUAGCAGAUCCUGUGAUCAAAUUAUUGUUUACGAUUCCGAACCAUUCAAGGUGUCUUAAGCUGCCAAGCAUUUUAGGGAUUGGGCCAGAGAAUAAGUUUUCUGACAAGGAUAGAAUCUUAAGCAUGGAAGCAUUGGAGAUAGAGUUGGGAAUGUUUCCGCUAAGUUUAUUUCCCCACAGUAAAAGAAUCUGAAGCUUUGGAGCAUUGGUAAUGGGUGGUAAAUUACCUGUAAAAUAGCAUCUUUUAGAAAACAUAUUCAUUGAAUACCAAAUUCACAAAAUAUAUAAUACAUUAAAAUAAAAACUGUAAAACUUUAAAUCAAUUAAGAAUAAAAUUUUGGCAUGGAAAAAUGUGAUGAAAUCAAUUAGAAAGUUGAGACAUAAUAAGAAGUUUUGAGUAGUAAUUAGUCCUUGUGAUUUGUAUAGACAAAACAUAUAAUACACUGAUAAUUUUUUUAAAAUAUUGUAAAACCUGAAAUAAAAUAAAAAAUAAAAGUUUGGCACAAGAAUGUGGCAUCUAAUCAUUCUUAAAAAUAAGACUAACAUUAAAUAAUAAUUAGUUAUGAUUUGAGAAACAAAAAUGUUAAAGAUGUAAACUGGUAUGAUUUUUAUCUAUUGGGUUAAUUAUUUAUUUUUAUUAAAUUAUAUAUAGUGUAAAAUUUAAAGAUUAUUAUUUGCUCAAAAUUUUUGUAUUUUUCGUAUAUUUGAAAUUUAAUCUUUAUAUUUUUUUAUUUUCUGUGAUUUAGUCUCUCUACUUUUUAAAUUGAAAAUUUUAAGUUUAUUUAUUAACACUGUUAAAAAGUUUUUGUGUUAGUAUGGCAUUUUGAAAAAUAAAAUAAACUUGAUAUCUAUGUUUUUAAUUAUUCCAAAUACUGUUUUACUAUUCCAAGAUAAAUUAUUUGUGUCUAGACCAAUAUCUGAAGAACUAUUGUUGCAUGUUUAAUUAUUCUAAAGAAUUGUUGAUUGAGUCUUAGUUGAAGUGCACUAUUCUCCUAUUUAUGAAUUGGGGAGUUGAUAAAGUACUAAAUUUUGAUAUAUUUUAAAAAAUUAAAAAUUUAUUAAAAUAUUUUUAUAAAAAUUGAUUGUACCAAAAUAUACAAUUUUAAUAUCAAAUUUUUAAUUUUUUAAAAAUAUUAGCGAAUAUAUACUUUAUUUCAAGUUACACAAUUUUUACUAGUUUUUAACUUUUUUUUUAAAUUUUUAUCGUCUUUUAUAAUUUCAUAUAAUUUUUUAUAAUUUUUUACAAUAUUUACAAUUUCUAACAAUUUUUAAUAAUUUUAUUAUUUAUUAUAAAUUUAAAAAUUAACAAAUUUUUAUUUUUUUAAAACAAUUAUAUAUUUAUAAUGUAGUUAUUUUUUUAUAAUUUUUUUUGAAAUUUAAAGAUUUUUUUGGUUUUUUCUAGAUGAUGAUGCCAUCAUGAUGUCAUCAUAUGCCACAUGGCAAUUUAUAAUUAGUUGACUAUCUCAAUCUAUUUUUUUAACGUCCAAUGGACUAAAACAAGAACACCUGAUAAUGUUAGAGACUACACUAGGAAUGUUUGAUAAUAUUAGGUACUAAAGUGGGCAAAAAAAAUUAAGGACUAUAUUAAAAAUAUAUCUAUAAUAUAUAUAAAUGCAUGGAUUUUGAGAAACUUUUGAAAUGACAAAUAUAUAGUCUUUGUUUUUUUUUACUAUAUUAUUGAAUUUUUUAUUUUAAAUAUUUUUUUAUUACUUUUAAGAUUUAUCAUAUGUAUGGAUAAAAAUUUUGGUUUUACUAAAAUAUUUGGUUAAAUAAAUUCACUUUAUAAAAAAAUUUAGCAUCCUUAUAAAUAACAAUUUUGAUUCCAUUAAAAAAAUUAUUUAAUAAUAUAUAAUAAAAAUUUAAAAUUUAUAUUGAAUCACUUUAUACUUAAAUUAUUAUUAGAAACUUUAUCAUACACAUAUGUGUAUGAGAACCACGUUUUCAGAACUUAAAUUUGUGUUCUAAAAUAACUUAUGAUAAAUAAUUAAAUGUAUAAUUUGAAAUUAUAUUGAAAUAAAAAUAGAUUAAAUUGUAAGUAAAACAUAUAUAAUUUAAACAUAUGAAUACAUCAAAUUAAAAAUACUAAAUGAAUACAUUUAUUUAUGAUGAUGUUGUUGUCAAUUCAUAAGUUGGUGUCGAGUUAAUUUGUGACAUCAUAAUUUUAAGUGAUAAAUUUAAGGUUUUAUGUAUUGAUGUCGAUUCAAAUAUCACCAUAAUUUUUUUAAAUAAAAAACUAAAGCACCCUCAAAUAAUAUAACUUAUAUUAAAUAUGAAAGGGUAUUUUUGUAAUUUCUCUAACGAGUUGGUGCCCGGUUGACUCAUGACACCAACUCAAUCAAAAGCUUCAAUAAUAAUAUAGAUAUUCACGUUUAAAAAAAGUACUUUAGUUCGAAAUAAUUAUAUAACAAGUAAUUUUAUAAUUGAUGAAUAAUUUUAUAAAAAUAUAUUUAUAUAAUCUAAUAUAUUAUAUUUAUAUUAAUUAUAUAUCAUCUACAAACUUUGAAGAUCAAUUUAUUAAGUAUCAGGAAAAGAAAAAAUGAAAUUGAAUUAACACUAAAUCAAUUUUUAGAUUUUGUACAGAUGAUUUAAUGAUGAUAAAAACAUUAUUAGCACUAUUUUUGAAUUAACAAAAAAUUAGUGAUAUAUUUUAAUUAUAUUUUUUAUUUUUUAUUUUUAAUAAUAUUUUUUUAAUUAUAUGAAGUAAAAUUAUAUUGUAUACUAAAUAUGGUACAUAUACUUUAAUUAAAACUUGAAAAAUUAUUAUAUAAAUUAAUAUAUUUUAAUUAUAUUCAACCAUUUGAAUAACAAAAUUAAAAAAAACUAAUUAGAAUUAUUUACUUUUUAAAGUUUAAUGGAAAAUAAAAAAUUAAAAAUAAAUCAAUUCAUAUAAAUCUUAUUGUUUAUUAUCAGAUUAAAAUGAUAAAAGUAUAUGACAUACAUAGAAGAAACAAAUUCAACACAAUGUUUUUGGAGUUUGGAAAAAAUUAAAGUGAAAAACAUACCUUCUAAUUUGUUGUUAAAUAGAUCUAUUUCUUCGAGCGUAGUUGAAUUAAAAAUACUUGAUGGAAUCUGACCUGCACACAUAGUCGAAAAUUGAAGUGAAAUCAAACUCUUUUGUGAAAAAAAUAUUACCAGAUAAUUCAUUCCAACCCAGGUAAAGCCCUUCAAGCUUGGGAAGAUGUUGACACAUAUCAUUAAGCAAACUACCUGAUAGGCUAUUGUUGGAGAGAUCAAUGGUCUUCAGAGAAGAAAUGUUGAAGAUCGAAGUUGGAAUCUGACCUGUAAGGCCUUUAAUUGCUUUAAUACUAAGCAUCUCCAAACCAAGAAGAUUACCGAUUUCCUCGGGAAUUUGACCUGCACACAUAGUCAAAAAAUCAAGGUGUCAAACUAUCUAUUUUGUUAGCAUAAGUCAAAGAGGUUUUCUUUUCUGUUCUACAGUAAUUUGAAGAUGUUAGAUUUUAAUAUAUUUCAGCAUAUGUUUUUCAUCAAAUGAAAUAAAAAGUUUUUCCUUUUUAUUAUCUAUUACAAGUCAAACUCUUUUAUAAAAAAAAAUACUUUAAAUUCAAGAAAUCAAGGAAAUUGAUUACCUUCUAGAUUAUUAAACCGCAAAUAUAAUUCCAGGAGUCGUGUUAGAUUUCCAAUACUUCUUGGAAUGAUCCCCGUCAAUUGAUUCAAGGACAAGGACAAAUUUUUAAGGUUGCUGCAUUUUCCCAUACUUGACGGAAUGUUACCAGAUAACUCGUUGCUAUGCAAGUAAAGCACUUCAAGCUUGGGAAGAUGUUGACACAUAUCAUUAGGCAAACUACCUGAUAGGCUAUUGUUGGAGAGAACAAUGGUCUUCAGAGCAGAAAUGUUGAAGAUCGAAGUUGGAAUCUGACCUGUAAGGCCUUUAAUUGCUUGAAUAUUAAGCAUUUCCAAACCAAGAAGAUUACCGAUUUCCUCAGGAAUUUGACCUGCACACAUGGUCGAAAAAUCAAGGUGUCAAACUACCUAUUUUGUUAGCAUAAGUCAAAGAGGUUUUCUUUUCUGUUCUACAGUAAUUUGAAGAUGUUAGAUUUUAAUAUAUUUCAGCAUAUGUUUUUCAUCAAAUGAAAUAAAAAGUUUUUCCUUUUUAUUAUCUAUUACAAGUCAAACUCUUUUAUAAAAAAAAUACUUUAAAUUCAAGAAAUCAAGGAAAUUGAUUACCUUCUAGAUUAUUAAACCCCAAAUAUAAUUCCAGGAGUCGUGUUAGAUUUCCAAUACUUCUUGGAAUGAUCCCCGUCAAUUGAUUCAAGGACAAGGACAAAUUUUUAAGGUUGCUGCAUUUUCCCAUACUUGACGGAAUGUUACUAGAUAACUCGUUGCUAUGCAAGUAAAGCACUUCAAGCUUGGGAAGAUGUUGACACAUAUCAUUAGGCAAACUAUCUGAUAGGCUAUUGUUGGAGAGAACAAUGGUCUUCAGAGCAGAAAUGUUGAAGAUCGAAGUUGGAAUCUGACCUGUAAGGCCUUUAAUUGCUUGAAUAUUAAGCAUUUCCAAACCAAGAAGAUUACCGAUUUCCUCAGGAAUUUGACCUGCACACAUGGUCGAAAAAUCAAGGUGUCAAACUACCUAUUUUGUUAGCAUAAGUCAAAGAGGUUUUCUUUUCUGUUCUACAGUAAUUUGAAGAUGUUAGAUUUUAAUAUAUUUCAGCAUAUGUUUUUCAUCAAAUGAAAUAAAAAGUUUUUCCUUUUUAUUAUCUAUUACAAGUCAAACUCUUUUAUAAAAAAAAUACUUUAAAUUCAAGAAAUCAAGGAAAUUGAUUACCUUCUAGAUUAUUAAACCCCAAAUAUAAUUCCAGGAGUCGUGUUAGAUUUCCAAUACUUCUUGGAAUGAUCCCCAUAAAUUGAUUAUAGGAGAAGGACAAUUUUUUUAAGUUGCUGCAUUUGCCCAUACUUGACGGAAUGUUACUAGAUAAAUCAUUCCGACUCAGGUGAAGCCCUUCAAGCUUGGGAAGAUAUUGACACAUAUCAUUAGGCAAACUACCUGAUAGGCUAUUGCUGGAGAUAUCAAUAAUCUUCAGAGAAGAAAUCUUUAAGAUGGAAGAUGGAACCUGACCAGAUAAUUGAUUGAAUCCCAAGUUUAAGAUCACUAGAUUAGACAUGUUAACAAGUGUUUCAGGGAUUGUGCCUGUAAAGUUAUUAUUUUUCAUUUUUAGCCUUCGAACUCUCUGUAAGUUCCCAAGCCAUGAUGGAAUUUCCCCAUUCAGACGGUUGUAGCUUAAUUGAAGGAUCCUCAAACGAUGCAAUUGGCCCAAUUCUUUAGGGAGAUGGCCAUAGAAAUGGUUGCUACUCAAGUCGAGAGAGAGUAGAAAUGAAAGAUUUCCAAGGUGUGGAGGGAUAGUACCCCUAAGAUUCAUGCUUGUAAGAUUCAAAGCUAUAACUCUUUUAUGGAGGAUGCCACAAGAAACACCAGUCCAAUUGCAAACAGAGGUUGAGGCCAUCCAAUUGUCUGCCAAGACAUUUUGAGGAUCGGCAAUGCGAUCCUUAAACUCGAGAAGUGCAAAUUGAUCGGAGUUGAGAUUCUUGGCUGUCAUAGCCAAGCAAAGUACGGAACAUGAUAUGAAUAAAGCUAAGAGAAGAUGAAAGCAAGUUUUGUAGUUCAUGAUUGCAAGACGGAAUAAGGCAAGAAAAUAAAAAAAGUAGGAAAAGGGAAGUUGAGUUGAUAAAAUAGUUUGGAUGAUGAAGAAAAGCCCAGAGAGCAUACUUUAAUAUGUUUCAACCCUCGCACACUUGAUAAACUUGAUAAAUAUAUUUUGAUCUAAUAAAUGUAAAAAACUUUUUAAACAAAAUAAGGUUGAAAUAAUCUAUUUGUCCUUAUACUUUGAUAAAAUUUGAGAUUUAGUCCUUAUACUUAAAAGGAUAAAAGUGUUGUAGUUCUUGUUGUUUUUAUUUAAAAAUCUUAGUCCUAUCGUUAAUUUUUUGGGUCAAAAUUUGUCAACUGUACAUAUUAAUUAGGUUUCCCUUAUAUGUUGUUGUAUAUGACUAACACAAAAUAAGCAAGUUGACAAAUUAUGACAAAAAUAAUCAAAGAUGAUAAUAAUUUAAUUAAAAUUUUCAAAUUGAAUUAAUAACCUUUAACAUAUAAGGAAUGGAUAUCAAAUAUUUAUAGGAAAAAAGGGACUAACAACAUAUUUUAACCACAAAAUAAUAUGAGUGAUUAGAAUGAAUCUAAAAGAGACUAACAACAUAUUGAUAACUUUGAAAUCUCCUUCGAUCAUCCUUUUUCUACGUAGAAAAUGAAAAUUAAUUAGCAUCUAAAGUGUCAAUUAAUGAAACCUUCAAAAGAAAAUGUGAAAGUGAUUUAUCAAAAAAUAAUAUUUUAACUUAUAAAAUAUUUAAUUACAUUUAGUAAUUUAUCAAUCAAAAUUUAAUUAACAUCCAUCAAUACUUCAUACAUAAGUAAAUUUACCAUUUAACUCAGAUUUAACUUUGCAAGUAAACUUAAAAUUUUAUUUAAUUUUGUCACUAAAUUUAAUUUGUUCAAUAUAGAUUUUGGUGACUUAAAACAAAAUUAAUAAAAAAUUAUAUUCUUUCAGACAUCUUUUUAAUGUUUAAUAAUAAAAUAAUUUAUAAAAUAUACUUUCAUUGGACACAAGCAAGGCGAUGAACCACUGACCAAAUUAAUUUGGAUAUAUCUUUUUUCCAAAUAAAGUGAAUUUACGAGUUUUGUUUUUUUUUUAAUAUUUUUGUGGAUAUCAAGUGAUACCAAAAAUUAUUUCACUAAGAAAUUUUAAUUCACUUGAAAAGUUAGUGUUUUAUUUCAAGGGGUCAUAAUUAUAAAUUUUAAAUUUUUUGACAAUUGUGUAAUUAAUAAAUACCAAUUUUGACUGUUGUAGGGCUAGUACAAUCUCCCUUACGCAUAACCGACUCUUGAACCUACUAUUUUCUCUAGAAUUUAACGCAGACCUUAAAUUUAUCUUUUAAAAAGAAUUUUAAAAUCUCUAUAUAAAAGGUGUAAAAAUAUAUAUUUUAUUAAUUACUAUAUAUUAUUUUAUUUUCAGAAUAAUAAAUAGUUUAAAAUAUGCUGCUAGUCCCUAUAGUUUAAAAGUUAAAAAGUUUUUGGCAUCUUGAGUGCAUCAAAUUUCUCCUUUUAUUAUUAAAUGUUUUAUUUUAGUUACUCUAAUUAAAUAUAUCCAAAUUGUAAUAGAGUUAAUAUUUAUUAUAUAAAAAAAUAUUUUAAUUUUUUUUCAAUUGUAGUUUAAUUCUAGUAGAAAUAUUUCAUUUAUAAAAUCAUAAAACUUUAAAAUAUUAACUUUGUUAAAUAAAAAAUGAUUUUUUUAAACUGUAAAUUUUGACUUUAUUAACCCAAAUGGGUCUUUAGGGUUAAACUUCAGUAAUUGACGAGCUCUUCCACAAACUGUGGAUGAUUUGGGGAUAAAAACUUCAAUAAUUCUAGAGUUAAAGUGUAAAUUUACUACUAUAUUAUAAGUAAAUAUUGAAAUUUAUCACUAAAUUUUAAUUGAUACUUGUCAUUACACUUUGAAAAUAUAAGUAAAUUUAUCAUUUAACUCAUAUGUGAUUGAAGUUUGCAAGUAAACUUAAAAUUUUAUUUAAUUUUGUCACUAAAUUUGAUUUAUUUAAUUAUAUUUACAACUCAAUAUAGAUUUGGUGACUUAAAACAAAAUUAAUAAAAAAACUAUUCUUUCAGAUAACUUUUAAUGUUAACUAAUAAGUUGAUUUAUAAAAUAUACUUUCAUUGGACACAAGCAUCCAAGGCGGUGAACAAACCACUGGUCAAAUUAAUUUGGAGAUAUCCUUUUUGCGUUUUUCUUUUUUUUUAAAAAUAUUUUUAAUAUUUUUGUGGAUAUCUCCAAAUACCAAAAAUUAUUUCACUAAGGAAUUAAUUAGUAUUUUAAGGGUUCACAAUUAAACUUUAGACUUUUUAUUUUUAAAUUUGGAAUUUUUUGACAAUUGCAUAAUUAACAAGUACUAAUUUAGAGUGUUGCAGGAUUAUUACAACCUUCCCUACACGUAACAGACUCUUGAACCUACUUUUUUCUCUAGAACUCAAUGCAAACCUCAAAUUUAUCUUUUUAAAAGAAUUUUAAAAUAUCUAUAUAAAAGGUGAUUUUUUUACCGAUCACACUUAACAAAAUUUUAAAAAUUAUUAAUUUCUUUUUGAAAUUUAAAGUGAUCUAAAACUAUAUUUUUAAGUGCUUUAGACCAUGCGGUGCUGAUUUCUUUAUUGUAUUAAAUGCUUGCAAUCACUCCUUGUAUCUUAUACUUGAGUUGUAACAAAACCAAUUGUCACGUGUCAUAAUGUUCUACUGAUGCUGAAACUGAAGUUUUUGUUAUAUUAAUAGAGCUUGUCCUUCAACGCGUAUAACAAGUGUUUGUUAUUUUUUCCUUCAAAUUGUAUGAUCUCAUUCAUUAAAUAAAUUAAUGAAUUUCCCUUUAAAAAAUAUAAUUUUAAAAAUUAAAUACUUUAUAAGAUAUUUAAAACUAUUUAAAAAAUUGUAAGCGUUAAAACAAUCAACAAGAUAUAUUUUUCUUUAAAAAAUCAAUAAAAAUAUGUUUAAAAUUUUAUAUGAAAUUAAAAAUUUUUUAACAAUAAUAUAUUUUAAAAUUAUUUACACCUUUUUUUAUAUAUUUUUCCUAACAUAUCGUUAUUUUCAACACUAUCGUAAUCCUAUUUUGAUAAUUCCCUUUCCAUACAUCCUUUUUCUACAUAGAAUUUCAAAAGAAAAUGUGAAUUAAUGCAGACUUGAGAAGACCUAGAGGUAAGUCACCCAAUGAAACUGACCUAAACCGACUUAUGGACCAAUCAAACAAUAAUUUUGUAUCUCAUAAUAUAUUUAAUUACAUUAAUUAGCUUAUCAAUCAAAACUUAAUUAAAAUCCAUCAAUAAAGUUGCUGAUUGUAUGGCUAAGGCAUAUGGAGGCAUAAUUGAGCAGCUGGUUAUCUUGGAAGAUCCUUCGCGUUAUGUAAGAUAUUGGCUUGAAGGAGAUAUUAGACAGUCGUUGGUCACUGAUGAUAAAUUUCAUUUGGAUUGAAGCAGGCUUAAUUUUCUAAGUUUAUGUUCAACCAGAAAAAAAAUCUAAAUUGUAAUAGAAUUAACAUUUAGUGUAUAAAAAAUAUCUUAAAAAUUAUUUUUUCAAUUGCAAUUCAAUUCCACAAAUACUGACGAUGAACCCUGAAACGGACAUGAAAAUUACAAAAAGAAAAAAAGCACAUCUAUUAUCAAACCAGCAAUCCAUGCCUAAACUGAGAGAGAUGAACCCUAUGAUAGAUUGUGACACCCCAAAGUCGACCGGGAUAGAUCGGCCCGAAUUCGAAGCAUUACAUUAGCCACCUAAAUGACUCUCUAGCUAACGACCACCCAAGACACACCCCGACCUUAUAACACCUCAAUCUUAUCUAAUUAUUAGUUAUUUAUUAAUACCAAAGUAAAUUAUGAGCCAAUUUUAAACUUUUCCUAGGUAAUUUAACCUACGGGCAUUUACGUUAUUUUACCACCUAUGGUAAAACUAACCCGAUUUUAGAUCUAAGUGUUUACUGGCCUUCUUUUAGUCAAAUUAUGCAAGGUUAAAAUUUUUAGGUGAUUUUGAGUUCAUUUACUAUGUCUAAUUCAAGUUUUAUUAUUUAGGACUAAAUUGUAACUUAAACAAAUUUGAAUACCAAUUUAAAGAGACAAAAAUUUAAAACCCCCAAAACCACACGAGCAUGUAGGUAAAUGACACGGGAGUGUGGAAACUGGAGCAAUCACACACAGGCGUGUGGGAUUGAAAAAUAUGAAAUAAAUUAAUUAUGGUGUUAAAUUCUUCCAUCAAUUGUACAUAAUUUUGAUUGGUAUAGUAAUAAAUUUAGCCUUCAAUGUUUAAAUAUUUUGUCAUUUUGGCCUUAAUUUUAAAAAAAAAUUCAAGAAAUUCAACCUCAACAUUCACAUAUUUACACAAACGUUGCGGGAAAUUUUUGUUAAAUUAAGACCAAAUUGCAAGUAUAAAUUUUGAGGGCUAAAUUUAUUAUUAUACCAACAAAAACCAUGUACAUUUUAUGGAAAAUUAACAUCCUGAUUAAUUAUUCUUAGUAGCUCACUUUCAAAAUUAAUAGGGACUAAAUUGCUCUGAUUUUUUAAGGGUGACCAAUUUCUUCAAUUUGGAAAUUGAGAGAGACUAUUCAGAUAUUUUACAUAUUUUUUAUAAAUAUAUUUUUUUAAUAUAAAAUAUAGUUGUUCACACACAUCGUGAGUAUGAUAAAAUAUUUUUAUUGUUGAUUGAAUUGGUGUCAAAAAUUAACUCGAGACCAACUCAAGAUUAAGAAUAACAAUAUGAUAAAUAAUUUAUUUAUUUAAUAUUCUGAAUUUAAAAUAUUGAUGUAAAUUUUAAGACAUGCAUGUCUUGUAGAAUUGAGAUUAUACUUUUUGAGUAUUGAGUCAGUUUUCCACAAUUGUGGGUCUCUAUUUGAGCAACACAAUUUCAACAUUUCUUCAUCUCGCUUAAUCCAAAUGCAUUUAGGAUUUUUUUUUUUAUAUCAUUGUUUCAAAAACGAUAAAAAAAAAAGUGGACAUUGAAUUUUCUGUUUCACAUUCAAUUUUUGGAGAAGUAGAAUUUUCUAACUUAUUUUCCAUCAACUUCACUUCAAUUUUCAAUCACAAUCUAUUGCAUUCAAGAGCACCACAUCAUUUUGGAUGAAACAAACCUCUCAAUUUUAAGAUAAACGGAAUCUAUUGCAUUCAAGAGCACCACAUCUUUUUGGAUGAAACAAAGCUCUCAAUUUUAAGAUAAACGGGUCUUUAGGGUUAUUAAUUAAGGGCAUUUUCCACAAUUGGCAUCGUUAUUUGCGGGUGAUUCGGGGAUAAUAACAUCAACAUUUCUGUAUCACAUUUAAUUCAAUUCCACAUUUAAGUUUUAAUUUUUAGAGAGAUGAUUGGGUUACAACAAUGGUUUGAAGUGAAGAUAUUUCAAAAGAAGGCAAAUAUAUCAAUUUUUUAAGGGGUCUUUGGAGUUAUAUGUGACUUUAGCAUUAUUGACCGACUUUUUUAUAGUUAAUCUUUUAUAAUAAGUUAAUUAUAUCAAUUUUAAUAACAUCGACAUGUUUUUUAGUAGGGUCGAUCAAAACCCAAUUAAAACCUUUCAUCACUGCAAAAAUGAAAAUAAUAGAAAUGAAAGACUAGCCAUUGUAUGAGAUUUAUAAUUGUAACUGUCAACGAAAUUGGGAGAAAUUUUUAAAUUUUAUGAAAUUUUAAAAUUAAACUGUCAAUAAUAGAAAAUUGCCUGAGUGACUUGGGAUAAGAGCUUGAACAUUUCUGGAUCACAUUACAUUUAAGAUGGGUCUUUAAGGUUAUACUUUAGUUUUUGAGAACAUUUUCCACAAUUUGCCAUCGUUAUUUGUGGGGUAAGUGGUUGAACACUUCUGGAUCACAUUGCAUUUAGGACGGGUAUCAUUCAUAGACUGACUUUUCUAUAAUUAGUCCUUGCUUUACUUUAGGUGGAUUCUUCCAACUAGUCCAAGAAUUAUUGUACAGUUACAUUUAAUCUUUUUAAAUGAGACAAACAUUUCAAAUUUGUCGUUACUAUUUGUGAGUAAUUUGGGGGUAAGAAGUUUAACACUUCUGGAUGUCUUAUAGAAUUGUGAUUAUACUUUUUGAGUAUUGACUCAGUUGUCCACAAUUGUGGGUCUCUAUUUGAGCAAAACAAUUUCAACAUUUCUCCAUCUCGUUUAAUCCAAAUGCAUUUAUGCAUUUCUUAUAUCAUUGAAUUUGCUGUUUCACAUUCAAAAAUUGGACAAGUAGAAUUUUCUAACCUAUUUUCCGUUAACUUCACUUGAAUUUUCAAUCACAAUCAAUUGCAUUCAAGAGCACCACAUCUUUUUGGAUAAAACAAAACUUUCAAUUUUAAGGUAAACGGGUCUUUAGGGUUAUACGGGGGCCUUUUCCACAAUUGCCAUCAUUAUUUGCGGGUGAUUUUGGGAUAAUAACUCGAAUAUUUCUGGAUCACAUUUAAUUCAAUUUUUAAAUUUUAGAGAGAUGUUUGGGUUACAACAAUUUUCAUCAUUAAGUUUAAUAGAACAUUUGGGAGGAAAAAGAGCAAAAAAAUGAGCGAAAACCGAAAAAUGGGGGCAAAGUAUAGGACCCACACUAGCUGACCUAUUCCACUUGACUGUGCAUCAAUUUCGUAGAUUUGCACUUUGACCUACAAAAAAAUACGAAUUUUAGGCUUUUCGGGCAUUCUAAGAUGUACAUAUGACAAAAAUAAAAAGAUAUAAGAGAACCUUUUAGAAUAUUCAAGAAAACAACUCCAAAGACACCACUAAAGCCGACUCUGAAGCAAAUUUUCAUUAAGAUGGAAGAUUCCUAAUUGACCACUAAAGCCGACUCUAAAGCAGACUUUCAUUAAAAUGGAAGAUUCCUAAUUGAUUUCUUAGGAGAUUAUCAUGAGUUUCUUUAUUCCUUUCAAUUAUACUACCCUUUGGAUGUUUUUAUUUUUAAUCAUGAACUAAUUUUCUAAAUACCUAAGAGAGAUAAACCCUAUGAUAGAUUGUGACACCCCAAAGCUGACCUGGACAACCGACCCAAAUUCGAAACAUUACAUUAGCCAUCUAAGUGACUUUCUAGCUAACGACCAGCCAAGACACACCCUAACCUUAUUGUACAAGCCCAAUUUUGACCAAGACCAAACCAAAUAAAUUAACAGUCCAUAAGAGUCCAAAUUACAACUAGCCUGAUAUGGCCCAAAUAAAAAACAACAACCCAAGCCCAAACCCAACCCUCGUAGCCCAAAGCCCACAAACUAAAAAAUUUCAGCAGAAAAAAGAAAGUUGCUAACCCUACGCGCCAUGCCUGGGUCCUCUGCCACUGACCGCAUGCCUCUGCCACCGUAUCUCACAGCCUCUGCCACGCCUCUGCUGCCUACAAGAAACCAACAAAGCACAAAAUGACAACAGCAAUAGAGGUCAAAUCGAAAAACAACAAAAAAUAGAUUACGAAUCAUUUAGAUUGGCUAUAAAGGCCGAAAUAUUAACCUUGUAAUGCUUCUUCUUUUUUUUUGACGAACAUUAGAAAAAUAAAAAACAGAAAACAAGUUUAGAAGGUAGAUUUUUUUCAUUUUCAAAUUUGCAUUUCUUUUCCCUGUGUAUUUUCUUUUCUUCUAUUUUUUUUUACAUGCAACUAGUAAGAACAAAGAAAGAGAAAGAAAAACCUCGCCUGGAAUAGCCCCUCAAGUCCGGUCGUCGAAGGCCCUUUUCCUGUUGUCAAAAUCGAACCUAAAAAGGGGGCUAGGGUGCCCUCUCCUGGUCUUUUAGGGCAACAUCGGCCACCAGUCAGGUGGCACUACGGCGGCGCUCACGGCCAAAACCGUAGGCCGAGCGGGGUGGGGGUUUGAGAGAGGGAGCUCUCUGAAAUUUUUUUAAACAAAUGGGAUGAAACUGAUUUUCUUUGGGUUUUUUUUUAUUUCAUACUAAGUAUGAAACGGCGACGUUUUGGGCUUAAGCAGCCAUGGCCAAAACGACGCCAUUUUACGUCGUUUCCCCUAUACCCACGCGCGCGACCCGACCCACCAGGGGAUCCGCAUGUUUUUGCUCUGAGGGGAUAUUUGCGCAAUCUGCCCCUACGCCUUUUUGACGUAUUCAAUUCGGUUUUUUAUUAUUUUUUAUUUUAGCCAUGUAUUUUUGCUUCCGAUUCAAGUUGGUCCUUAGACCAUGUGUUGUUCCACAGUUAAAACGCCGCACUUUAGGAUUGGGGAAUAUUUCCCUGAAAGUCCCUCGCGCUUUGAGUGCGUUUCAUUUCGGUCCCGAGCCACCCCUUUUAUUUAUUUGCAAUUUAGACCGCGAGUUCUAAUCCGAUUUCAAUUUAAUCCUUAUUCCAUGUAAUUAUUUUAUUUUCUUUUUCUUUAAAAAUUAAUUUUUUUAUUUAUAAAAAGGACCUCUUUUAUUAUUAUUAUUUAUUUUAAGUUUUACAUAUAUUAUUUAUUUUAAAUGUUUUGCCUAAUAUUUACUUAAUUUUUUUAUUAUAUUAUUUUUUUAAACUACUAUAUAUAUUGCCUCUUAGAAUUUAUAUAUAUAUAUAUUAUUUUAAUAAAAAAUAAAGAAUACUGUUUUUAAUUAUUUUAAACUAUCUUAGUAUUUUUUUUUUCAUUUUAAAGUUUUAUAUUGUUUGUUUGAGACAUUUUGCCAUACAUUUCGAGUUCAUCUCAUAAGUUAUUUGUCUUAUACUAUUACCUACAUAAAAUUGUUCUUUAUUAUUUCAUUUCGUUUGCUUGGACUAUUAAUAUUGAUAUGUUAAAAUGUUGCACGUGGUGUGAUUAUUAUCAUUAUGUACGUUGUAAUUAGUUUAUUUUUUUCGCAUUAUUGCCAUUAUGUGUAUUAUUCCGUUUACUCGUAUUUCCAUGCUAUGGUAAUUCAUUCGUAUAUCAUGUUGUUCGAAAAUUAUUUCACCAUAUUAUAAAUUGUCACCCCAUCAACGCAACCCUUUUGUUCACGCAUUAUUUCAAACAUUACAUUUUUUACCCAAACAUGCAAAAAUGAAAUUUUCAAAUAAGGCAAUAUUUUGUGUAUUGGCGAUUCGAGAAAAUUGUAUCCUAACUUACGGGGUUUCAGUCUUUCUCAUUAAAACUAAUAGCAAAAUACCAUUUUUAAAAUAUCAAAAAAAUGAUGAAAGGAACCUAAAUAAGGCAAUAUUUUGCGUUUGGAAAUUCGAGAAAAUGUACCCUAACGUGCUAGGUUUCGAUUCUUUCGUUUAACCAAAUAGCCAAAUAUUCUCUUAAAAUUUCAAAGUAUGGGUUUUGGAACUGUCGAAACCACUUUUUUUGAAAAACAAAAAAAUUAGUUGUCGACUUUAACAACGAGAAUUGGAGUCAGAGUCGCCACUGAUCUUUUAAUGAGGUGUGAUCGGAUCACCUUGAAAACAAUUUUAGGUCUGCGAAUUUUGAGAAAAUUGAUUCGGGAGUCGGUUACACACGAGGAAGGGUUAGCACCCAUGUAACGCCCAAAAUUGGUACCGAAUUGAUUGUUUAAUGUCUUAGUGUCGAGAAUUUGAAAAGAUUUUAAAAUACAAUCCUUUGAAAAGAAAAUUUGAAUAAGAUGAAUUGGAUGAUGAGACUCACUUAUUUCAAAGAAAUAAAUUGUCACACUCAGUAAGUUAGAAUGCAACAUUUUAAAUCCUCAAAAUUAAGUUUAUCUUUUGACUUUUAAAACCUAUGCAUUUUGAGAAGGAUAUCCGAUUAUUUGGGUCAAAUGAAAAAAUCAAAACCCAAUAAGUUAGGGUUCGAUUUCACAAAAUUCCUAAAUAUCGAAUAUUGCCUUAAUUUUCAUAUAUUAGAAAAAUCCUCGCCUUGAGAAAACAACAUGUCAUAUCCAAUGCGUUAGGACACAACGCAUCGAAUUCCCGAGAAUGAGCUUUUUGUUUAUGUGUUUUAAUUAAAGAAUAAUCUCGAUUAUUUAGAUUCGAUGAGGAAAAUUGGAACCCAAUACGUUAGGGCUCAAUUCUUUCAAAAAUCUCAAAUUCCGAGUGUCGCGUUAUUUUAACAAAACUUUUUGAAUAAAAAUGCUCUCAAUAUUUGAAUGAUAUUAAACGUAAUAUUUUGACAAAUAAAAACCAUGAAAUAAUAACGUACAACGCGAAAUGGUGAUUCAUAAAUUAAUGUACGCUAAUGAACGACAAAGAAUCGAUAGAUACGAGCAAGCAAUACAAUACACGUAAGAGCAAUUAUCUCACAUCAUAUACAAAUAAUAACUUUAAUAUUCAAAAGCUAAUGAACUAAAAACUAAUCUUAAACGAAGCUCCAAGCGAAUUAAUACAAAAAUAUGCAACAAGAUUUGAAGAAUAAAAUAACAUGAAGGAAGGGAAAAUAUAUUUAAAAUAAAUCAUAUAUAUAUAUAUAGAAAUUUGAAGUAAAUUAAAAAUAAGGUUAAAAAUAAAUACUACAUAAAAUAAUAGUAUCCAAAUAAAUUUUAAAACAAAUAUCAUAUAAGAAGAAAAUCAAAUACAUAAAAUAAUAUACAUAUAUUAAUUUAAGAUAAGUAAUAUAUAGGGAGUGAAAAGCUUCAUGUAAGUAAUAAUAUAUGCUAAUAUGCAAAAAGUGAAAUAAACUAAAUAUAUGCGGAUAUUUAAAAGAAGUAAAGUAUCUAUAUAUAGCAAUAGGUAUAAAAAAUAUAUAUAGUUUAAAAUUAAAUAAUAUAUACAUUACGUACAUACAUAUAUGUAUAAUAAAAAUAGUUUAAAAAUAGUAACAAAUAAUAAUGAUAAGUAAUAUAUAUAAAUAGGUAAAUAGAAAUGUAAUCAAAUAUAAUAAUGAUAACAAUAAUAAAUAGUAAUAAAAAUAAUAAUAGUAAAUUAAUUAAUAGCAAAAAAUAUCAAUUAGGACUAAAUUGGAAUGAAAAUAGAAAUUUUGGGGCCAAUCCGCAAUAAAUAAAAACAAAAAGGGGCCGAAUUGGGUGCGCGAGGAACAAUGAGGGAGUAAAGCGGAAACUCCAAAACGCUGCAUUGCGGCAUGGACUAAAAUAAAACGAAAAUCAAAUUAAAGGGCGAAAAUUAAAAAGAAAAGAAUCGAUUCGAACAUGCCACAAAAGAGAGAGGACCAUUUGCGCAAAUCUCCCAACAGAGGCCAAAACGCGCGGAUCCUUCCCCGGGUCGGGUCACCGCACGGGUCAUGAGCUACCAAACGGUGUCAUUUUUGACGUAUGGAUAACGUAAAACGGUGUCGUAUUACACUAUUAUUUAAACAAGGUUUUAAAUAAAAAAACAAAAAAAGACAAAUGCUGCCUACGUUUUAAAAAAAAACUGCUUGUUCUUUGCUAGGGUUUUGCCCUAGCUUCUGCGCCGCUCGAACGUACUGCCGUUCAGAAACUUACAAUCCUCGUCCAAACUCCAAUCGCAAUGAAGCGAACAAGGGUGCGACGGCCACCCUAAAGGUAAAUCUUCACUUCUCUUUUCUCUUUUAUUAUUUUCGCAUAAAAACGAAGCGAAUAAGUAAAAUAAAAUAAAAUAAAUAUGAGAAUCACCUUAAAAAACAAUGAUAUUCGAUUUCUUUUUUCUCUUUUUUGUAUUUAGUAUUCGUAACCGUUUACAGAUUUGGUUGGCUCUUUUUAUAGAUGAAAUUAGUGAGAAAGAGAAAAAAAAUCGAAGAAUAUUUUUUUUACAUUUUUCCUUAUUUACUGCUAUCUUCUCUUAUUUGCUAUCGAUUUCUGCUCUUUUUGUUUGCUUGUCCUUCUUGCAGUUAUGGCAUACGGAGGGUGGACGUGGUGGCCACAAAGGCGCGCGUGAGGCGUGGCUCGACUGCUCGGCUGAAGUUGUAUCAGAAACCGCUAGGGUUUUCUGAUUCCUUCUUUGUUUUGGGCUCAUUGGACUAAAAGUUUUUAGGCUAGUGGGCUAGGUUAAAUUUAGGUUUUGGGUUAUACUUCAUUUAUUGAGGGCCUUUUUAACAAUUGCCAUCAUUAUUCGCGGGUGAUUUGGGGAUAAUAACUUGAACAUUUCAGGAUCACAUUCAAUUCAAUUUUUAAAUUUUAGAGAGAUGUUUGGGUUACAACAAUUGCCAUCAUUAUGUUUAAUAGAACACUUGGGAGGAAAAGGAACAAAAAAAUGAGCGAAAACCGAAAAAUGGGGGCAAACUAUAGGACCCACACGGGCUGACCUAUUCCACUUGACUUUGUGACCCUCACGGUCGCGUGGCAAACCACGUCAAUUUCAUAGAUUUGCACUUUGAACUGCGAAAAAAUACGAAUUUUAGGCUUUUCGAGCAUUCUAAGAUGCAUAUAUGACACAAAUAAGGAGAUAGGAGAGAACCUUCCUAGAAUAUUCAAGAAAACAACUCCAAAGACACCACUAAAGCCGACUCUGAAGCAAAUUUUCAUUAAGAUGGAAGAUUUCUAAUUGAUUUCUUAGGAGAUUAUCAUGAGUUUCUUUAUUCAUUUCAGUUAUACUGCCCUUUGAAUGUUUUUAUUUUUAAUCAUGAACUAAAUUUCUAAAUACCUAAGAGAGAUGAACCCUAUGAUAGAUUGUAACACCCCAAAGCCGACUGGCACAGACCGGCCCAAAUUCGAAACAUUACAUUAGCCACCUAAGUAACUUUCUAGCUAACGACCACCCAAGACACACCCUAACCUUGUAACACCUCAAUCUUAUCUAAUUAUUAGUUAUUUAUUAAUGGCAAAGUAAAUUAUAAGCCAAUUUUGAACUUUUUCUAGGUAAUUUAACCUAAGAGCAUUUAAGUCAUUUUACCACCUAUGGUAAAACUAACCCUGUAAUAGCCAAUUUUGGAUGGCCCGAUAAUAAAAAGUCCAAAAAUCAAAGUCCACAUAGUUGAAUUACAUAAAUUGACCCAAUACACAAACCAAAACUAAACAUCUAGCCCGAAUAGCCCAAUAACCAAAAAAAUAAUAAGCCCAAAACCCCAGGCCCAAUAAACUCUGACCUGAUUUGAAGAACACUCCAGAAACCCUAAGGGUUCCUGGAACCUUUCAGCCACCACAGCAACCAGGGCCCUUCCUCGCAUGUGUAGCGCCUCCGCGCACGUGCGCCUCCUCUAGCUGGCUCCUGCAACAGAACACACGAGCAGCAACAACAAGUAAAGCAAGGGAAAAAUAGAAUAACAGCAAAAAAGAAUAAAAUAAUAGAAAAAAAGAUGUAAAAUAAUUUCUGUAAUUUUUAUUAUUCGGCUAUAUAAAGUCAUUGGUGAUACUGUAAAAAAGGAUUACGGAUUCAAAAGAAAAGAAAAAAAAUCAAAUAGCAUUAUAUUUUUAAUGUUGUUUCUGAUUUCUACUUCUUUUUUCUUUUUCCUUUGAUUUGUUUAUAUUUGCUGAUUAAAAGAUAAAAAAAGGGGAAGUUCUUACUUACAUAUUGCCCUGCCGGAGCCUUCAUCCCUUCUGUUUCAAAUCGGAAUUGGGUGGGCAAUGGUCUAAUUGAAAACGGCACACAGAGGGUAGAUUUUAGGGAAAUAGUCAUUUUCACUUAAUUAACCAUGCAAACAUCAAAAUUUCUCAAUGAAAUUUUACUACGACCUUAAUAAAAUCCUGUAGACAGUAAAUAAAUAAUAAAAUAUUAAUUUACUUGUCAAAAUUGUGGUCUCAAAACCAUUGUUCUGAUAUAACUGAAAACGUGCUGUUACCACUCUCCCCCUAAAGGAAUUUUUGUCCCCGAAAAUCUAACUAGAAAAUAAGUUCUGGUAUUGUACUUUCAUAGCUUCUUCUGGUUCCCAGGUAGCCUCUUCUAUUUUGUGACGUUUCCAAAAAAAUUUAACUAAAUCUGUACUUUUAUUUCUCAAUUCUUUAACUUCCUAAGCUAAAAUUCUAAUUGGUUCUUCACUGUACGUCAUACCUAGCUGGUUAUCAACAUCUGCUGGUGAAAUCACGUGUGAAGGAUCUGAUUGAUAUCAUCGUAAUAUUGAUACAUGAAAUAAAUUAUGAAUAUUCUCUAACUUUGACAUCAAAGCCAAUUGAUAAGCUACUGGUCCAAUCCUCUUAAUGAUCUUAUAUGGACCGAUAAAUCGCAGACUAAGCUUUUCUUUUCGACAAAAAUGGAGAACUUUUCUCCAAGGCGGUACUUUUAGAAAUACUUAGUCCUCGACUUGAAACUCUAUAUCUUUUUUUGUUCAAAUCUGCAUAAGAUUUCUGACGAUCAGAAGUAGCUUCAAAUUGUCACGUAUCACUUAACCUUUACUUUGGUUUCUCAAAUCAAAUCAACACUGAAUAACUUUUUCUUGAUCAGCUCCAAUAUAACAGAGUUCGACAUUUCUGACUAUAUAAAGGUUCAUAUGGUGCCAUUUUAAUGCUCACCUAAUAACUGUUAUUGUAUGGAAAUUCAACCAAUAGUAGAAAUCUCUUCUAGUUACCUUCAAACUCUAAAAUACAACAUCGGAGCAUGUCUUCAAGUAUCUAAAUUACUGGCCAAGACUGGCCAUUAGUUUGUGGAUGAAAUGCUGUAUUGAAAUGCAGUCGAGUAUCCAGAGCUUCAUGUAACUUACCCUAGAAUCUAGAAGUAAAUUGUGGAUUUCUAUCAGAGAUAAUGGAUACCGGCACACCUUGUAAUUUGACAAUCUCAAAAACAUACAAUUCUACCAACUUCUGAAAUGAAAAAUCCAUACGCACUGGAAUGAAAUGUGUGAAUUUCAUCAAAUGAUCUACAAUAACCCAAACAACAUCUUUUUUUCUCAAAGAUAGAGGCAAUCCUGAUACAAAAUCCAUUGUAACAUGUUAGACUUUUGUUAGGUAACUAAUGGAAGAGUGAUAAAAAUAUUUAAAUUUGAAAAUUUGAGUUGCUAAAAAGAAAAGUUCAUAAUUAGGUGAUCAAAAUAGAAUGAAUUGAAUAGUUGUGAGACUAUUCUUGUACUUUACCCUUUAAUUACUUUUUUUUAUGGAUAUGUAUUAUUAAUUUUAAAUUUAUAAUAAUGCAUUGCUAAAUAAUUGCAAAAAAAAAUUAUAGACAUUAAUUUUUUGGAGAGGAUAGGCAUCUCUAAAUAAUGAUUAUUUAGAGUUGAAAAUUGUCCAUAAAUAUUUUUGGCAAUUUGUUUUUGAGGUGUAUGGUUGAUAAAGUAUGAUCGAUAGAUUAUGAAGUGAAGCUAAAUGUGUGUUUGACUGGGUGAAAUGUAACACCUUAAACUCAGCCUAGACGUUACGACCAGAUCAGGAAGUGUUACGUAAUUGUUUGAAAAUUCAGUUCUCAUAUAAUUUUGGAAUCCGUUUUGAAUUCUUAAAAUUUCAAAUUAUUUGAAAACAUUCUUUGUCUAGCUAUUUUGUUGAAAACACUAUUUGCUUAUAUUAUAAAACUCAUAAUUUUGCAGCGGAAAAUUCUUUAGCAUUUUUUUUAAAAUGCUAUCCUUAUUUCUUGAAAUUCAUUACUUUUGUAGGAAAUAAAAGUGAUUUUUAUUGAUAAAAUAUUUUAACGACAUUUUAUGUAAAUCGAAAAUAAAAACCUCAAAAACAAAUCAGAACAGUCAAAAAGUCCAAAAUUUACAAAACACCAAAAUUCCCAAAUUUUAAAUAAUUAAAAUAAAUGCAAUAUCUUUUAUAACCGAGCUACCCUCGCACCGACCCGCCUAAGUUUGAGGAUUACUUGAAAGUAUCAUUUAAACAGAAAGUGAGUUUAUGAAACUCAGUGUAAAACAAUUAACUUAAAACAGUUAAAGCAUAUCAAACAAAUUUAACAGUAUCAAAGUCUUAACAAAACAAUACAGAUACAUAUUUAUUUUUCCUACCCCCAUCUGCUACACACCAUCUCCGACCAUCCCAACACACCAUAUGGGGUAUAAAACACCCAUCUAACCCUACACAUCACUUAGUGUCGUUUAAGAAACUUACAGAAGAAUCGUAGUUGCACUACCAGAUAAAUAGGUGAAUUAUCACCUUUUCAAAUAUACUUCCUCCACAUAGUAAAACCCAUCAUAAUAACAGAUACAGUACAUAUCAAUAAUCAGUAAUAAGCAUAACACAUACAUAUAGCAUCGAUGCAUAACAUAUAUAUAGUACUUUUACCAGUUUUCCUAUAGCCCAUUACAUAAUUUACUCGUCAUAUGCAGCUUCAGAUACAGAACAAAUAUCAAAAUUCAUGCGAACAGAUGACUAACUUUUUAUAUUUUUUAGUCCAUUUAAGCACAUAUUGACCCCAUGGAAGACCCAUAGUCGAUCUAAGUGACGUGAACGGUCCUGAGGAAAGUUUUAGAAUGUUGGGCCCAUACGCCCUGUGUAGCCUACAUGGCCCAAAUUGCUCAAACCGUGUGUCACACACGGUCCAACACAUGGCCUGUCACACAACCAUGUGUUGCACAUGGCCUACCAUAGGACCUAACACAUGACCGUGUGGCUCUGUUCGCUGAUUUUCAAGUUUCUCGUUACACUUCUGAUUCUAUUUUAACACGAAAGCAGCCACAAGAUAACCAUUACCUAAUACGAAAACCAAAUCACCAAAUGAGACAAUUUUUCUCAAACCCGAUUUACAAAAUCAAUUUUACCAAUAACAAAGUUAAUGAUGAAAUUCAGUCCAAAUCUCCAACCUUGAUUCUUACCCUCAAGAAAAAGUAGUCCAAAUAACGAUUCUAAGUCGUCGAGUAACUAAUCGCCUUGUGAACUACACCUAAAACCAAAACAAUUGAUUAACAUCGAUAAAUCACACCAACCAGAACUCAACAUAAUCGAAGCUAACGAAGGCAAGAUUCCAUAACAGAAGAGAAGUAGGCAAUACUUAUGCACGAAUCAAAUUACACUUAACAUAGCAGAGUAUCCACCACCGAUUUGGAAAGGCAUAAAGAACAACAUUCAAGAAUGAACAAAAGAUUGAGAAAAGAACAAGAGCAGGAAAAAGAAACGAAAAUUGAGGGCCUUCUCUACUAAAAUCCACGUGAAAGAAAAGAAAGUAAUAAAGAAAAAAAAAUAGAACCAGAAAGCAAAAAAAUCGAGAACAUGUAAACAAAUGGGAGCAAAAAUUGGGGAUUGAAAUUAUUUUAAUCAAUUAAUUCCCUGCCAUUUAAAAAAACAAUAAAAUAAAAUAAAUAUCUUAAUAACCACCCACUAAACUUAGAUAAGUACCCAGAUUCUUUUCAAGAAUUUGAAUUUAAUCUAAACUUAUCCACUUGAAUAACACAAAGCAUAAAAUAUUUCGCUUGCUUGCAUGGAAGCUUGAAUACAUGACCAAUGAGUACUCAAGAAUUUAACCACUAAACCAGUAAAUUUAUUCUUGUCAUAGAUUUAAUGAUAAUAAUAUUUAAGCUGGAUAAACAGAGAUAGACUUAGAAACAAAAAUAAUUGAAAUUUUCUAAAGAAGUGCAACUUAAACCCAAGACCUCAAACUCACAAGACACUUCACCACUAAAACAAACACUUUCUAAUGACAAAUUUUAUCAAAUUAUGUAUACGAAAUUUGGGGUGUUACACGGAAAGUGGAGGGAUGGGAGGAAGGAGUGAACAAGUGGAAAAAAAAUAAAUUUUGAGUAUGCUUAAUUGAAAAGAAAGUGAGAGGAAAGAAGAUAAGAGAAAUGAUCAUUUUCCAUUCCAAUGAAUAAAAAUGAAUCAUUCCAAAUUGGAAAGAUGAGAUGAAAGAAAAUGAGAAAUAUGUGUAUGAUAGUUUAAAAGAAUGUAUUUUUGAAAUGAUUUAUUUUCUUUCAUUUCAUUUUUUCAACUCUACCAAACAAUGAAUGGAACUGGAGUAAAAAUUAAAAGUAGAAAACUAGAAGAAUGAAAAAAUAAUUUUUAUUUUUAUUUUUCUAUUUUUCCUACCAAACACAUCUAUGAAAUUUUCCACCCGUUAAAUCUUCCAUUCUUUCAAUUUUUGUUACAGUCUAGAAAGCAAAACUUUAAUGUUGAAAAUUUAAUUCCAUAGCAGAUAGAUUACGAAGUGAAACUAAACGCUAAAAUGAUUAUAUUAUGAAUAUGAAAUCUCCAUUAAUUCUGAAACUGUAUUACCAAUGGAGAAGUAUUGAUUUCUAAUUGUAAAAAUGUGAAGAGAACAGGUUUACUUUUACAAGUAAGAAUUUUUUGAGCAUCCUUCAUAUUUUUACAAUUAAAAGCCAACUCCAUAGUCAAUUUGCUUUGAGAAUGAACUGUGUAUCUUCAAGACUUCCAGCUUCAGUACAGAUUAAGUUGAGCAUUGGAUGAACUUGCCAAGGCUUCUCAGACCAUUGCACUUCUUCCACUAUAUUCAGCAUUUCUUGAAAAUAUUCAUGCAACACUAUUGGUAACAUGGAUUUCUGACAUUAGAAAAGUAGCAAAAUUUGUGGAACUUUGAUAGCCCCAUUGACAAUAAGGAAUGAUGGGUUCCAUUCUUCUUAUUAAUCUCCCUUUUUUCCCCUUGAUUAAGCACUGGUUAUUUGAAAGCAAAACACAUAGUUGGAUUAGAUUGUAAAAUUAGCACCUAAAAACAUAAUUUUCAUUUUAGCACAGGGUGAUUUAGAUGAAACAACUCUAAUUUUUAAAACAAAUGCUGAACACACAUUAACUGAAAGGAACAAACCUGAAGAGGCAAGGAAGCUCAACCAAGACCACUGUGAUCUAUUUGUCUCAACAUUAAACAAUUAAAGAAGAUUAGAUAGAAACUUAGAGAACACUUCCAAAGAUAUAAGCUUUCUUCAAUUCAUCAAACGAUUACAUAAAUUUCUUAAAUUGCAAUCAAACAUAACAAACCUUAUACUUGACUAAAAGUAAACCAGCUUCCCCAUCAUUUAGGCUUCUCUACCAAGCAAUGUUUCAAAUGUUAUAAGGCUCAGCAUGGAACUCAUGGAUAGGUUUUAGGAGGCCUCUCUGAUACAGAAACAAUAUGAAGUGCAUUAACAGAUCAACAACUCCUAUUGGUAGGAAAUUCAAACAUCCUUAGUUUAAGAAAAUUACAUUUUAAUAGAUCAAAUUCAGUAUAGAAUAUCUUUACCUUGUUCUUAGCUUGGCGCCUUUGACUUGUCAGCCAUCUUACAAUACGAUUCAAUUGCUUUAACUCACCCUCUGGGGUUCGAUACCUCAAAAACUUUUAACGCCAAUGACAAGAUAACAAAUAAUUUAACAAGUAAAUGAAAUUGAAAUGCAUACCUUAAAACUCCUUUUUGGUACAAAAGUAAAAACACAUUUUACAGAAAAGAAAGCAAGGAAAAAUCCAAAUAUAGAAGUACAACAAUGUUGAAAUCCCAAGAAAAGAUAAAAGAACAUAAAAAUUAACAAACACAAGCAACUAAGUAGACAAAUAAUCAGUCUAACACAUAGAAAUAACUUAAUCCCUCAAUGCUAUCAUAGAGUGAAAUUGUUGGAAGGGUCUGCUUCUGCUGUUAGUUCUGCUGUUGAGAGACUUGCAAAGAGAUAUCCUAGUACACAAGGGCAAAUGAGUGAGCAAAGAGUUUACGUAUUAUAUAUAGAACAUGAUUCAUCGAGGAUGAAUCUUAUAUAUAUAUAUGGUUAAAAUACAAAAAUGAAAUUAAAUAUGGAGUUAAACACAUACCAAAAGUAAGUUAAUAACCACAAGCAUACUCAUCGUUCGAUGAUGUUUAGAAACCUUUGUUUGAUCUUCUUUAGCUCAAACACAACAUCCUUCAUAUCUUUUCUUUCUUCUGGCAACUCAGCUGAACAAUCCAAAGCUAACUCCAUGAUAGAAGAAAUACAAUUUGUGUUGGUGCAAGAGGCAGCAGCAAGCUGAUUUCAGCUUUGCUUAAACAGCAAGUCUCGAGGCUUGCAGCAGAAACAAUCAAGGAAGAAAAACUUACAAUGGAAAACAGAAAAGAAAGAGAGAGAUUUGAAUGAAAAUGAGCUAAAUUUUCAUUAACAUUUUUAAGAAGGCAUGAUGCCAAUACAUAUAAGGGAUUACAAUAGCAAAACAAACAAGUUACCACCUAAUAACUUACCUAACACCACAAAUUUGCCUAGUAACUUGGUAAACUUGUUUGAAUACAUAAACAGCUACCUAAACUUGUCAUUCAUGACUUAAUUACAUCAAAAUGCAGCUACCAACUAAGUUUGAUCCUAACUAAAUACAAAACAUUCAUUUAAAGAAACUAAAUGAAUAGCUUCAGCUUGCUGCACCAAUUUGCUGUUGAAGCACGUUCCCUGCAUGGCCACCUUUGCUGCUGCAUGGGAGCUGACUUCAACACUCCUCCUCAGCUUUUAUGCAGCAGACUCCUAGUUCCCUCUUUAGGCUUAGAAAUCUUGAUACACCAAGAGACUUUGUGAAGAUAUCAGCAAUCUGAUUUUCAGAGCUGCAAUGAAUCAGCUCAAUUUCUCGAGCUUGUUCCAUCUCCCUUAUCACAUGUAGUUUAAUAUCGAAGUGUUUUGUCCUACCAUGGAAGACAGGAUUUUUGGCAAUAGCAACUGCUGACUUGUUGUCACAAUGUAUCACAGUUGCUUCAUUCUGCUGUAGGUUUAAAUCACUCAAAAUUUUUCUCAGCCACACAGCUUGAUUAACAGCAUUAGCAGCUGCUACAUACUCAGCUUCAGCUGUUGACUGAGCCACCAUUGUUUGUUUUCUUGAGCUCCAACAAAUCAUUGCAGAGCCAAGUGUAAAAGCAUAACCAGAGGUGCUCUUCAUGUCAUCUUUUGAACCAGCCCAAUCGCUAUCUGUAUAGCCAAUCAAUUUCAACUCCUUGACCCUUUUGAAACAUAUACCAUGGUUCAAGGUACCUUUGAUAUACCUCAGAACCCUUUUUCCUGCUUUGUAAUGCUGCUGAUUACAGCAAUGCAUGAAUCGUGACAGCAUGCUCACAGCAAAUAGAAUAUCAGGUCUUGUUGCUGUCAAAUACAACAAACAGCCAAUAAGGCUUCUAUAAUCUGUUUCACAGACAGAUUCAUGUUCCUCUUGGCUCGAUAGCUUCAUGCCAAUAGCCAUUGGUGUGCUCAUUGGUUUACAAUUCUCCAUUGAGAAUUUAGCCAGCACUUUCAAGGCAAAUGUCUUUUGUUUCAAGAGGAUUCCUCCUUCUACUUGAUUGACUUCUAAGACAAGGGCUCUAGAUACCAAUAAUUUGCUUUAAUAACAAAAUUAUCAUCCUCUCUUCUUAAUAAAUCAGCAUCCACAAUGUCUAUCAUUCCUUCAGAUAAUAAUCUUUUCACCCAAUGCCUUAUGGUCAUUUCAUCACCAAAAAUUUCAUCUGUUGGCCUUUUCCUAGUGAAAGUUUCUAUGAGGACAAUUCCAUAACUAUAGAUGUCACAUUUUAUAGAAACAAUUCCCGUUGAUCCAAAUUCUGCAUUUUAAGCAUAAGUAAUCCUGGAUUAUUUCUAAUAUGUUUACCACUAUAUAUAGACAUACACAAAAAAUAAUCAUUAAUUAAAAAAACUCAAAAAUUCACCUGGUGCCAUAUAACCAAUAGUUGCAAGAGUCAUGGUUUGCUUCACUACAUCACCUUCUCCCAACAAUUUCGCAAUGCCAAAAUCUCCCACAUGAGCAACCAUGUCUUCAUCUAGUAGAAUAUUGCUUGGUUUUAGGUCACAAUGAAUUACAGGUGUUGGAUGUCCAGUGUGGAGAUAUUUUAGAGCAGCCGCAACAUCUACCAUUGUGUUGAUCCUUUGUAUGAUAUCAAGGAAACAACUGUUUGAAUGUAACCAUUUCUCAAGAUUUCCAUUAGACAUGAAAUCAAGCACCAAGGCUUUGAAGUCAACAUUGGAGCAGCAAGUAAUGACCUUGACAAGAUUACGAUGAACUAUGUUACGCAUAGCUUCACAUUCAAUGUCAAAGCUCCUAAAUGCUCCUUCUAUUUG